RNAcentral lists this long non-coding RNA (130599 nucleotides) under Olea europaea (common olive). RNAcentral describes it as "long non-coding RNA (OEUR_LNC003933)". The record is from RNAcentral. Lineage: Eukaryota; Viridiplantae; Streptophyta; Magnoliopsida; Lamiales; Oleaceae.
AAUUUCUUGCAUGCUGGAAUCAACUUGUCAACCAUGGACGCACGAAGUUUAUUCAGGAUCUCUGAAUCGUAUACUAUCCAUUUUGUGUGAAGUGUCUGAAUCUCUUCAAUCAUGGAAUUAAUGGCCUUCAAUCUUUUUCUCAAUGCACGUUUUGAAACCUGAGUAGAAAAGCACCAAGUAACAUAAAGUCCCUCUUCUCGACAACAAGACAAGAACUUGUCACAAGUUGAAACCUGAUAGCUAGUCAUUGCUUGCAUAACAUUCGUAUUCAGUUUCUCCAUAUAAUCAUUGCCAAUAAUCUCUCGCAGCUCCUUGGAUUCUUCAAUUUUUUCUACAAUGUAAUGAACAUUGUUCAUCAUGAACAAAUGCCUUAAAGGAACAUGUUUGAGCUGCUCUGAUUUCCCCUUCAAAUUCAGUUGUAAAACCACAAUGAUCAAAAUCAAAUGAAGAGCCAAAUGACUUCUGCCUUUAAGAUCCCCCAAUUCUCCUUCGGGAAUCAGUUGAUCCUCAAAUUUCAUUGGUGGCAUUGAUAUGAUCAAGUCGGUGAGGAGCUUCUUAUUGCUUACAAUGAGAGAGAUAUAAUUCAUCACACGUUUCGUCAAUGGAUGAAUGGCACCCCUAUCAUCUUGUAUCGUUGAAAGCUCACGAAAAACAGCUUUCUCAAAAUCCAAUAACAUUUUUCUUAUAUUAUUCUCGAGUUGAGACACUGUCACCUUCACGCCGUUUUGAAUAGCCUCUGCUGCGUCGAAGUCGAACAGGGUAUCAAUGUAUUGUAAAAGAAACAACAGUGUAUCAUAUAGGACUAAAAUUGUUCCCAUCCUCUCUGGGGACUGGUUAAUGGAACUCACUGUUUCUGCAAAAACAAGUAAAUUAUUUGCAGAAUCUCCAACUAUUUCCCAAAAACAUUCUUCACUAGCCCCAUUUCCAAAACCAGAGAAUAAUUUCUCACUAAUUUGUUUCUCCAAGUCAAAGAAGAAACAAAAACACACCCUAGCCACUCGAAUCCACAUUUCAAUUUUCACCUUCAACUCUUGCCAUAGAAACCUCUUUUUCUUGAAGGCACUUUUUGCAACCCCACCUAUAUACAAUUCUUUCAAGCGAAGCCGUAUUAUCAUAGUGUGGAAAAAGUAUUUCCUCACUCUCUUGUAAAGUUCGAUGCAAUCUCCAAGGUGUCCUCCAGAAUUUAAUCUUUCCGCAACUUGCCUGAGAUAAAAAAUCGCCUCGUCACUCGGUAAAUUGUCUACCGUUAAAUAAUCAUCGUGUCCAGUACUGGCUAAUGAACUCCAAUCAGAGGUAGUUGAAUCAACAGUGCCAAACGGAUUUGAUUGUGCUAUGAGUACUUUCAGAAACUCGUGCUUGAGCCGAGCCAUGGCUAUGGAGUUCAGGUCACCAGAUUCUGUUCCGUUCGUGGGGGACUGCUGGAUUCUGUCGACAGCUUCUAGAUAUCGAGUUAUUUCUCUUUCACCACUGUCGAAAAUUAGCAGAUUAACUGGUCUAUGAUGCCAAUGAUAGGUUGUAUCAACAGCAGAUUUGUAUGAUAUUGUUGAAGUCAUUGGAUCCAUGGACCUUCUGUCGAACUGUUACAGAUGGUAGCAAAAUUUCUGGUUCAAAAUUCCAACUAGUAAAUUUGUGUGAUAAUGAAAAUGGUUGUAUCUUGUGUUCUUGAGAAAGUAUGGUGGCAAAAUUUCCAAGUGGUCCUUAAAUCUAAACUAAAGAUGGAAGAUUUGAAUUGCCGCGUUUGAGAGGAGACUUCAUAAUAUUGAGUCAAUAAAGAAUAAAAUUAGAGACUUCCUUUUUCCUCACAAAUAUGUUUCCAUUGCACAAUGGCGGCCCCAAAUUCCACAAACAAGUGUAGGUGAGAUAUUAGAAUGUUCAAAAAGUGUAAAAGUGAUGCCGCGUAUUAUCAAAUAGUUAGUUUAAUAAAUUUCUUAGUACAAACGAGAAGGAAAAAUUACAAAUUUCUCUAUUUUAUGGUUGUGUUUUGAUUACUAUUGCUUGCCAAAUAUAAUAAUUCCAUUCACACACGACAUAAAAGCUUUAUUUGAUUUAGACAAUACUUGCAAGUUUCACAUGUUACAUGUGAAUAUGUUCAUAAAAAUCAUUUUGGGGUGGUCAUGUUCACACCACAUAUUUUAAUGAAUCAUGGCAUUGAAAUGGACACUACUAAUUGAUGUCGGCAAUGCUUGAUAUAGCAUAUACUCUUACACUCAAUCAAGCCAAAGUAAAAUGCUCUUCUUUUUAGGGUGGUCAUGCUCACACCACAUAUUUUGAUAAAUUACAUAUAAGGUCAUUAACUUUUAUUCAUUGUCACAAUUAUAUUCUUAAAUUUUUUUUUUCAUCGCAUUCUUAUUUUUAGCAUUUCAUUAAUCAAUUUUUUUUUUGUCCUCAUUCGUGAUUUGUUUUCAAAAAUAUUAUUAACCUGCUUUAAAAUAAUUAUAAAAUAUUAUUUAUUUUGUUUAUUCAAAAAUACAAUCGACAAAUGAGACAUUUGACUCUAUCUUAAAAAAAUAAAAGAAAAAAAAUAAAAAAUUUGAGAGAAACCAUAAUCAGAAACAAUUUAUGUUAAUUUGAAAAUAAGAAUGUGAUGAAAAAAAUUGAGAGAUAAAUGUAAUAAUAUGUAAAGGUUAUGUACCUUUUAUACAAUUAAAAUGUAGUCUAGUUAUUAAAAAUUGUGGUGGGAAUAUAUUUAGCAUUUUUUAUGUCAAUAAUCAUUCUAUGUUAUAACCAUUAUAGAAAGCUUUUUGUUCUAAUUAAUAUUCUUUUCACUUUUCUUUUCCAAAAUUUACUCUAUGAUGGAAUCAAGAGAUAACAAACUUGCACCAUAAUGAAUUGUUUUUUCUCAUCAUUACUGCCCUUGAAAUUAAACAGACAUUUAACCCUCACACGACUUGCUAUUCGAGCUACGUAAAAAUAGAUAAUGUUCUUGAAUUUAAAGAACAACUAAUUAAUAAUAAAAGACAAAGGAACAAUUAUUUAUUUAUUUAUUAUUAUUAUUUUUUUGCAUGUAUCUUAAAUAAGAUUAACAAACUAUACCCUCUAUAUCACAUUGUGUAACAUUUUACGUACGUUAAAUAUAAAUUGUUAGAAUUUAUUAUGUUCUAUAAAGUGCUCUUUAUGAUAUAGUAAUCUAUUAUGAGAUUUGUAUAAUUUUAUUAUCUUCAAUUCUUUGAACUCCAAGAAUAAUAUAUAAACUUUUAUGAAUUAAUAAGGUAUUAAAAAUAUGGAUAACAUUUCACUUGAUGUGUUUGCCAACAUCGCAAACGGACAAGCAAAAAUUCUUAGUUGUCGAUUUUCUAAGUGAAUUUUUUUCAAAGAAAAAAAAAUUAAAAAUAAAUAUAAUAAUUUUUAUAUAAGUUAUUAUUGUUCAACUUAAAAUUAAUAUAUAAUUACCUAUAAUUGGGAUUUAUUAGCAGAUUACAAAAAGCUCCCUGAGGUUUAUGAAAAUUAGAGAGACACUCCCUCCAUUUUUAAAAUGUACACAAACCUUCCUUGUGUUAAUGUUUUAAAUAAUGUAUAUAUCCCAUUUAAGUUAGUGACAAUUUUAGAGACAUCUCUAAAAAAUUACAUUAAUAUCUCUUAUUUCAAAUUUUAAAUAACACAUAACUCCACUAAAAUUUAUGACAAUUUCAAGGACAACCUCUCUAGUUACGAAAUUACACAAGCCUCCCUUAUUUUAAGAUUUGAAUAACACAUACCCCCUCUAAUCACUUUUCUUUUACAUGUUAGUAUAUCAGGUAUUUGGUGUGGUUUCUACUAAAGUGUGUGCUUCGACCUUGUUUGGUUAACAGUAAUUCUUAGGUGGAAUUUUGGGAACCCAAGAGUAGGGUUCAGGUGUCGCCUGUGGAUGCCUUGCAGAGGAAGAUACUUUUGGUGAUGGAGACUUUUGGUUAUUGUGUUGAGGAGUUUGGCUAUUUCGAUGAAGACAGACUUAUUUCUCAAGUGAAGAAAUUUUGGAGCUUCGUUCGUUGCACCGAAAUUUAGGUCAAGAUGGAGAUUAUUAGAUUUUUGUGCCCUAAAUUAGGGAGAAUUUUUUGGAAAAUAUUAUUUCUUUACUUUCACGUGAUUUUAUUGGAAAAUAUUGUUAUUUUCACAUGAUUUCAUUGGAAAAAUAUUAUUUUCUUAAUUCCACUUUACUUUUUAUAUUAUUUCCAUCUUUAUGGUAUGGUAUGUACCUAUAAAUACUAGUCUUUUCUUUCACUUUAGUUCAAAUAAAAAUUGUUGUGCUGUAAUUUUCUCCAUAGAUUGUUAUAAUAAAACAUCAUUUCCUCUGUUUAACUUUCUUCGAUUUCUUUACUUUAAAUCUUGUUUCAUCUUUGGGAUUUUGUGUACAUAUUUCAUACAACGUCAUUAAUCUCAAUUCUUGCAUCGCCUUUGGGAUCAACAGGUAGGUCAAGUGAUAAGUGUUAUUUGCUUGAAUAUGAAGUUACAAGCUAUGUCUCAAAAGUUGAUUUUACAGAUCUGUAGCACAAAUGGUUUGGAGACCUAAACUAUGGAAAUCUUGUCAAACCUACUAAACUUGGUGUGGUAAGAGGAGCUCUUAAAGUCAGAGAAAAACCUAAAAGUAUGCGUAGCUCAUGCUAGAAAGGUAAAAAAACUAGAAUUUCUGAUAAACAAGGUCAGUUUCUCUUGAAUUGCUACAUAUGGAUUUGAUAGGGUCAAUUCAAACUGAAAGCCUCGGUUAUAAGAGGUAUAACUAUAUGGUUACUUUGGCAGACUUCUUAACUGAGGAAUCUGAUGUCCUUGAAAUACUUACAUUCUCAUACAAAAAUUGACCAUUGAAAAACACCUGAAUAGGACUAAAAUUAUAAGAAUUAGGAGUGAUCAUGGUAAGGAGUUUGAGAAUGCCAGAUUUUCUAAAUGAAAAGUAUGGUAUUUUUUUAUGGAUUUUCUGCUCCUAAAACCCCGAAUAGAAUGGUGUUAUUGUGAGGAAGAAUGUAUCAUUACAAAAAAGGGCUAGGAUAAUGCUAAAUUGUAAGAAAUUGCCUAUUAAAUUAUGGGCUGAAGUUGUAAAUACUGCUUGCUAUAUUAAACUGUGUGUAUUCUUAAGAAUUGGUGCCUUACAAUCACAUUAUGAAAUCUAAAGAGGUAGGAAACCAAAUCUUAAGUACUUUUGUAUUUUUAGUUAUGUGUUAAAUGACGGGGAACAUUGGAAGAAAUUUGAUCCUAAGAGUGAUAAAGGAGGGUUCAUUGGCUAUUCAAAAAACAAUCAAGCUUAUAAAUUGUACAAUAUGAGGACUCAAACUAUCGUUGAAUGAUACUGAUGAUUAUUAUUCUUAUUCACAAGAACCUAAGAUUUAGAACUCGGAGGAACAGUUUGAAACUACUCUGACUACUUAGGAAACAUGUGCGACAGACUUUGAAAAUAACAGUCAGACAGUUCCUCCAAUACUUGGUUUUGGCAAUUCUGAACUAGCUACUAUUAGUGGUAAUAUACUUGAAAAAGACAGUGAAUCGUAGGAUAGAAGGUAGCCUCCUACUUGGAUUCAAAAGGCGUAUUAUCUACACAAUAUGCUCUCUGAUCGAGGAGAUAGAAUGAUGACCAGAUCAAGACUUGUCACAAAACUCGAGAAUGUAUGCUACGUGUCAUAUAUUGAACCAAAAACUGUGAUUGAAGUACUUAGUGAUGAAUCGUGGGUGUUAGCUAUGCCAAGAAUUAGCUCAAUUUGAGCGAAAUAAUGUAUGGGAACUAGUACCAUGGCCAACAUGUACAAAUGUUAUUUGAACUAAAUGGAUCUUCAAGAACAAAUCAAAUGAGCAAAACAACAAACAACGUAAAAGAUGAUUGCACAGGGUUAUACCCAAGUUGAAGGAGUAGAUUUUGAAGAGAUUUUCGUUCCUAUAGCCCGACUUCAAUCUAUUAGACUUUUAUUGUAUAUUGCAUGUCAAUCGAGAUUCGAACCUUUCAGAUGGACGUUAAGAGUGCCUUUCUGAUUGGAAUUUUAAAUAAAGAGGCCUACGUUGAGCGAUCAAAAGGUUUAAUUGAUCCAUAUCUUCUUGACCACAUGUUCAAGCUUAAAAAAACAUUAUAUAAGCUGAAAAAAGCUCCCCAAUCUUGGUAUGAAAGACAUACUAUAUUCAUACUAGAGAAGUGAUACAAGUGAGGAAGAGCUGAUAAAACAUUGCUCAUCGGACAUCUUAAGACAAAUUAAUCAUGGGUCAAAUAUAUAUGGAUGAUAUAGUAUUGAACCCACUAAAAAAAAAAACCCAGGAAGUUUAUCAAUCUUAUGCAAGAUGAGUUUGAAUUGAGUAUAGUUGAUGAACGGUUAAUUUUUAUGGGUUUGCUGGUUAAGCGAGUUCAUGUAGAGAUCUUUAUCUUGUAGGCUAAGUAUGUAAAGAAUCUCGCAAAGGAAUUUAGCCUGAAAAACAUUAAGGCAGUCAGGACUUCCAUGGCUAUAUCUGUAAAGAUCUACAGAGAUAAUCAGGACAAGGACAUUGACCCUAGCCUAUAAAAGAGCAUGACUGGUAGCUUGCUAUCUCAUUCCAAGUUAUCGUAACAUAGCCUUCAGUGUUAGAGUGUGGACAAGAUAUCAACUAAAACUGCAAGUAAAGUGAUGCUGAUUUGGCAAGGAACUUGGAUGACAGAAAACACAUUUGUAGGCUGUUUCUACAUAGGUAAUGAUCUUAUCUCUUAGCUAAAUAAGAAACAAAACUCUAUUUCCUUUUCUAAUAUAGAAGCUGGGUACAUCAUUGUCGAUAGUUGUUGUGUAAAGCUACUUUGAAUGAAGCAGAUGUUUAGUGACUUUGGUAUUGAACAAGAUUCUCUAUCAUGUUCUAUGAUAACACCAGUACUAUAAACAUCUCUAAGAAUUUAGUCCAGUGUUCUAUGACUAAGCAUAUUGAUAUAUUCAUCAUCACUUCGUUAGCGACUUAGUCGAAGGAUAAAAUUGUCCUAGAACACAUUCACAUUGAAGGACAAUUGGCAGAUGUACUCACUAAGCUUUAGAUACUGGUUGAUUUGAAAUUUUGUGGAAAACUGUGGGCAUAUGUAUGAUUAAUUAAAAACUCUUUAUAUAUAUAUAUAUAUUACUUUAUUUUGUGUGUUCACCUUGUUUGAUGUAUUUUGCGUUUUUAUAAGAACAAAAAAUCGAAAAAAUAAAAAUAAAAAUUGGGGUGUUUAUUGCAAUGACACAAGAUGUGGAUAUCUGAUUGAUUUGUAGUUAUUAAAAUGAAAUUGAAAUCUCCAAUCAGUGUGGUGUGCUCAAAAUAAAUUAUGAUAAAUUAUUAUCAAAUAAGUACAUUAUUAGAACAUUGUGACUACUUCUAUUGUAAACAUUUACUGACCAGUUUGUCACUUUAAUGCGGCAUAUGUUUGAAUGUAGACAUAUGAUUAGUAUAUAUGUCUCUCUACACUAUAAUAUGAUGGUGUGCAAAUAGACAAGUUCAUUGGAGGAGAGGGCUACCACCAUAGAUGUGUGAAGCCAUUCUUAAUAGUAAACAUAAAUUAUGAGAAAAAACCUACUUCCUAUAAUUGUGUGAAAGUUAACUCCAUGAAUUGAAAAGAUCAUAAAUUAAAAGAAAACUGAAAAGAGUCAUCAUAUGAAUAUUUAGAAGAAAAAUUUUAAAAAUUAUAUUACAUUCUCGAUUCUGGCAUGCACAUAUCUUUAUAUCUACAUGGACAAUUUCAGAUUAUGGCUGAUUUGAAAUAUGCUUUUGCAUGCAAUUAUUGCAAGUGUCAAUUUUGGUUAGGAUAUGAUUCAUAAUUGAUUAGUAUAAAAUUGUACUAUUAGACACUCACAUUUUAAUUUGAUAAAUUAAUUGAAUUAAUUGUGAGCAAACAUCUAACUGAAAUUUUUAUGAUUAUCUUGAUGAUUUUAAGCUAAUUGUGAAAUUGAUUGACAAUGAAAAUUUUCCUAAAAAUAUUAUGAUUGAUUGAAUUUUGGUAAAUUUCAUUAUUAGAGUGUGAUUAACAUGUCUGGGAUCUUUUGCAAAAUUUUCAGAUCUACCGUCUAAACACGAGUAAGAUCGGCAAGAGCAAGUCUUCGUCUCUACAAGUAAACCAACCCAUCGAAGUUCACGACAGAGACGAACAAUGCCUUGCGCCCAUGUUGCCACUAAGCCCAUUCAAUUAGAUCAUGAGGAAAAAGAGGCUAUCGUACUAGUUUAACCACAUCAAGAGACCCAAGGACUGAAGCCUCUAAAGAAAGCAUGUCGUCAACAACUUCAGAAGAAUCAGGGCGUCGAAAUGAGCCCGUUCUUACCCUAGCUGACAUGUUCAAAUCUUUGAGCACCACAUUGAGUCGUCUGAGGACAAUGACGAUGGAAACAGUGACAAUAGGGUGAAGGGGAUAACAAAGAAAAAUAGACAGACUAAUAUCAUGGGUAUAAGGAAGUCAAAGUAGAAUUUGAAGAUGCUACAGAUAAGGAGGUCAGUCCUGACCUGCCUAAGAAGGAUACACCACCUACUGUACCUAUUGUUGAGAAAGUUCAGACUCCUACCACUGUUUAAAAAGAAACCUAAAAAUCAUGGAGUGAAAUAUUUUAAUGGUCACCGAAAUUUGCACCUUGUCACGACUUACUCACCGAACUUUCUUAAGCAUUCCAUUAGCCACUAAACUUCGCUCCGUCCUACUCUAUUACUCACCAGGUGGAUUCCGUUUAAAUUGAUGCGUGGAUGGCAAAAUUAUGAGUUGGUAUGUUAAUUCCCUCCAAUAGUAAAGUCCUCAGCCAUGUUAAGGCCAUGUCAUCAAUUAAAACAUGACUUCCAAUCAAUAUAUCGUAUUUCCUAUGACUUUGAAAUCCCAAAAAUUACCACUAACCCUAACCCCAAGUGAAUUUGAUUCUGCAAUAACAACAAUAGAAACCCCAUCUUCGAUCGGGAGGAAAUUGAAUUCAUUUAUUUGUCGGUGCAAGUUACCUUCUCAUUUGCAUUUCUGCUACGGUAGUCCCAAAUUUGAGAGUCCAUUUUCUCAGCUCGUAUGGUGUCCAAAGCUCAGGCAACUUGGAGCUCACUGAGUAAUGUUUGAAGCCAAAUAGGUUCUGAAGGAACUGUGCAUUAAAGGUAAAUUUAAUCCAUUUCAAUUAUCAAAUUUUUGUUUGAACGUUAAUUUUACUAUGCAAAGGGUUGUAUACAUUUCCUUUUUUUUUCUUAUUAUUAUUUUUUAAUAACUAACUUCAAUCUAUCAUUUUUGAUAAUGAAGAAUUACAUUGGGGUUAAUUUUGUAUUUGUCAAUUCAGGGGCUGGAAACUUCUUCAUUCAAAAAUGUUUCAUUUUCUGAGCUGCCACUUUCCAUUGAUAAAAUUCAAGAACCACUAGGUUAAUGGGGUUAUUAAAUAAGAAUGCAUAAUUCUCAUAUUUACAAGCAAGGAUGAUUGGUCAAGGAUAUUGAAAUAAUCUGUAAUACAUAAAUUUAGUUAGUCAAAAAAAUUUAUUUUGGAAUAAUUGAUUUGUGUCUGCAAUUGCAGUUUUCAAUAACAAUGAAAAACAAGGAUAAUUGUAAUAGUUGUAGGAAACCAAGGCACUACCUGUCAGAAUGCCCGAUAAAGAAAUGAUGCCCAAGAUACGGCAUGGGAUUUGUGAAAUGCAUGGAGGUAGAAAAGAUGAAAUUUUGAAAUGUACGGAGGUAGACAAGAAGACUGCAAACAUGGGAUGGCUAUCCUUCUAUUGUAUAAAAAAAAAAAAAAAAAAAGGUUAAACCCUAACUUUAAGCUAUCCUUCUAUUGUAGUAAUGAUGGUGGGCAUUUCAAGUGGGGCAAUGUUUUAUCUGGCGAAAAUGAACAUGUGCGAUUUGAGGGUGAGUCUAGUGGUGCAUCAUGAUGUGCUUGUUUGGGUAAUAUUGAAAAAGUUUGCUAAAAAAUUUGAACAAGUGGACGUGGAGAUCUCCUUCAAUAUUACUAUUCGUGUAAAUAGUAUGCAUUGAUUAAUUAUUGAUGUUAAAAACAUAUUUCACCUUUUUUAGCUUUUCCAAUCAAUCUUCUUUUCAAUAAGAAUGAGAACCUUGUAUUGCAGGAGGAUAUCAUUGUAGUUUCACGAACUGUAUUUCCCUUUUCAUCUUCAACAAUCAUAACUUCUCCUGGCUUCUCCAUGCAACAUAUUGUAAGCAAUCUCAACUUCGACAUUGGAAAAACAUAAAGUUGUCGCCUCUGCAUGAUUUGUGAGUCAACCAUAGCCGAAAACAUCUGAUAAUUCAAUACAAAAAUCAGGCAUCAGCUAAUUCUCGUAAGAACUAUCUUACCUUUGAUCACUAUCCAGAGAUUUGCUGUGCAAUUCUUCAAAAGUGCCAGACAAUUUCUAAGGAGCCAUAAUCGUUAGCUGACCAAAUUCACUAGCAAUAGCUUUAGGAGAAGAGAAAAUUUAUGAGAAUUACACUGCAUGAUUGGCGCUUUAUUACUAGCAAUGAUAUACACAGCCUUCUUUCUUAGGUAUAGUUUACGCUCCUCAUACCAUGGUAUCUUCAUGAGAACCAUCACAUAAUAGCAAUUGAAUCUCUACACUUCUCAAUAUUCAGAUCCAUUCUGAGAAACCUACUUAAAUUUAUCACUUAUUUCAUUUUCUUUUCAUUGGGCAGUCAUCCAAGGACACGCACAACAAGAAAACACUAUUUAAACAAUUUACCUGGGAGAACUAGUCCUUCAAAGUCUUCAAAUUUAAAACUGGAAACUAUAUGUAUCAUAUAACCAACAGGAAAACAGGAUUAUGACUUUCAACCUCACUCAGGAAACAAAGAUGGAUUGAUCAUAUUCAAAGAUCUAAAACAAGAGAAAAAGAUGAGAAGGGACUAAAAUAAUCUAUUGCACCUGCAAUCUCAUCAUGUUUGUGGCUGCUGCAGGAUUGUCCUGAUUAUGAUGUGCUUCAAACAGCUCUAAAACCAGUGAAUUCCAAUAGUCCAAGCAAACAUGACAAAUCAAAUCAACAGCAACUUAGUUGUUAUUAGAACCAAAAUAGUGAUAAAGUUUUAUUGGAUAAACGAGUCCGUUCAUGUGCAAGCCAACCAGUCCUUGCUCGAAGUACAGAAAUGAAAUGGGUGCCGCUUCUUGACGCUUGGGUUGGCCUCUCCGAGUGGUCGACGAGGGAACUUGGGUAAUUGAUUUUCUUGAUUUGGGGCUUAGGGUUCCGAUGGAGCUUGGAUAAAUUUCAUAGUCAUUUGGGGGAUUAGGGAUGGAGCUUGGCCAAUUGAUUUGGGAAUUUCCUUCUUCACGUUUCUGGGUUCAGACACAAAGGGUUCGAGACAGGAAUUCACUAUCCAGAGAUUUGCUGUGCAAUUCUUCAAAAGUGCCAGACAAUUUCUAAGGAGCCAUAAUCGUUAGCUGACCAAAUUCACUAGCAAUAGCUUUAGGAGAAGAGAAAAUUUAUGAGAAUUACACUGCAUGAUUGGCGCUUUAUUACUAGCAAUGAUAUACACAGCUUUCUUUCUUAGGUAUAGUUUACGCUCCUCAUACCAUGGUAUCUUCAUGAUAACCAUCACAUAAUAGCAAUUGAAUCUCUACACUUCUCAAUAUUCAGAUCCAUUCUGAGAAACCUACUUAAAUUUAUCACUUAUUUCAUUUUCUUUUCAUUGGGCAGUCAUCCAAGGACACGCACAACAAGAAAACACUAUUUAAACAAUUUACCUGGGAGAACUAGUCCUUCAAAGUCUUCAACUUUAAAACUGGAAACUAUAUGUAUCAUAUAACCAACAGGAAAACAGGAUUAUGACUUUCAACCUCACUCAGGAAACAAAGAUGGAUUGAUCAUAUUCAAAGAUCUAAAACAAGAGAAAAAGAUGAGAAGGGACUAAAAUAAUCUAUUGCACCUGCAAUCUCAUCAUGUUUGUGGCUGCUGCAGGAUUGUCCUGAUUAUGAUGUGCUUCAAACAGCUCUAAAACCAGUGAAUUCCAAUAGUCCAAGCAAACAUGACAAAUCAAAUCAACAGCAACUUAGUUGGUAUUAGAACCAAAAUAGUGAUAAAGUUUUAUUGGAUAAACGAGUCCGUUCAUGUGCAAGCCCACUAGUCCUUGCUCGAAGUACAGAAAUGAAAUGGGUGCCGCUUCUUGACGCUUGGGUUGGCCUCUCCGAGUGGUCGACGAGGGAACUUGGGUAAUUGAUUUUCUUGAUUUGGGGCUUAGGGUUCCGAUGGAGCUUGGAUAAAUUUCAUAGUCAUUUGGGGGAUUAGGGAUGGAGCUUGGCCAAUUGAUUUGGGAAUUUCCUUCUUCACGUUUCUGGGUUCAGACACAAAGGGUUCGAGACAGGAAUUGGCUUGGGAGGAUAAAGGGACUUCACGCUUUCCACAAAUGGAUUUUCAUUUUGUUAACUGAAAGGAGUAGGAGGCGGAAAAUGGGAAGUCCGGCUCUGGGAGGACGAGGCGGAGACAGCGGAGCCGAAACUAGGAGUAAGCGGCGGCAGAGGCAGAGGCAGAGGCAGUGGCAGAGACGUAGUAUGGAAUCGGACUGAAUUUGACUGGAUGGAAUGGGUUGAAGUCGUUCAUAUAAAUGGUGAUUCGGUAUAGUACUGGCCUAAUAAAUGGGCUUCACUUCUUGGCUGGCCGGGAUUGGCGAUAUUGUUAAAAAAUAUAAAAAAAAAAUUUGGCAUUUCUCAACGUUUAUUAAACGUUGCAAAAUAGAAAUUCGCAACAUUUGAUAAACUUACUAAAGAUUUCUCUUUUUAUAACAUUUGAUAAAUGUUGUGAAGAUAAAAAAUUCGCAACACUAAAUAAACGUUGUUAAAAGGCGACAUUAGCAACAUUCACUUAAAAAAUAUUGUCAAAUCUCAAUUAUUAACACCAAUGACAACAUUCAUUUAUUAGAAUGUUACAAUAGAUCCUUAGCAAUUUUAAUUAAUGAAUGUUGCCUUUUACAUGUUGCAAAAAGGCAUUUUUGUUGUUGUGCUCGCUAAUACUUAAAUUUAAAUGGGAUAAGUCAAUAUAUCAGAAUGGAUCAAUCUGCAAUCCAUAAAUAAUGAAAGAUACGAAUUUACCACUUUAGGAUCGUCAUUAUUCGCCUUAAACUCUUCAACAACUGUAGCAACCAAUCAAACACAAUCGAAUCCCAAACGCGUAAAGGAUGAAAUCGUCCACAUUUCACCGUAUAACCUGAAAUAAAAAACUAACACCAGAAUAUUAGAAAUAAUGUCAGGAACAAACUUCCCGAAGACAGCGUCGCCAUAAACUGUCGUACACACCUACACACCCUUGGAGUCUCUGCGCAUGAUUUCGUGCACCAUCGGACUGACUCACCUGUCAACCACCCUGAUACGCCUCCUCCUGCAAUCAUGUUUAUGAUCUCCAUUUCAUUAAACUCAUUUUGAUUUGGCCUAAAAUUGCAUAAACAACCUCGAUUUAAAAAAAAAAAAAUUAGACAAUUUUUUAUUUUUUUUAUUUUUUAUUUUUUUACUUCGAUUCUGCCACUUUUUCUGGUCAGAUUUUUUAGCCAAAUCCACUAUCUUGAAGCUCCAAUAUUACAGAAGCUUGCUCAAAGAUAUUCGAAACGAUGAUUUUCGAGUUCAGUUUCACGUUAUCAUUCUUUACCAAACAACCAAUCCAAAUGGCUCCGACUCAUAAUUAAUAUAUUUAUCUCGGUUGCUUUUCAAUCUCACCUAUAAAGGACAAAAUAACAGUGUUGAUUUGCAAGAAAUAAAGGCACGAGUCAAAUGAUGGAAGGAGGUACAAGAUUGAGGCCAAAGACGCAAAGAUAGUCACCGAUUUUUCUUUCAAGCAAGGCAGCCAAUUUUUCCCAGCAAGAGGACCUUUUUUUCAUCUCUACACACAUGCCACAAAGGCUAGGUCAAGAAACAUCUAUAAAUAUAUCAUAAUAAGUUAGACUUAAGUUAGACCAAUAAAGGGGUUGAAUGGGCCAAGAUCUAAUAGCCGUCCAAUAGCCAAUAGGUAAAUAUGUGUGCCAUGUCUUAAGCUACUUCCAAAUGUCUACGUUAUUUUCGGGUCGAGCCUUUAGGCUUGGUUGUUGAUAAUCAAUUCACCAUUGAUUGAGGCAUAUGAAAAUGUAUUUCGACAAUUUACUUCAUCACAAGGGAUUUAUUGGGUAUUAAAACCCUACAGAAGGAGUUGGGGAGAGGAAAAUGGACAAUUUAGUAAUAUUACUGUGUGCACUAGCAAAUGUUGACGAGGACGAGGGUGAAGGCGAAGUCCAACAAUGGGGGGGGGGGGCCCAAAAUGAUCUCAGAGAGACGAAUGAAAGGAAAAAUGUGGCUAAAAAAUAAUAGGAAGGGGGUGGUUGGGUUUUAGGAGAGAGUCAAAAAAUAGGAAGUGUGUUGUACCAUUGAUGUGGCAACUAAUAUCCUGCACACUAAGGGCAAGAUACUAGUUCUAUUAGUUUAAAUACAAAGAAAGAAAAGAAUGGAAGCAGAAGUAGUUUAUUGUUAGGGAUUUUUCAAAUUUUCAACACAAAGAACAGUUCUAAUGGUGUAAAUGUCCAUUUCUAAACACAUAAUGGUAUAAUGUCAUUUCGAGUCAAUAGCAUUUACGACACUUUUAGCCAUUUUGUCUCCCUUUAAAAUAAAAUUUUAUAAUUUUCAUGCUCAUUUUCAACCAUAGAUUUAUACAAUAAAUAUUGAAUUCAAAAAUUUUCUCUACUUUUUAACCACGCAUUCUUAAAAAAAUCACUAUUCAAAACAUAAUUUUUUUUUUUCUCAAUAAUGACCAUCAAAUAUAGACUUGGAAUAUAAAUAAGGGUAUAUCUGACUUUUUAACAUAUAAUGAGCCUUAAAAACUUAUUUUGAAUAAGCUAUACCCAUAAUCACUUUUGAUAGUUUAAGCUAGAAAAUACCCACAUCAGUUAUAUUUUCUGUUCAACAAGUUUGGUAACCUAAAUUGUGUUUGGGGAUGAAAUUUCUAAAGAAGAGUUAGAAUGGAAUUUUCUGAGAGGCUAGUAGUCUUCAUAUAGCACACAUGGACUACUUACUGUCCUGUUUCUUCAUUUAUUUGGGGACUUCAAUAUAAUAUAGUGGUCAUUGGUUUGAUUUCGCAUCCACGUUUCCAACAUAAACUGAAAUUCUGUCAAGUAAGUCGCGUUACACUUUUCACUGUUUAUCAGAAAUCACAGCUAACUUGAUUGUCAAAGUGAAACAUUUUUUCAACUUGUGACACAGACUAAUGCUUGCAAUUUGCAUUUGAGAACAUGUUUCUCAUCCAUAUUAGUGCUUCCUUCGAAAAAUAUAUUGGUUUGUUUGGUAAACUCAAACUCGAACUCAAAUCUAAUAGAUUGAAAAGAGAGAGUCCAGAAUGCUAUAAAUUAGCAAAAUAGCAUAAAAAGAUUAGCUAACAGAAGACACUGUUUAUGAAGCAUAACUCAACGAAGGCAAAGGCAGAAAGAUAAACAAGAAGCAAUAAACAAGAAGCAAGCUACACUAGACAAUUUGCACAAGACUUCUACGAUAUUUUGAGCUUUGGGAUAUGGGAAAUACUAAUCCAAUAUUGGUCUCCAGUUUCCUUCUUGUAUUUCUGCUGUAUGAGCGGACAAUUCUGGAUAUGCAACUUCCUUAAUGGUGCUGCCUUGAAGAGAAGAUGCGGCAGUGCCUUCAGAUUGCUGCAGUUGUAAAGUUUCAAAAAGCGGAGUCUAGGCAUGAUCUUGAUGUGUUCAUUUGCAGCUCUGAUCAUGUUCCAUUCUUCCCAACUUCCCAUGUUUGAAAAUUUCAGUUUAUUCAACUUUGGGAAUGCAAUAUUUUCAGCUGAUGAUAAUGCCAAUGAUCUGUCUUUGCUAUCUGUUGUGAUUUGAUCAUUCACAUUGUCUGUUGCACCCAAAAAUUCGAGCCCAAGAGAUUUCAGAUUAUGCAGACCACCUAUAUGUAGAGUUGCCAGGGACGGAAGCCUUCCAAGAGGAGGCAAAAUUGUGCAAUUUUGGCACUCUUGAAGUGAAAGAUCUUUCAGGCUGGUUAAAGUUACCAUCCAAUUGGCGAAUCGUGUGCCUCCAUAUGAACUUAUUUUUAAAGAUUGCAACCCAGGGUGCAACUGAAGAGCUUCAAUCACUUCGUCUUGGUUGCCUGUUUGAGCCUUAGAAUUGAAGUCAAGGUGCAAGUCCGAAAUAUGUUUCUUUUCACUCAACUCUGCUAUCCGGGCCUCGUCAGCAUUUGUCACGUAACCCAAUCCUUCGAUUUUAAGACAUCCACAAUGUUGAAGGCAAUUGCCAGAAUGGGUUAUGGGAUAAGUUGAGGAACUUCAAGCUAAUCAACUUCCCAACUUCUUUUGGAAGUUCACCCAACCUGUUACGACUUAAAUCUAACACCUUGAGACAUGCCGAGCGAUUGCAUAAAUCUGGCUCAAUCUUGUCCAAUUCACUGAUAAUUGGAGGCGUAUCAAAGAAAGAUUGAACCCAAAACGAGUGUAGUUUUCCCGCAUUAGCAAUGGAUGUAGGAAAACGGACGCCUUUUGCACGUACCAGGGUCAAAUGACGAGUCGUUUUAUAAGACGAUCCCAAAUUUACUGCUAGCUCCCCAUCAACCUCCACCACAGAACAUUCUCUCUUGGUAAGAUACUGCGCAAAAUCAUGAACCAUGUCGUGCAUCUUAAAUCUUAAAAUCCUUUUACCGUCCUUGUCCUUUUCUAUCUCUUGGAAGAAAGACCUCAUAGCCAAAUUUUGCAAGUAUUCCUCACCUAAUACUUCCAUUUCUACAUUUUUCUCAGGGCAGAGAUAGCCUUGCGCCAUCCAGAGUUUGAUCAAAUUGCUUGCGUUGAUGACGUGAUGUUUUGGAAAGAAAGCACAAAACGAAAAGCACCUUUUCAUUGUCGAGGGCAAAUCGAAGUAGCUCAACAUCAAAGGAGGAAAGAGACCUUUUUCUGCUCCUUCAAAUUCCCAGAAUUCACUAUUCAGAACAUUCUGCCAAUCUUGUAAAGAAUUCUUGAACCGCAUAAGACUGCCAAUAGUCUUUACAGUAAGAGGUAUGCCCCGGCACUUGUCAGCUAUUUUCCUUCCAAUUCCUUCCAAUUCUUCACAAUCCUCUAUACUUCUUUCAAAAAACGCUAUUUGACUGAAUAGCGACCAACUGUCCUCGUCUGCCAACUGCCCCAAAUGAAGCUCAUAGCUACUUCUCAACAUUUUUGCGGUUCUCUCGUUUCUCGUCGUCACUAGAAUUUUACUUCCAGAUGCACCAAUUUUGAGAGAGUUGAACAAUUGUUCCCAUUUCCUGUAGUCAUCUGUCCACACAUCAUCUAGCACAAGCAGGAACUUCUUUCCUGAAAUAGCGUUCCUAAGACGGCGCAAUACAGUUUCAAGUUCAUAUAAAAACGGAGCAUUACCUUCAAGGUCUUCAACAAUCGCUUUUGCAACUCGAACUUCAUCAAAAGGCUCAGAAACACAUACCCACAUUUUUCUCUCAAAAUCUUGCUCUACAGAAUCACAAUUGUAAACCAUUUGUGCUAGAGUUGUUUUACCAAUUCCCCCCAUGCCGACUACAGAAACAACAUGGAAUCCAUCACUUUGGCUACUCUCAGACAACAACUUGCUUACAAGAGUAUUCUUAUCCACAUCUCGACCUCGUACUUCAGAUACAUCAAUAUAAGAGUUAGUUUUUAAUCUCUCAGGAUCACCACUCUCCGUUAACGUAUUAAAAUUGUACCUAUUCUUCUCGGUGGCAAUAACGUCGAGUCUUUCCUUAAUGCCCUUAAUCUUGAGAGCUAUGUCACGACGUAGGGCAAAUCGCCUAAAUCGAAGGCUAGGUAAAGAGAUAAAAGACCAUACCUUUUUCUUGGAAAGGGAUGAAUCUUCAACACCUUCAGUUUUCGCCUUUCGGAUUGCAGUUAACCAUUCAGACAACACAUCGUCCAUGUCAUAGGCUAAGUCUUUGAGCUUUUCUAACCACAAUUUGACUGAUUCAUCCUUCACUUGUCUCUUUUCAGCAUCAACAAGCACAGAUCGGAUGGAUUCCAAUCCGCUGGUGAGUUUUUCGAUAUCUUUUUUGACCCCCACAACUAAUCUCACCUGCUUUCGGAUCUGUUCUUCCGUGAUUUCAGCCAAUUGUGUUAACAUUACAGUUAUCAUUGCUUCAGCCAUGGUUGAAGAUGACAACAGAUUGAACAAAAAGCAAGUGAAAUUGGCUCAAGAGAUUAGACAAACAGGGAUGGAUUUUUCUUUUUCUUUUUCUUUUUGUCACUUAAAUGAAAAGUGAAACGAGAGAGAGAGAGAGUGAAAUUGGCUCAAGAGAUUAGACAAACAGGGAUGGAUUUUGAUUUUGAUUUUUCUUUUUCUUUUUGUCACUUAAAUGAAAAGUGAAACGAGAGAGAGAGAGAGUUAUUUUUUAGUGCUAAAAAAUUCAACCAUUGAUUUUCCUGGUAAGUGAUUGGAAAUUUCCAUGUGGGUGCCCAAAGGAAGAGAGAGAGAGAGAGUUAUUUUUUAGUGCUAAAAAAUUCAACCAUUGAUUUUCCUGGUAAGAGAUUGGAAAUUUCCAUGUGGGUGCCCAAAGGAAGACUUUGAAGGAGGAAGACUUCAAUUAUUGCGUUUUGAUAGGAAGCUUCAUAUGUAGUAAUAAGGAAUCUUAGAAAUUUUCAAGUGAUGAUUGCAAUAUUGUCUAGCACUAUAAUAUUGUCCAGUGCUAUCUAAUUGUCACGUCCAAACAUGUUAAUGCAAGACCAACAUAAUUUACAAUCAUAAAUAGAUAGAGAUAAAAUUGGUGACAAAUAUAAUGACAUAAUAGGUGUUUAACAACUAUUUGAUUUCCUAAUUUGAAAAUGAUUCUUUGAGAACAAUGCCUCGAGAUCCUAGACUGAACGGUUUAUAUUUAUUUUCUGAAAGCAUUUCUUUUGUAUUUCCCUGUGCUUCUAAAUUUCAGCAUGGAAUUUCUUGUAUGCUGGAAUCAACUUGUCAACCAUGGACGCACGAAGUUUAUUCAGGAGCUCUGAAUCAUGUACUAUCCAGUUCGUCUGAAGUGUCUGAAUCUCUUCAAACACAGAAUUAAUGGACUUCAAUCCUUUUCUCAAUGCAGGUUUUGACACACGAGUAGAAAAACACCAAGUAACAUAAAGUCCCUCUUCUUGACAACAAGACAAGAACUUGUCACAAGUUGAAACUUGAUAGCUAGUCAUUGCUUGCUUGACAUUCCUAUACAGUUUCUCCAUAUAAUCAUCACCAAUAAUCUGUCGUAGCUCCUUGGAUUCUUCGAUCUUUUCUACAAUGUAAUGAACAUUGUUCAUCAUGAACAAAUGCCUUAAAGAGACAUGAUUGAGCUGCUCUGAUUUUCCCUUCAAAUUCAGUUGUAAGACCACAAUGAUCAAAAUAAAAUGAAGAGCCAAAUGACUUUUGCCUUUAAGAUCCAGUUGAUCCCCAAAUUUCAAUGGUGGCAUUGAUAUGAUCAAGUCUGUGAGGAGCUCCUUAUUGCAUACAAUGAGAGAGAUAUAAUUCAUCACGCGUUUUGUCAAUGAAUGAGUGGCACCCCUUUUAUCUUGUAUAGGCGAAAGCUCACCAAAAACAGCUUUCUCAAAAUCUAAUAACAUCCUUCUUAUAUUAUUCUCAACUUAAGACAAUGUCACCUUCAUGCCUUGUCGAAUAGCCUCUGCUGCGUGGAAGUCGAACAUGAUAUCUAUGUAUUAUAAAAGAAUCAACAGUGUAUCAUAUAGGCCUAAAAUUGUUUCCGUCCUCUUUGAGGACUGAUUACUGGAACUCAGUGUUUCUACAAAAACAAGUAAAUUAUUUGUAGAAUCUCCCACUAUUUCCCAAAAACAUUCUUCACUAGCCCCAUUUCCAAAACCAGAGAAUAAUUUCUCACUAAUUUGUUUCUCCCAGUCAAAGAAGUAACAAAAACACAACCUAGCCACUUGAAUCCACCGUUCAAUUUUCACCUUCAACUCUUCCCAUAAAAACCUCUUUUUCUUGAAGGUACUUAGAAACCUCUUUUCAUUCCCACCUCUAUACAAUCCUUCCAAGUGAAGCUGUUUUAUCAAUGUGUGGAAAAAGGAUUUCCUCACACUUUUGUGAACUUUGAUGCAAUCUCCAAGGUGUCUGUUGGAAUUUAAUCUUUUUGCGACAUGCCUGAGAUAAAAAAUCACCUCAUCACUUGGUGAAUUGUAUGCUAAUAAAUAAUCCUCGUAUGCAGUACUGGCCAAUGAACUCCAAUCAGAGGUAAUUGAAUCAACAGUGCCAAACGGUUCAGAUUGUCUUAUGAGCAUUGUCAGAAACUCGUGCUUGAGCCGAGCCAUGGCUAUGGAGUUCAGGUCACCAGAUUUUGUUACGUUUGCGGGGAACUGCUGGAUUUUGUCGACAGCUUCUAGGUAUCGAGUUAUUUGACAUUCACUAAGGUUGAAAAUUAGUUGUUCAACUAGUCUAUGAUGCCAAUGAUAGAUUGUAUCAACAGCUGAUUGGUGUGAUAUUGUUAAAGUCACUAUGCCAAUAGACCUUCGAUCGAACUGUUACAAAUGGUAGAAAAAUUUCUAGUUCAAAAUUCCAACUUGUAAAUUUGUGUGGUAAUGAAAAUGGUUGUAUCUUGUGUUCUUGAGAAAGUACUGGUGGCAAAAUAUCUAGAUGGUCCCUAAAUCUAAAUAAAAGAUGGAAGACUUGAAUUGCCGCGUUUGAGAGGAACUUCAUAUGUAAUUGUUGGAAAAUAUCGAGUCAAUAAAAAAUAAAAUUAGAGAAACUCCAAGAUACAUUUCCUUUUUCCCCACAAAUGUGUUCCCAUUGCACAAUGGCAGUUCUGACUAUAGACGGAGUAGACGAUUGUCUAAGGCCUCACUUUGGCGAAAGCCCCAAAUUAUGUAAGAUUAAUUGGUUGAUUGAAGAAAAAUAAAAAAUCUAUGUAUGAAAUUCUUUAAAAUAAAACAAUCAUAUGAAAAAACAAGAAAUUAAUAAAAAUUGAAAAUACAAAAAUUUUUAAAAAUGUAUAAAUGACAUAGAACUUAUCACUUACAUUUAUUUAUCACAUAAAUAUAUUACAAACAUUACUUUCUCUUUCUAUAACUAUUUGACUAUUUAUUGUCCAAACAUUCACUUUCUUUCUUAACAAAACAAAAUGUUUCAUUGUCUCUUCAAAUUUUACAUCAAACAGUAAACCACCAUAAUUUUUUCAACCUACCAAGAAAUAAAUUAUCUCCAUUUGAACUAAAAUUUUGAAGAUUCAAUUUACUAGAUUGAUUUGGUCUUACUGCCAUUGUUACAGCCUUAUAGGUUUCUUUCUUUCUCCCCUUAUCUUCAAAACAUAUACUGCACAGUACAAGGUUGUUGUUAUUAUUAUUAUUUUGGUUUAAUCUCAUGAUAAUAGCCUUUUUAGAUGUUUCAUUUUGAAUUUAAUAAUUCUUUGUUUGUGUUCAUACUUCUUAUUUGUAAGUCAAUUUUUUAUGAAUUAAUAUAAAAUUAAAAGCUCAUUUGUAUUUUAUCGUCAUUUUCAUUAUUUUGUUACACUAUCUCUUGCGGUCAACACUCUCUUAUUUUGUACAUUAAUCACUCAAAUUCAUAUUCAAUUUUGUUUAAACAGUUGCAGUGAGAAAAUGAUCAAAGAAAUGAAUAGACCACUUUAUCAUUGCAUUAUAUUUCCAUUUGCCAAACUUUGCUUAUAGUUUGUAUUGCAUGUUGAAAUUUGAUAUUUUAUUAUUUUCCUCAUCAAAUUUUCAAACUUAGUUGUUCGUAUUAAAUUCUGUAUAAUUAUAUUAAAUUUUUCUGUAAGAAUAAAUUGGCAUAAAGCCCCCGAAUUAUCAAGUCCGGCCCUGUCAUUGCAAGAAUAUUACCCAUAAAUUUGGAUAAACAAGGUAAUUAGCCAAGUUGACGAGCCAACGUUUAGUGAGGACGUUCGUGACUUCAUAGGUGAGAUGAAAAUGGGAGACAAAAUAGACCAUCACAUUGUUCAAACAGAUUAAGCUCUAAUGUCUUGCAUCAAGUUGCUAUUUCUAUCCAUUUUUUCAUGAACUAGUUGAUAAGUUUGAAAAUGUGAUGUGACUUCAUUAGCUUGCAAGGCUAGCAAAUUUGAUUAUGUGACUUCAAAUUUCAUUAUAUGAAAACAAAUGCUUUGAGAUCAAAGCCUCAAGAUCCUCAACUGAAUGCUUUACAUUUAUUUUUUGAAAGCAUUUCGUUUGUGUUUCACUUUUCUGCUCAAUCUCAAUAUAUGUCCUGAACUAGUGUAGGAAUUCCUUAUAUGCUAGAAUCAGCUUGUCAACCAUGGACACACGAAGCUUGUCUCGGAGCUCCAAAUUGUGUACUAUCGAGUUUGAGUGAAAUUUCUGGAUCCUUCAUACAGGAAAUCAAAGGCCUUAAAUCUUUUCCUUAUUGCACCUUUCGACACUUGAGAAUAAAAGCACCAACUAACAUAAAGUAAGUCCUAUUGAAAACAAGACAAUAACUUGUUACAAGUCGAGACUUGAUAGCUAGUCAUGACUUGCUCAACAUUUCAGUUCAGUUUCGCCAUAUAUUCAUUGCCAAUCAUCUCGCGCAACUCAUGAGAUCCUUGGAUCUUUUGUACGAUGUAAAAAAUACUGUUCAUCAUGAGCAAAUGCCUCUAAGGAAUUGAUUAGUGUCUAAAACUGCUUUAAAGAUAUAUCAUUUAUAAGGCAUUUUAUAUUCACUUUGUUUAAAAACACUAAUGUUAGUCUCUAAUUUCAAUUCUAUUGCUGUAAAUUCAGUUUCAAUAAAUACAUGGCAAAAAGUACAAUUAAUUGAAAUACGUAUUUAAAUACAUGUUGGCAUGAGUAUUAUACUUUUGAAAGAGUAUUUAUUUGAUGUAUUUCACAUGUAUUUCCAAGGUAGAACAAGUGGAGCAAGUGGAGAAAAGAUGUUGAAAAGUAAAAAAUGAUUAGCUGUCUUGAGCAAGAUACAACCAUCUCGAUAAAAUGGCAAUAACUCGAGCUAUAGCUAUCAAAACAAGGUGAUUCAAGUUGUAUUGGAAAGAUAAGAUAUGUAUCUACAAUUUUCAUGUUUACCAAGAAGUCAAAUUCGCAUCAUAAAGUGGCCAAAAUUACCACGCAGAGUCCAACUUGUUACCUGCCGGAUACAGCUUUUCUACCUAUGAAGCAUCACUCAUUGUUUUGGCCAUAUCUGAGUUAUUGAGAUCCAAUGGACUUGAUUUUUGCACCAAUGGAAAGCUAACUCAAGUGGUAACAAUUUAUCUUUGAUCAUAAGUUCAAAUUUUCUGCACAAAGUAUCUGAAAAUUUGCAUCAAGUCGCAUGUUCUAGCUGUUUUGAAACUGGAUAGAAAUAAGUUACAUUGUCCACUUGCAUUUUGGAUGUUCCUUUGCCUAUGAAAGGGAAACUUGGCCAAGAUUUUGAGAGCAUCAAUUCCUCUUCAUCAUAUUCUAGUUUCCUUCAUUAUGUAUUUUUAAACCAUUAGCUAGAGUUAAGGGUGAAAUUUUGGUGAAUGUGUAGUAUUGUCUUUGAUCUUUCACUUUGUUCUUCAAUGUUCCUCUUCUUACAUGGUUGAAGUACAUGUUCUACAAAUAGUUUUGGUUUGUUAAAGACUUUGAUUUAUUUUUGACAAUUUUGGCACAAUAAAUGCUUAGAUAAUCUCUAUAUAUCAACAACUUAUUUUGACAUAUUAUUUCAAACAAUUAUCAAGAACUAUCUUUUAGUAUAUUUGCGAUCAAUGUUUUAUCUUCCAUAUUUCAUAUGAGUUAAAUAAAAGAUCAAGAGUAAUUUCUACUCAUUUAUCCGAAGUGAAUCCCCAAUGCUCUAGUGUUCUUCUCCAUCGUAUUUCCACCAAUCUUCACUACUCAUAAACUAGUUUAUUUCCUUCCAAUUCCCUGUGGUUCGACCUCGGACUUCCGAAUUUACUACUUGAGACAACUUGCACUUGGGUUUUCCACCUUAAAUCUGUAGCAAGUUUUUGGUGCCAUUGCCGGGGAUUUGCAUCAAGGAUUAUUUUCUACUACUUUUUGUGAGGUUUUCUUCUCUUUCAUAAUCUUCAUAAAUUAGAUACACUCGUUCCUUUUUCGAUCUUACUACAUUAGUUAUUUUACUUUAAAAGAAGGCCAAGCCUCCUUCAUUUUUUUUAUUUUCUGUUUAUUUUCUUUCUUUAAAGGGAAGGCCGAGCCUCUCGAACUGCCUUUUCUUUAUUAUAUGGUUGGCCGUGCCAUCUAAUUUUCGUUCUUUACAUCUAGUUUAUGUUAUUUUGUCAUAUUGGUAUCGCAUAUUUAAUUUUGAUCGUUUAGUUAAAGAUAAUUGUGAAACUUUCUUUUGUUAAUUUGUUUGACUUACCUCAACACUCACUCACAUCUUCCACCAUGGCUGAUAAUGAAAGCGUACAUGAUGAAAAUGAAAACCAAAAAGCACGAACUAUGCGUGAUUACUUGCAACCUGAAUACACCCAAAGAAUAACACGAUAGUUGUAGCACAGCUUUGGGGUGUCGAUUCCACAGGGAGAUGGACGAAUUGUUUAAAUAAUUUAUUGAACUAGGAUUUCAUGAAUUAUGUGAAAAUAAUUUGUCAAUUAGAAUGAUAUUUAAUUAUCCAUAUGCGAAGCAUCUGAAUUCCUUUAAUUGGAUUGGAUCAUUAACAUCAAUAAUUCAUGGGGUUUUGCUCAAUUAGAGGUUUUCAUCCCAACUCUCUAAUCGGAAGAUUUAACAAUGAAGUUCAAUCAAAUUUCAAUUGUAAUAUUAGGAUUUAGACUUUUUUAAACCAUUCCCACACAUAUUUAUUGGACUAAGAUUAAGAAUCGACUAUAUACACAAUGCAUAAAGCAGUAAAUAAUCCACUAAUAAAGUUGAUUGAAAUUGAAAUUCAACAAUUAGUUCAAUUCCACAAUAGACAAAACAUGAUUGAAUCUAUGAAGAAUGUAGUAAAAGUUAAAUCAAUUUCAAAGUAAAUUCAUAAAAGAUAGUCUAGAUCUAGAAGUGUUUGACAAUAAAAAUAUCAAUUUGCAUGAAUAAAUUAUGUGAAGUCGCCAAAUCCAAUGAGUUCUUUUGUAGCUUCACCUAGGAAUUUAGUUCUCCAUCAAAUUCUUUAGCCCAAGAUGAGAGAAAAUUGUUAUGGAGGUGAAGAUAGACGUUCUCUAUCUAGUCUAGGGCUUAAAAUAGUAUGCCAAGUUGUUUCCAAAAGAGGUUGAACCGAAAAAGGAAACUAAAUUUUCGGUUAGAAUAUUCUGUACGACUAUUUUCAGUAUUUUGACAAUAACUUUAUUUUCGAUGUCCAAUUAAGGAAAUUAAAAGUGAAUUGGAAAUCUAACACAAAGGGAUAUAAUUUUUCUAUAAGUAGCUCUUUCCAAAUUUGGACAUUUACUGGGUUAAAAGUUGAUCUCAAUCUCUAGCUGAAAAUCUAAAUUUUUUUUUUUGUGGUUGUAAUUUGAUUUGUGAAAAUAUUAUGGUCACAUUUAACUUCUUUUGACUUCUAAUUGCACCCAAUGGACUCCUAGCUUUCUCAAAUCAUUAUUUCAUCCCCCGUCUCAUCUUUAUAUUAUUUGCAACUCGGUCCCUAAACUAUCAGUUUCUUCUAUUUUGGUCAUUUUUCGCUCUUUUCUUCUAAAUUUCAGCUUUUCUACCAAAAUACAACAUGAAUCAAAGCAUAAGUAUAAUGAGUGCAUUUUGGUAUCAAAUAAUCACACGAGUGCAAUAAUUAAGAUGGGAAAGUAUUAUAUUUUGCACUCUUAUCAUACCCCAACUUGCUUAUUGCUAGUCCCUAGCAUUUUAAUGCAGAAUAAGUAAAUGAAUGAUUAGAUUGUGAUACAAGUAUAAUUAUUAAGUAUCAAUUUAACAACAUACCAUGUCCCUUUCAAACUCAACACCACAAGAACUUAACAAUGCCAUGAUCUUCAAGAUAUCGAAAACACUUAUCAAAUGUGUAAGUGUGUGUCAAGCUAUAACCAUCUUGCCUCCAACCCUAACACAUGCAACAAUAAGUAUAUCUCAAGUUGAAGGUUCAGCCCCAUAACUCACGGGAGUCAAAGUGUUUAGUACGGUUUUCUCUUAUGGAACUAAGAAAGAUAUACUCUCAGAACAUGGAGGCUUAAAAUUUAUGAAUAAGCAACAAACAAACAUUGAUCUUGUCAUAGGCAUACUUCCAAAUGAGAAUUCGUCCAAUUCUUACUACAACCAUACUUGGGAUCAAAUCAGUCAAUGUAAAGGGUUGUAAUGCAGUUUGAAUUAAGCUAUAUGAAAGGAGGGAUAUAAUGAUUCAAAAACUUCCAAGUACAUAGCCAAGUGUAGCAUCAAGCUUCUCAAUGGAUCACAUCAACACAUUCUUUAUUACUUUCAACCCCCAAAAUCAAUUAAAAAAUUUUCUUUUUUUGAAUAACAUUCCCUUCUUCUUCUUUUAACUUUUAUGACUUCACUUGAGCACUUAUCAACUUUUGUCAUCUCUUUGCUUCUUUUCUUCACAAUUAAACCUCCAACACCUACUAUACACUUAGAAGUGAAAAGGUGGGCAAACACAUAUAUAGGUCUCACUCCAAUGUAGAGGGAAAGGGAUAGCACGGGUGCAUGAAGAAAAAUAUUAGACAUGUAUGUGUAUUGGCUCAAAGUGGCUACUAGGGGUUAUAAUCAUGAAAGAAAAUUGGCUUGAAAGGUUAAAAUUUAAUCCUAAAUUGAUUGUCAUCAUUUCUUAAGUAAUCAACCACCAUACCUCAAACAAUGUAACGUUAUUCUCAAAAGAGUUCCCAAUUCACAAAACCAAUGAAUGCUUAUUACCAUUUUUAGUUAUAUGGAUCUCAAUCCUCACCAAUUCUCCCAUAAGAAAACUUCAGCAAGAGACUCAUCUAGCUACAUGUGUUAAACCACUAUCUUACCACAAGACUUGUGUGUACAAAAUGAUUCAACAAGUGUCUUAGCAUCUAGACUCACAUGAACAAUAUCAACUCUUAGUGACAUAUUUUGUCAUUCAAGAACAUGAACAUGUAGCAAAUGGAGACUUAAGGAAAAAUCAAGACCAAAAUUCCAUGUAAAUCAUGCAAUUCACAAAAAAAUUUAAGAUAAACUCUCUCCCAACUAAACAUUGCGUUGUCCUAAAUGCAAAAACAUGUAUGCUAAAUAAAGGUAAGGAAAGAUGUCACCUGAGUGUCGAAGUGAAUCACAUGAGUUGAAGUAUAAGAAACUUGAAAGUCUUCAAUGGAAAAGGUAAUGCAGAAAAUGAAAAUAAACUAGAAUGCAGUGAAUAAUGCAUGUGAUGCAAAUAAACCUAACAAAUGCAGAAAUAAGAUAAAAGAAGAAAAGAGAAUUCCCAUUGGGUUGCCUCGCAAGCAGUGCCUUUGUUUAUUGUCGUUGGCUCGACCCAAUGUUUGUUUCUUUAACCCGCAUCCAAUCAGGGCGUUGUCAACACUCUUUGCAUUGCACCAAGCUCAGUAGAAAUAAUUGCCGAUGAUGUUACACAAUCUUGCAAAUCAUCAAAGGCAGCACAAAUAUUAGCAUAUUCCCCAUCAUCAUAUUAGCAUUCUAGAAUUUCAGAAUUUAAAAGAAAAGAGUUUAAAGGGUUGGGGUUAAUAAUUGCAGGUGCUUCCUCCUAAAUGAGUGCAUCAAUCAUGAAUGUUUGAUGACACUUGUCAUCCUCCUUAGGUUGCUUCAUGAUGUGAAAGUUAUUGACGUCUAGGGUCAUGUUCCCAAAUGAUAGUUUCAUUGGACCAUCCUUGCAAUUGAUAAGAGCAUUAGUCGUGACAAGAAAAGUUCUACCAAGAAUUAUGGAAAUUUUGAAGUUAGCAUUUACAUCAACUUUUAGGUCCAAAAUCAAGAAUUCAAUAGGAUAGUAAAAUUUAUCAACUUGUGCCAACACAUCAUCAACUACUCCCCUAGGCCUAAUAAUGAAUUGAUCAGCCAAUUGUAAACUUACUGAUAUGGGUUUCAUCUCUCCUAGCCCUAAUGACAAGUAAAUAUCAUAUGGCAUGACAUGGACACUAGCCCCUAGAUUAAGAAGGGCUUGUGAAAUCUCAUGGUUCCCGAUGAUGUAAGAGACAGUAGGACAACUAGGGUCUUUAUACUUUGGCGAGAUCUUUUGCUCAAUCACAUCACUCACAUUUUCAGUCAAGAAAGCAGUUUUCUUGACAUGGUGUUUCCUCUUCACAGUGCACAAGGCUUUUAGGAUUUUAGCAUAUGUGGGAACUUGAAAGAUCAAAUGUAGAAGAGGUAGAUUGAUUUUUACUUGUUUUAAAUGCUCUAGGAUCUCACUAUGUUGGCCAACAGAUUUUGAGGUAGACUUGAGAGCUUGAGGGAAAUGUACUCUAGAUUGAUUUUUUACCACCUCCUUACUAGGGGGUGCUCUAUACUGCAUUGUUGGAGACCUUUUCAUUUUCUUUAGGUUUGAGAAUCAGUUCUAUGACCUUACCAGAUCGAGUGGUUAUGGCAUUUACUUCUCUAAGAUUGCUUUCUCCAGACCUUGAAGUUUGUGCCAUAUGUUGCCCCCUAGGGUUCAGUUGAGCUUGCGCUGGGAAUUUUUCCCACCCUCCAAUAGCUAAGGCAUUAGUUAGUUUGGACAUAUGAGAUUUUAUUUCCUUGUUUUCUUCAAAAAUUAGGGUGAUCAUGGUCUCAAACUUUUGGUUAGUCUUACUUUGUGCCUCUAUAAAUGCAUGUAGAGUGUCUUCUAAAGAGUUCCUAGAGGACGUGAGCUGAUAUGGAGGUGUAGUGUGAGCUUUAUUUGGCUGGCCUUCAGAUUUCCAGCAGAGAUUGGGGUGAUUUCACCAUCCCGAAUUGUAUGUUUCAGAAAAGGGAGAAUAAGACUUUUGGUAUGUGCCUAAGGCAUUGCAGUGUUCCUCUUAAACUUCCCUCAUCUCAGCAUAGGUUGCGUACCCUUGAGCUGGAUGAUUAGUUCCACCACAAACAAAACAUGGUCCUAAAGAUUCAACAUGGGAUGCAUUCUAUGUAGGCUUUGAGUCCCUAGCAUGUAAGAUUUUGAGUUCUUUAGUGAGGGCAUCUACCUUGGCUCUAAGGUCAUCCUCCUCCCUAAGAUGAUAAAUGGCUGUGCUAGUGGUGUUCGGGUAGGUCGAGACCUAUUAGUACUCUCAGUGGCACUAGGUCCACCAAGUAUGGGCUUUCUCGGCUAAGUUAUCUAAAUACUCUAUAGCCUCAUCUGGAUCUUUUUGUAGGAAUUCACCAUUACACAUCAUUUUCACAAACUGACGCUCCUUAGGUAAUAAUCCCUCAUAAAAGUAACUCACAACACGCCAACUUUCAUAACCGUGGUGGGGCAAAGGGCUUGCAAUUCUUUGUAUCUUUCCCAUGCUUGAUAUAAAGUUUCAUUAUCCUUUUGGGACAAAAGAAGGAUUUUUUUAAAGUAGUUGUUUUAUGAUGGGAAAAGUAUUUGCCAAAAAAUGCUUAGGUCAUUUUAGCCCAAGUCCCAAUCGAACGAGAUCGCAAUGAAUACACCCAGCUUUUUGCUCAUUCCUUGUGUGAAACUGAAAUUUUUUUUAGCCUGACUACAUCCAAUGUACCAUGUUGACUGUCGAAGGUUGCCACCACCUCCUCAAACUCCCUAAUAUGCAAGUAUGGAUUUUUGCUUUCAAGACUGUGAAAAUUGGGAAGAAGUUGAAUCAUUCCCGAUUUUAGGUCAAUACGUGGCAUGUUAGGUGGAAACAUGAUGCAUGACGAUGUAGAUGUGUGUGUGGGAUGAAGGUAAUCAUGCAAGGACCUAUAGGGUGCAUUACCAUGCUCACUAUCAGACAUUGUGUUAUAUGAUGUGGCGUUCGUGGCAAUAGAUUCAGUAUCUAAGAGAGGGUUAGAAGAGAUUCAAACAGUGGUUGAGGCUUUGCUAUAAAUAGCCCUCACUCGUCACGAAGCCUGUUCAUAAAACACAAAAAAAUGAAACUAAAUGAGAAAUAACAAAAUAAUUAAAAAAAUAAACUAAACUAACUAAAAGAAUGUAAAAAGGGACGAAGUCACCAUUUUGCUCGAGAAUCCUUCAAGUAUUAAUACCGUCUCCUCAACAACGGCGCCAAAAUUUGAUUACGCUCAAAGAAUAACGUGGUAGUUAUAGCACAGCUUUGGGGUGUCGAUUCCACAGGGAGAUGGACGAAUUGUUUAAAGGAUUUAUCGAACUAGGAUUUCAUGAAGUAUGUGAAAAUAAUUUGUCAAUUGGAAUGAGAUUUAAUUAUCAAUAUGCGAAGCAUCCUAAUUCCUUCAAUUGGAUUGGAUCAUCAACAUUAAUAAUUCAUGGGGUUUUGCUCAAAUCCCAACUCUCUAAUCGGAAGAUUUAAUAAUGAAGAUCAAUCAAAUUUCAAUUGUAAUCCUAGGAUUUAGACUUUUGUAAACCAUUCCCACACAUAUUUAUUGGACUAAGAUUAAGAAUCAACCAUAUACAAAAUGCAUAAGACAGUAAAUAAUCCACUAAUAAAGUUGAUUGAAAUUGAAAUUCAACAAUUAGUUCAAUUCCACAAUAGAAAAAGCAUGAUUGAGUCUAUGAAAAAUCUAGUAAAAGUUAAAUCAAUUUCAAAGUAAAUUCAUAAAAGAAAGUCUAGAUCUAGAAGUGUUUGACAAUAAAAAUAUCAAUUUGCAUGAAUAAAUGAUGUGAAGUCCCCAAAUUCAAUGAGUUAUUUCGUAGCUUCACCUAGGAAUUUAGUUCUCCAUCGAAUUCUUUAGCCCUAGAUGAGAGAAAAUUGUUAUGGAGGUGAAGAGAGGCGUUCUCUAUCCAGUCUAGGGCUUAAAACUAUGUGUCAAGUUGUUUCCAAAAGAGUUGAACUGAAUAAGGAAACUAAAUUUUCGACUAGAAUAUUCUAUGGGACUAGUUUCAGUAUUUUGACCAUAACUUUCUCUCCCGAUGUCCAAUUAAGAAAAUUCGAAGUGCGUUGAAAAGAUAACACAAAGGCUAUAAUUUUGCUAAUAUCUCUUUCCAAAUUUGGACAUUUACUAGGUCAAAAGUUGAUCUCAAUCUCUGGCCGAAAAUCUGGAAAAUCCUUAUGUGGUUUUGAUUUGAUUUGUGAAAAUAUUAUGGUCAUAUUUAACUUCUUUUGACUUCUAAUUGCACCAAAUGGACUCCUAGCUUUCUCAAAUCAUUAUUCCAUCGCCCAUCUCAUCUUUAGAUUAUUUGCAGCUUGGUCACUAAACUUUCACUUUCUUCCAUUUUUGGUCAUUUUUCACUCUUUUCUUCUAAAUUUCAAAUUUUCUACCAAAAUGCAACAUGAAUCACAGCAUAAGCAUAAUGAGGGCAUUUUGGUAUCAAAUAAUCAAACGAGUGCAAUAAUUAAGAUGGCAAAAUAUUAUAUUUUAUACUCUUAUCUCAACCUCCUCGAAACUCUACUCCUCAUUUUCCCUCUUAAUGCUAAUAAUUUUCGAUUCAAUCCAGGUAUGAUUCUAUUACUUCUUAAUUUUCAUGGCUUAGAAUCCAAAAGUUCAUAUUUGCAUCUUAAAGAAUUUAAGGAAGUAUGUGCCACAUUUAACAAUUAAACUUGUCCCAAUGAAAUUGUUUCCUUUUUCUCUAAAAGAUAAAGCAAAAACUUGACUUAACUCUUUAAAACCUAGGUCGAUUGGCACAUGGCAAGAAAUGCAAAGUGAGUUUUUUAAGAAAUUCUUUCCAGCACAUAAAACUAAUGCUUUGAAAAGACAAAUCCAAAAUUUUUCUCAAAAAAACAACGAAGCGUACUUCCAAUGUUUAGAAAGAUUUGUUAAAUACUUGCCCACAUCAUGGUUUUAAAAAAUGGCAUACUAUAAGUUUCUUUUAUGAGGCUUAACUCCUGAAACAAAAUAAUUUGUAGAAACGAUGUGCAAUGGUGAAUCUUCAGAUAAAGAUCUGGAUGAAUCUUUAGAAUUUCUAGAUCAUCUAGCUGAAAAUUCUCAAUCUUGGCAAACAGUAAAACCAAUCGUAAACUCAAUUAGAUCUAGUCUUGCUAGUUCUAGUGGAGGAAAAUAUCAAUUGAGUCAAGAUGAUGAUCUAAAUGCUAGGAUUGCUAGUUUGUAUAGAAAGGUUGAAGCUAUAGAAUUAAGGAAAGUAAAGGAAGUUAAACCAUUACAAAAUGAUGAAAUUUGUAGCAUUUGUGAAACUUUUGGGCAUCCAAAGCAUGAUUGUCCUAACAUCCCAGUUUUGAAAGAAGUUUUACAUGAUCAAGCCAAUGCUAUGGACACUUUUAAAAAGCCUUUUGCUUCUCCAUUCUCAAAAAUAUAUAAUCAACAAUGGAGAAAUUAUCCCAACUUUAGUUGGAGAGCCUUUUCCUUCUCCAUUCUCAUAAACAUAUAAUCGUGUUCAUAUAUCACAACCUCAAGGGCUUUCAAAAUUCCCUUCUUUUCCACAACCACAAUAACAAACUCUUGAGGAAACAUUGCAGCCAUUCAUGCAUGGACAAGCAAACAUUAAUAAUCAAACUUCACAAGCCGUCAAUGAAAUCAAGAACUCACUUUCUUCAUUGACCUCUUCUUUGCGUUCUCAAGAGAAAGGUAAAUUUUCUGCUCAACCUCAACUAAAUCCUUCUGGGCAAUUUAAUGUAAAUGCUUCUAAUUCCUCUGAAACUCAACAAGAAAUUGGCAACUCCAUCACAACUCUUCGUAGUGGAAAAAUUAUUGACAAAACCAUUCCUUCAAAAGAACUAAAAUUGGGUGGAACUUCAAAGUAAGAAAAUGAUGUUUCCAAAACUGAGGAAAAAAUCAUUUCUGAACCUAGUGUUGAAAAAUGCCUCAUUCCAGCUCCAUUUCCUCAAUGAUUGCAACCAAUUUCAAAACUCAACCAUAAUUCUGAAAUUUUUGAACAUUUCAAACAAGUUAAAAUUACCAUACCAUUAUUGCAUGCAAUCAAACAAGUUCCUUCAUAUACAAAAUUUUUAAAAGACACACUGUCAAGAGAAAACUAAGCAUUUUUGACAGAGAACGUGAGCUCAAUUAUUCAACAAAACACUCCACCUAAAUUCAAAGAUCCUGGUUGUCCAACAAUUUCUUGUGUGAUUGGGAAUAAUAGGAUAGAGUGUGCCUUGCUUGAUCUUGGUGCUAGUGUUAAUCUAUUACCUUUUUCUGUGUCUUGGUUUGGGAGAACUUAAGCCAACAGCAACAAUACUUCAACUUGCUGAUCAUUCAGUAAAAGUUCCAAGAGGGGUUGAAGAGGAUGUUCUAGUUCAAAUUGAUAAAUUCUAUUAUCCUAUUGAAUUUAUUGUUUUGGACACACAUCCCAUUUUAAAUUCAAAUGCACAAAUAGUCAUUUUAGGACGUCCCUUUCUUGCUACUUCAAAUGCGUUGAUAAAUUGUAGAAAUGGUAUCUUGAAACUCUCUUUUGGAAAUAUGACAAUGGAAAUGAAUAUUUUUAACAUUUGCAAGCAACAUGGAGAUAAAGAUAAUUUGGAUGAAGUAGAUUUUAUUGAACAACUUGUUGAUGAUUAGUUUAUCACUACAUCUUCAUCUGAUGUGCUAGAAUUUGAAUUCAUCGAUAAUUCUAAAAAUCCGCAUAUAAUUUCUUUGUUGAAUUCUUUUCAGGAGAAAAAGAUAAGUGAUUGGAAAUCAAAGUUUGAGAAAUUAUCACAACAGUCCAAUAUGUUCAUGAUUUCUCACAACAAUCCAAUAUGUUCAUGAUUUCAAGUGUUCAAAUGCCAAAGAUCGACUUGAAACCAUUACCAUCUAAUCUGAAAUAUUCAUUUUUGGGUUAAGAUGAAAUUUUUUCGGUAAUAAUUUCUUCCAAACUUGAUGCGCACCAAGAAGGUAAGUUAUUACAAAAUUGAAAAAUGCAUAAAAAUGUUUUAGGAUGGACCAUGGCUGAUAUAAAGGGGACUAGUCCUUUGAUUUGCACACAUAAGAUUUAUUCGGAAGAAUAUGCUAAACCCACAAGAGAAAUGCAAUGAAGGCUUAAUCUUAUUUUAAAAGAGGUGGUAGGAAAUGAAGUCAUUAAACUCUUAGAUAAUGAAAUCAUUUAUCCUAUUUUUGAUGGUAGAUGGGUAAGUCCAACCCAAGUUGUACUAAAAAAAUCCGGUGUUACUGUAGUAAAAAACGAAGAAAAUGAGUUAGUUCCAACUAGAACUGUUACUGGUUAGCACAUGUGUAUCGACUAUAGGAAUCUCAACUUAAUGACUAGGAAAGAUCAUUUUCCUUUACCUUUUAUGGAUCAAGGAAAGAGUGGCAGGACAUGAAUUUUAUUGUUUUCUAGAUGGAUAUUCUGGGUAUAACCAAAUUGAAAUUGCACCUGAGGACCAAGUAAAGACCACUUUCAAAUGUCCCUUUGGUACUUUUGCUUAUCGUAGAAUGCCUUUUGGAUUAUGCAAUGCACCAGCUACAUUUCAAAGAUGCAUGCUUAGUAUUUUUAGCGACAUAAUUGAAAGAUCUUUGGAAGUUUUCAUGGAUGAUUUUUCUGUUUUUGGAGAUUCAUUUGAUUAUUGUUUAACUAACUUACAAAAAGUUUUAGUUAGGUGUGAAGAAAAGAAUCUUGUGCUCAACGGGGAAAAAUGUCAUUUUAUGGUCACUAAUGGCAUCGUACUUGGUCAUAUUGUAUCAUCUAACGGAAUUGAGGUAGACAAAUCUAAAACUGAAUUAAUUUCUAAUUUGCCUACUCCAAAUAGUGUUAAAGAGGUAAGAUCUUCUUUAGGACAUUCUGGUUUUUAUAGAAGGUUUAUCAAAGACUUUAGUGCCAUAUCUAAAUCAUUGUGUAAUCUCUUAUCUAAAGACAUGCCUUUUGAAUGGACUAAGUCUUGUCAAGAAGCUUUUGUUAAACUUAAGAAUAUGCUUACUUGUGCUCCUAUCAUGACACCUUUGGAUUGGAAUUUAUCUUUUGAAAUCAUGUGUGAUGCUAGCGAUUAUGCCGUUGGAGCUGUCUUAGGCCAAAGAAGAGAUAAAAAGCCUCAUGUCAUUUACUAGGCAAGUAAAACUCUAAAUAGUGUUCAAAUGAAUUAUUCAUGGCUCACCAAUUGUUAUUUUUAGUGAUCAUGUAGCUUUAAAAUAACCUCUCUCUAAGAAAGAUGCUAAACCUAGGAUGAUUAGGUGGAUUCUUUUACUCCAAGAAUUUGACAUCACCAUUCGAGAAAAGAAAGGAGUAGAGAAUGUUGUAGUUGAUCACUUGACUAGGCUUACUUGUGAUGAAUCGUUUGAAACAAAAUCAAUGAAGGAUACUCUCCCUGAUGAACAGCUUCUUAGUGUUUCUGACUUGCCUUGGUUUGUUGAUAUUGCUAAUUUUCUUGUAACAGGUUAAAUACCAUCUCAUUGGAAUGUGCAAGACAAAAAGAAAUUCUUCAAAGAGGUAAGAAAUUUCUUUUUUGAUGAUCCCCACCUAUUCAAAUAUUAUCCGGACCAAAUAAUAAGAAGAUGUGUGCCAAAUAAUGAAAUCCAAAAGAUAAUUGCCUUUUGCUAUUCUGAAGCAUCUCUUUUCUUCAAAGAAAACUGCUGCAAAAAUCUUGCAGUCUGGAUUUUAUUGCCUAACUCUUUUCAAAGACACAUGAAUUUUGUAAAGCUUGUGAAUGUUGUCAAAAAAUAGGCGAGAUAACUCAUAGAAAUAUGAUGCCAUUGACACCCAUACUAGUUAUUGAAAUAUUUGAUUGUUGGGGUAUUGAUUUCAUGGGUCCAUUCUCAUUUGGUUAUUUAUACAUCUUGGUAGGAGUUGAUUAUUUUUCUAAAUGGGUAGAGGCAAUUCCUUGAAAACACGAUGAUCACAAAAUUGUUAUGAAAUUUUUGAAAGAAAAUAUUUUUUCAAGAUUUGGAAUACCUCGAGCCAUUAUAAGCGACGGCGGUUUACCGAUUGGUGUCUAAAAGUGCUUCAAAAAUAUACCAUUUACAAGGCAUUGUACAUUCACUUUGUUUAAAACCACUAAUGUUAGUCUCUAAUUUCAAUUCUCUUGCCAUAAAUUCAAUUUUCAUAAAUAUAUGGUUAAAAGAUCAAUUAAUCGAAAUGCGUAUUUAAAUACAUGUCGGCAUGAGUAUUAUACUUUUAAAGAGUAUUUAUUUGAUGUAUUUCACAUGUAUUUCCAAGGUAGAACAAGUGGAGAAAAAAAUGUUGAAAAGUAAAAAAUAUCAGCUGUCUCGAGUAAAGAUACAGCUGUCUCGGUGAAAUUGCCAUAACUCGAGUUGUAGAUAUCGAAACAAGGUGAUUCAAGUCGGGUUGGAAAGAUAAGAUAUGCAUCUACAACUUUUUUGUUUACCAAGAAGUCAAAUUCACAUCAUAAGGUAGCCAAAAUUACUGUGCAAAAUCUAACUUGUUACCUGCCGGAUACAGCUUUUUCUACUUGUGAACAACACUCAUUGUUUUGGCCAUAUCUGGAGUUGUAGAGAUCCAAUGGAUCUGACAUUGUCUCAACUGGCAACAAUUUAUCGGUGGAUCAUAAGUCCAAAUUCAUGGCAUAAAGUAUCUGAAAAUUGACAUCAAGUUGCAUAUUCUAGCUGUCUUGAAGUUGGACAGAAACAAGUUGCAUUGUCUACUUCCAUUUUGGAUGUUUCUUUGCCUAUAAAAGGGAACCUUGGCCAAGAUUUUGAGGGCAUAAAUUCCUCUUCAUCAUAUUCUAGUUUUCUUCAUUUUCUUUGUAAGAUUUGAUUAUAUAUUUCUAAACCAUUAGCUAGAACUAGGGGUGAAACUUUGGUGAAUGUGUAGUAUUGUCUUUGAUCUUUCACUUUGUUCUUCAAUGUUCAUCUUCUUAUUUGGUUGAAAUAUAUGUUCUACAAAUGGUUUUGGUUUAUUAAAGAUUUUGAUUUAUUGUUGACAAAUUUUGGCACAAUAAAUGCUUAGAUAAUUUCUACAUUCCAACAACUUAUUUUGACAUAUUCUCUCAAACAAUUAUCAAGAUCUAUCUUUUAGUAUAUUUGCAAUCAAUGUUUUAUCUUCCAUAUUUCAUAUGAGUUAAAUAAAAGAUCAAGAGUAAUUUCUACUUAUUUUUCCGAAGUGAAUCCCUAAAGCUCUAGUGUUCUUCUUCAUCAUAUUUCCACCAACAGUUUACUACUCAUAGACUAGUUUAUUUCCUUCCAAUUCCUUGUGGUUCGAUCUCGGAUUUUCGAGUUUACUACUUAAGACAACCUGCACUUAGGUUUGCAACCUUAAAGUUGUAGAGUUUACACUUCUGUAAUAAACUUUUUAAGGCCCUAAUGAAAAAAUAUGGAAUUACUCAUAAACUAUCUACUCCUUAUCACCCAAACACUAGUGGUUAAGUUGAACUCGCAAAUAGAGAGAUUAAAUGCAUUUUGGAAAAAAACAAUGAAUCCAAAUAGAAAAGAUUUGUCUUUACGAUUAACCGAUACACUUUGGGCUUAUCGUACAGCUUUCAAAACACCCCUUGGUAUGUCACCUUAUCAACUUGUUUUUGGAAAGCCUUGUCAUUUACCUGUUGAAUUGGAACACAAAGCAUUUUGAGCUAUUAAAAUAUUUAAUUUCAGUUUAGAUGAAGGUUUACUAAGGAAACUUCAAUUGAAUGAGUUGGAAGAAAUUAGGAAUGAAGCUUGUGAAAACUCUCGAAUUUACAAGGAGAGAAUGAAGGUAUUCCAUGAUAAAAAUAUUGUUAGAAAAACUUUUGAGUCUUCCCAAAAAUUUCUUUUGUACAACUCAAGAUUACAUUUAUUUCCUGAAAAAUUAUGCUCCAAAUGGAUUGGUCCUCUCAUUGUCAAAAUUGCUUACCCACAUGGAGCUGUAGAAAUUAAAAAUCCAAGUAAUGAAAAUAUUUUUAAAGUUAAUGGACAUCGUUUGAAACCAUUUUUUAAGAAUUUCUCUAGAUUAAAAGGGUCCAUUGAUCCUAAAGAUUGAUAUCAUUUUCUCAUUAGUUUAUUUUGUAUGUUUCUUUUCAAUUUUAUAAUGUUGUGCGUUUGUUUUAGGUGUGUUUCUUUUAUUGUCAUUUUUCUUUUUCUCUCCUUUUUUUUUUUUGGCUAAUGAAAUUGAAGGUUCAUUUAGGCCAAGUUUAUGCAGACUCUCCAGGUAAAUCUCAAAACCCGUUCCUUUGUUCAAAAUUUUGCUCCUUACUGUCCUUCAUAUACUUUGCAUGUUUAAUCUUCACAUUGAGGACAAUGUUUCAUUUAGGUUGGGGAGAAAGGAAUAAAAAAAAAAAAAAGACUUGCCGAGCAAUGAUGAUAUUAUUUGAAAUUGUUUUUAUAUUAUUGUGACUAGGGAAUGCUGUUUUGAUUUAGUUGAAACUUGUUCAUGUUAGAAUGAUUUACAUUGAGCACAAUAAUCAUGAAAAUCACAUAUUAUUUAGAUUGGAUCAAUGGAUAGAAUAUGUCGAAUUAACCAUGACAAAAAAAAUAAAAAAUAAAAAAUUCUACUAAACCAAUUCUAGUAUAGUUUGGGGUAGUUGAGCUGUUGUAGGGAGAAAUUAAGAUAGAUGUGGAUUCCAUGCGUGUUAAAUUUUGUGUGGAUUGCUUAAGACCAAUGAGAUGAUAAUUACGUAAAAAUUUUAAGUUAAAGAUCAAUUUUUGAGAAUAAGUAUUUAAUGAGGGGCAUUGCACUAAUCAUUGCAUAGAAGGGAAAAAAGCUGUCAUGUUGUGAAGCUAUCCUAAAAGAGCCGAAUGAGGACAAUUAUAUAUAUAAAAAGAGAUCAGGCUAGUGCACGAAACAGAAUACGCACGACAAACUUGAAAAAAGCAGGUGCAUGAAACAGAAGACGCACUACAUGCUUGAUUGAGUCCCAAACACUUAUUUUAGAGAAUUAGACAUUUGAUAAGGGAUUAGUAGUUUAGUUGAUUCUUGGAGGUUGAAUCGGUCAAAAUUAAGGAGAAUUCUCAUUUAUUAAUGUGUUGAACUAUAAUUAGUAAAAUCUAACCAAACUAGAGAGGGUGAGUAAUAGUAUAUAAAUUUAACCAUAAAUCACACCUUGAGAAAAUAGUUACAAAAUCAAGUUUGAGGAUGUGCAUCCCACGAGAGAAGAGAGAAAUAAUUGACCAUUCAGGGUUAGGAUGAGUCCAAUUUGAAAAAGUAUGUGAUUGAAUUAAUUAUGCACAUACAUACGUUGGUCGAGUAUUGGACAAGUUAGACUAUGUUUUGGUAGCAAACCUUAAAAACAUUUUGUUAAGUAGUUUCAAAUCUUGAGACAAGUGCGACAAGCUAUUUUAUUUGAACUAUUUUGAAUUUUAUUGCUAGAGACUAGUAAUAUCUUGGUUGGAAGUGUGAUUAGUGUCUAAAAAUGCUUCACAGAUAUAUCAUUUACAAGGCAUUUUAUAUUUACUUUGUUUAAAAACACUAAUGUUAGUCUCUAAUUUCAAUCCUCUUGCCGUAAAUUCAGUUUCAAUAAAUACAUGGUGAAAAGUGCAAUUAAUCGAAAUACGUAUUUAAAUACACGUCAACAUGAGUAUUAUACUUUUGAAAGAGUAUUUAUUUGAUGUAUAUCACAUGUAUUUCCAAGGUAGAACAAGUGGAACAAGUGGAGAAAAGAUGUUGAAAAGUAAAAAAUGAUUAGUUGUCUUGAGCAAGAUACUACUGUCUCGAUAAAAGGGACAUAACUCGAGCUGUAGUUAUCGAAACAAGGUGAUUCAAGUUGGGCUGGAAAGAUAAAAUACGUAUAUAAAAUUUUCAUGUUUACCAAGAGUCAAAUUCACAUCAUAAGGUAGCCAAAAUUACCAUGCAAAGUUCAACUUGUUACCUAUCGGAUACAACUUUUCUACCUGUGAAGCAGUACUUAUUGUUUUGGCCAUAUCUGGAGUUAUAGAGACCCAAUGGACCAGAUAUUUGUACCAAUGGAAAGCUAACUCAAGUGUAACAAUUUAUUUAUUGAUCAUAAGUUCAAAUUUGCUAAACAAAGUAUUUGAAAAUUGGUAUCAAAUUGCAUGUUCCAACUGUCUUGAAGCUCGACAGAAAUAAGUUGCAUUGUCCGCUUGCAUUUUGGAUGUUCCUUUGCCUAUAACCUUGGCCAAGAUUUUGAGAGCAUCAAUGACUUUAUUAUAUUCUAGUUUCUUUCAUUUUCUUUGUAACAUUUGACUAUAUAUUUCUAAACUAUUAGCUAGAGCUAUGGGUGAAACUUUGGUGAAUGUGUAGUAUUGUCUUUGAUCUUUCACUUUGUUUUUCAAUGUUCAUCUUCUUACUUAGUUGAAGUAUAUAUUCUACAAAUAGUUUUGGUUUGUUAAAGACUUUGAUUUAUUGUUGACAAUUUAGGCACAAUAAAUGCUUAGAUAAUCUCUACAUACCAACGACUUAUUUUGACAUAUUCUUUCAAACAAUUUUUAAGAUAUAUCUUUUAGUAUAAUUGUGAUCAAUGUUUUAUCUUCCAUAUUUCAUAUGAUUUAAAUAAAAGAUCAAGAGUAAUUUUUACUUAUUUAUCCGAAGUGAAUUCCCAACGCUCUAGUGUUCUUCUCCAUCGUAUUUCUACCAACUGUUCACUACUCAUAGAUUAGUUUAUUUUCUUCUAAUUCCCUGUGGUUCAACCUCGGUCUUCCGAGUUGACUACUUGGGACAACCUGUGCUUAGGUUUGCAACCUUAAAGUUGUAGCAGAAACAUGCUCGUAUUGCUUCGAUUUGCCCUUCAAAUUUAGUUGUAAAACCAUAAUGAUUAAAAUCAAAUGAAGUUCAAAAUGAUUUCUUCCAUUAAGAUCCCCCAACUCCUCUUUUGGAAUCAUUUGAUCCCCAAAUUUCAAUGGUGGCAUUGAAUUGAUCAAGUUUGUGUGGAGCCUUUUGUGGCUUAAGGUGAGAUUGAUAUAAUCAAACACCUUUUCUAUCAAUGGAUGAAUGGCUCCUCUGUCCUCAGUAUCGAAGAAAGCUUAUGAAAAACAGUGAAAGGUCGAUAAAUACCCAAAUAUUAACUAGGAUUCAAAAAACCAAUUAACAAAGUAGUAAGUAAAGUGCAAAAAAUAGAAAAAUCAACACAAGGAUUUUUUCGGCCGAAGACCCAGAAGUUCGACGAACACAUCUAACGCCUAAUCUCCUAUUGAGCAUCCAUUAUAAAUGGAUUUAGCUCGUUUGCACUAUAAAGCCAAAAUCCCGCAACAAGAAUAUAUAAUAUGUUCCAAAAAUUACAAAGAUCAAGCUACUAAGACUUAUCUUUAAGAAGAUUGAAGAAUCAAAUCACACUCUUUCAGAAACUUGAAGAAGAUCACUCAGAUUUUCUCAAAAACCCUACUGCUUGCACGAAUCACUUAGAUUCUGGGACAUUUAACUCAUAAUACAGUGCAGUAGCAUGUAGAUCUAGAGUAUUACAGAUGUUUCACUAAGAUUUAAUCAUUGAAACACUCAAGAACUCAAACCUUAAUCACGAAGAAUGAGCAAUUCUCACGAAUAGGAAAGGAGAUGAAGAGAUGAAACUCCACCCUAGAAAUUCUCUCAAAGUGUGCAAGUCAAAGAGUCACGAUCAGAAUAUAAAGCAAGAAGCAUCUAGAACUUAAUCAAACAGUCAUCACUGUACCACACGUCACAAUUUGAUUGAAGACCUCCAAUAACAAAGGUGUAAAAUCAGAAACACGCUUUCUUCACAUUUUGGAAGCACACUUUUAUAAGUAAUGAGGUCAAUGGUUCGAAACUCAACAAUCUCCACAUUGCUUCCAAAAUUCUUGGCAAUAGUGCAGCCAGGAGCUUCACCAACUAUUUAUAAUUUCAUUUGCUCUGGUACCUGUAUAGUUAAUGACAAGAAUCAACAAAUAAAUCCUUUAAACAAUUUUUGAAACUUGUUUAAAGGUAUCACUUUUGUUCCCAUAUAAGACGAAUUACACUAAGUAGGAAUUUUAUAAAUUUUCUGCAACCAUUUUAAGAUAAUAUCUGUAAUAAAACGGUAUUUGACAUCAAUGUGUUUAGUUCUUUCAUGGAACAUGGGAUUGUUACUCAAAUGGAUUACACUCUAAUUGUUAGAAUAUAGGAUUGGAUUAGUGUCUGCAAAACCAAGUUCAUUUAACAGUCCAACAGACAUCUACAUUCUUUGAUGGCAUCAGUGGCUGUAACGUAUUUAGCCUUUGUGGAAGAUAGAACAACAAUUUUCUUUAACUGAGAUUUCUUGCUUAUUAUAAUGCCACACAAAGUGUAAAAAUAUGAUGAGAUUGAUCUCAUAUUGUCUCUAUCCUCAGUAAAAUCAGAAUUUGUAUAUCCCUUUAGAAUUACACCCUCUUUAUUCAUUCUAAACAUGAACCAUAAGUUAGAUGAACCCUUUAGAUAUUUCAUUAACUAUUUCAAAGCUUUCCAGUGACUUUCAUCAGUAUUUUCCAUAAAUUUACUCAAAACACUAAUACUAUAUGCCAAGUCAGGUCUAGUGCAAAUCAUCAAGUACAUAACUGAUCCAACAACAUUAGCAUAGGGUAUUUUUGAUAUUCUUCUAAGUUCAUCUUCAGUUUUAGGGCAAUAAUCUGAUGUUAAUAUAAAAUGAUUAGUAAGGGGUAAAGACACAGGUUUACAAUCAAACACGUUAAACCUUUUUAGGUUCUUAUUCACAUAAUCUUGUUGACUUAAGAACAAGCAAUCAGAUUCUUUAUUUCUCAUGAUUUGCAUACCAAGAAUUUUCUUGGUAGGGCCAAGAUUCUUUAUAUCGAAUUUUGAUUUUAAUUUGUAUUUGAUAUCAUCAAUUUCAGAUUUAUUAGCACUGCAAGAAGUAUAUCAUCAACAUAAAGCACAAGAUAAAGAGGGUCUGUAACACCAUUUCCUUUACAAUAAAGACAUGUAUCAUAGUUGCUUCUAUUAAAACCAAGCUUUAAGACAAAUGAAUCAAAUCUUUUGUACUAUUGUAUUGGAGCUUGUUUUAAGCCAUACAAUUUUUUUUUUCAACAAACACACAGUUUUAUUAGGAUUUCCUUUAAUAAAUCCUAUGGUUGUUUCAUGUAAAUCACUUCAUCCAAUUCACCAUAAAAAAUGCAGUUUUAACAUCCAGUUGAUCAAAUUUCCACUUAAAUUGCACGACCAAAGCAAGAAUGCAUCUUAUUGUAGUACAUUUAACUAUGGGGGAAAAAUCUCAUCAUAGUUCACACCCUCUUUUUGUGUGAAACCCUUGGUAACAAGUCUAGCUUUGUAUCUAACCUUAUUAGUAUCCUCUUCCUCUUCCCCUUCUUUUAUUUUAUAAAUUCAUUUACAAUCAACUAGUUUCUGAUCCUUUGGUUUAUCAAUUGAUUCCCUUGUCUUAUUUUUGUACAAAGAAGCCAUUUCUUCUUCCAUAGCAGCCAACCACCUUUUAGAGUCUUCAGAUUUUAAGGCUUCAUUAUAUGAACUAGUUCAUAUCCUUUUUCUUCCUGGUAAGUGAAUAAAGACACAAAGUCAUCACUAUUAAACCUUGUAGAUGAUCUAAUUUGUCUCCUAUCCUUAUCUCUUGUGAGCUGGUAUUUAUCCAGUGUUACAUAUGUGUUAUCAUAUUGCUUAGGUUUUGCCAAAUCAAGCUCAUUUUCAUUCAGGUCGGCCUUAAUAGUUUCAGUUUCUAAGGGGACAAACUAUUAUUAUUAAUUUUAACAGGCUCCACCUCAAUUUGGACAUAAUUUUUCGUUAAAUUCCCUUUCUUUCCUUCCAAACAUGGCAUACGUGACUCAUUAAAGGCCACAUCCCUUCAAAUGAUAACCCUAUAACCUUUUCCCCAUAAACCCACAGCCUAUACCUUUUAAUAUUUUCAGCAUAGCCCAAAAAUACACACGUCAGUGAUCUAGAUUCAAGUUUCCCUAUGUUUUGAUUUGCAUAUGCAGCACAACCAAAAGUUUUCAAAUAAGAGUAUACAAUAGGCUUUUAUGUCCACAUAGAUUCAGGCAUAUCAAAAUUUAAAGCGCUUGUAGGACUUCUACUAAUCAAAUAUGUAGCAGUUUUAACAGUCUCACCCCAAAAUAAUUUGGGUACGCUUGUACUUAAAAGCAUGCAUCUAACCUUAUUCAAUAAAGUCCUAUUCAUUCUUUCUGCAAUUCAAUUUUGCUGGGGUGUAUGUGUUAAGAGUUCUAUGUCUUCAAAUGCCAUGCAAUUUGCAAAAAAUCAAUAAACUCAUAAUUGCAAAAUUCUAGGCCAUUGUUUGUUCUUAAAGUCUUAAUUUUCAAAUCAGUUUGAUUUUCAAUUUGGAUUUUUCAAUCUUUAAAUGUAGUAAAUGUUUCACCUUUAGUUUUCAGCAACAAAAUCCAAAUUUUCCUUAAAAAUCAUCAACAAUCAACAAGUAAUACUUGUAACCAGACAAUAUAGGUGUGGAUGAAGGGCCCCACAAAGCAAAAUGUAUAAACUCUAGAAUUUGCUUUGAUUUUUGAGUUCUAGUGGGAAAGGGAAACUUAACUUGUUUUCCAAUCAAACAUCGUUCACAAGUAAGUAAUUCACCAAUAUUUGAUUUUCCAAAUGCACCUUUAUUUUGAAGAGCCUUUAGACCUUUCAUCCCAAUGUGACCAAGUCUACAAUGCCAUAAUUUUGCCAGGUUAAAUUCAUUAUCUAAAGCUGCUAUAGAUAGACCCAUUAAAGAUUUUGCGUUUAGAAAAUAUAAACCAUGUCUCUUUGGGAUAGAAAUGAUCAAGUCACUAUAAAGAUUUAAUAUGUCCUUGACCCAAUUUAAUGUCAAACUCCAUACCAUCAAGCAUCCCUAGAGACACAAAGUUCUUUUCUAAUUCAGAAACAAAUCUAGCAUUCUUUAACAGUAAAACUUUGCCAUUUUCUAAAAGCAUUUUUAUUGUUCCAAUCCCUUUUACUUUACAAGUCAUGAUGUUUUCCAUGAUAACUUGACCUCCUUUAAUUUAUUCAAAAUUCAAAAAAUAGUUUUUGUUUGGACACAUGUGGAAAGAGCAGCCUCAGUCAAGAAUCUAUUUUUGAUUCAUGUUUCUUUCAACAUUUACAAGAACUAGGCCAUUGUUCAUUUGUUGCUUAUCAUAGGACAUAACAGCAUUAUCGUCACUUGACUCCUUUUCUUUUAAAUCAUUUUGCUUUUUAUAUUAGUCUUUAGAAAAGUGACCCAACCUACUACAAUAAUAGCACUUCUUUCCCUUGGCCUUAUUUUUAUAUUUCAUUUUAUCAUUGUUCUUUCUUCUAGGGUCAAUGGGAAAUUUUGAAUGAAAAUUAGAUUUACCAACAUUUUUGCCUUUUAUAAAAGGAUUUUCUCCAUUUUGAUUGUUAAUAGAAUCUAAUUUGAGUUCAAGAACCUUAUUUCUUAAGGCAUUUAUAAUGAUAUUAGUUGUAAGCUUAUUUCUACCAUAUUCAAGGGCAUUCUUGAGGUCUCUAUGUCUAUCAAUAAUGGAGUUUAACAAGAUCACAACCAAUUGAUCAUUUGAUGAUUUUCAUCACAGUUGGCAAGGUCCUGGGUCAAUUUUGUAAAUCUGUCUAGGUUUUCAUCCAAUUCAACAGAAGAGUCCAUUUUAAAAGAAAAGAACUGUUUAGGUAAAAAAAUUUAUUUAGGACAGUCUUUGGCUCAUAUUGAGCCUUUAAUUUGGUUCACAAUUUUUCAGCAGUUUUAGUUUUUCCUAUACACCUGAUCACAUCGUUUGAAAAGUACGAGAAAAUAGUACUCCAAGCUAUUUAUUCUAACUUAAUUCUUUUAGACACAGACAUUUCUACAGGCCAAGAAUUGUCUAAGGCUCUAGCACAUUUUAACUGCAUUAAGAUAGCUUUCAUCUUUUGGCUCCACAUAUUAAAGUCCCUCCCUUCCACCAUACAUAUUCACUUCAAACUUAGCAGUGGCCAUUACAAGAUACCCCAAGAUAAUACACAGAGAGAUACACAAUAAGUGGACAACAUGCAGAUAGGGGAUUGGGGCCAACAGUGAUGCACUUAUACUAAUUUUUUCAAAUAGUGAACACACAACACCAAUUAUAAGGGCAGGAUCACAUAACAGAGAUAGCAAUUCCUAUGUCUCAACUGACUUCUCCGGCAAGACCUUCCAUUUGCACUCCUCACUGUGUUGUUUUCUCAGAUUCCCAAGACUUUUUAGAGUCUUUGGACAAAGACCAAUCACAGGAGGGGUUAAGUGCAAGGUAAAUCAAGGGAAAACUUCAGGAGACUCUACAGCAAAGAGAUUACAAGUAGCAGUAUACACGAAAGAUCUCACCAAAGAGUUCAACAGAACUCAAAAUUUCUACAGCCAAUGUUCACUCGAUUUGAAGGUAGGUUUCAAAUCCAAUUUUUCACAAAGAUCAAUUUUCCUUCAGCAGACCAGCCUUUGAUACCAUCGGAAGGUCGAGAAAUACCCAAAUAUUAACCAAGAUUAAAAAAACAAUUAAGUAAAGUGCAGAAAAUAGAAAAAUCAACAUAAGGAUUCUUUCGACCGAAGCCCCAAAGGUUCGGGCGACCACAUCUAACGUCUAAUCCCAUGUUGAGCAUCCAUUAUAAAUGAAUUUAGCUCGGUUGCACUAUAAAGCCAAAAACCGGCAACAAGAAUAUACAAUAUGUUCCAAAAAUUACAAAGAUCGAGCCACUAAGACUUAUCUUAGAAAGAAUGAAGAAUUAGAUCACACUCCUUCAGAAACUCAAAGAAGAUCACUCAAAUCUUUUCAGAAACCCUACUGCUUGCACGAAUCACUUAGAUUCUGGUACAUUAAACUAUAACACAGUACAGUAGCAUAUAGAUCUAGAGUAUUACAAACGUCUCACUAAGAUUUAAUCACUGAAACACUCAAGAACUCAAAACCCUAAUCACGAAGAAUGAGGGAUUCUCACGAAGAGGGAAGGAGAUGAAGAGAUGAAAGCCACCCUAGAAAUUCUCUCAAAGUGUGCAAGUCAAAGAGUCACCGUUAGAAUAUAAAGCAAGAUGCAUCUAGAACUUAAUCAAGCAGUCAUUACUGCGCCACGCAUCACAAUCCGGUUAAAGACCUCCCCUAACAAAGGUGUAAAAUCAGAAACACGCUUUCUUCACAUUUUGAAAGCACGCUUUUAUAAUUAAUGAGAUCAAUGGUUCGAAACUCAACAAACGGAUUUCUCAAAAUCUGAUAACAUCCAUCUCACAUCGUCCCCGAGUUGAAAAACUAUUCCCUUUAUUCCAGUUCGAAUAGCAUAUGCUGAUUUGGAGUCGAAAAGGGCAUCAAUUUUUGGUAAAAGAGACGCCAAAGUAUCAUAUAGGCNUAAUUGAAUAAAUUGAUGAGCAUGAACGUGUUAGAGAAAAAUAAACUUUAUACUAUAUAUUACUAACAAAAUAAACUAUAUAUACUUUAUUCUGGUUUAGUUCGAUUUUAAAUCGUGAUUUUCUUCAUAUAUGAUUUAUUCUGGUUCAGUUAAAUAUUACUAACAAAAUAAACUAUAUACUAACUAUAAUCGCAAUAACUAGAAGAGUUUGCUGAGCUUUUGGGUUUACACAUUGGGACGUGAAGAAGUUUUUGUGUCUGAAAUAUGUAGUACAAACUAUGAAUAAUUAUGGAUUGUGUGCUUUAUCACAUUACAGUAUUUAGUGAGUUAUAGUUCAUCAAACUGCCUAACUUAAAUUAAAAUAGUUAUAAUAUAUUUUGUAGGUGAAUAUUUUAUCGAUUUGAUGAUUCUGAUCCGUGUUCAAUUUGGAUUAUUUUUAGAAUCCUAAUUUUUUUUAUUUGUACUUCUAUUUUUUUAUUAUUAUUAUUUUUAAAUUAUAAGCGGUCUAAUUCAAUUUCAAAUGUGAAAGCUUUAAUUGGUUUAAACAGUACUUGCAAGUUAUCACAUGUUACAUGUGAAUAUGUUCAUAAAACUUAUUUUAGGGAACAAGAAUGAAUCAUUGAAUUGAAAUGGACACGAAUUUUGGGUUAGGUGUCACUAAUUGAUGUUGGCAAUGGGUGAUAUAGCAUAUACUCUUACAAUCAAUCAAGCCAAAGUAAAAUGCUCUUCAUUUUUUUAUUUUAUUAUUAUUAUUUUUUUUUGGGUUCACACCACAUAUUUUGAUAAAUACACUACUUUUAAAUCACAUUAAAAGGUAUUAAGUUCUAUUCAUUAUUACAAUUAUAUUCUUAAAUUUUUUCAUCACAUUCUUAUUUUUAGCACUUUGUUAAUAAAUUUUUUUUGUCCUUAUUCAUGAAUUUUAAGUUCUAUUCAUUAUUACAAGUAUAUUCUUAAAUUUUUUCAUCACAUUCUUAUUUUUAACACUUCGUUGAUAAAAUUUUUUUGUCCUUAAUCAUGAAUUUUUUUGAAAAUAUUAUUAACGUGCUUUAAGAUAAUUAUAAAAUAUUAUUUAGUUUGCAUAUUCAAAAAUACAAUUGAAAAAUGAGACAUUUGACUCUAUCUUAAAAAAAAAAAUUGGAGAGAAACUAUAAUCAGAAACAAAUUAUGUUAAUUUGAGAAUAAGAAUGCGAUGAAAAAAAAUUGAGACAUAAACGUAAUAAUAUGUAAAGGUUAUGAACCUUUUAUGUAAUUAAAAUGUAGGUGAGAAUAUAUUUAGCCUUUUUUAUGUCUCUAUGUUAUAACCAUUAUAGAAAGCUUUUUGUUCUAAUAAAUAUUAACACUUUGUCAACAUUCCGCCUUUCUUUUCCAAAAUUUACUCUAUAAUGGAAUCAAGAGAUAACAAACAAAUGAGGUUAAAAUAAUCGUUUUAUUAAUCACAUUUAUUAUUUUUAUUGCACCUUUAUUACUGUUAUAGCUCGGGAAUUUUUGACAUCUAAUUAUUAGGGUUUGGUAUCUAAAGAAGAGUACCACUUUUGUUGAUAUUGGUUGUUUUCAAUUAUUUAAUAAUAUUUUGUAGAGUUUCUCCAAAUCGUUUAAUCCAAUUUGAUGUUCCAUGUGAAUCAACGAAAUUGAAUCCCUGCUCUCUAAGUUGGAUCACUUUAUCAUUUCUCUCCAAAGAUAAAUGCUAAAAGUACAAUUUUUUUUUUUAACAAAUUUUAUAUAGGAAAUACAGCUGUCUCACAAGAAAAUCAGCUAUCUUCCUAUAUAAAAUCCGGUAAAAAAAUCUGUACUCGUAGAAUAAUUCCUCUCCAACUGCACAUAAAAAAAUAAAAAAAUAAAAACGGAAGGAAAGGAAUAAUAAUUUAAGAAAGAAGUUAAUAUGGGAACAAAUAAGUUUUGACGUUAAGCUCUAACUUAUAAAUAUUGUAGUAAGUACAUCUCCAAGAACUUUAUUCCUUUUAUUAUUAUUAUUUUUUUUUUAAACAAAUAUUCCUCCAAGCUUUAUUAUUUUUUUUUCUGCAAACAUGUCUACAACCUUUCGAUUUUGUAACAAACUUGCACCAUAAUGAAUUGUUUUUUCUCAUCAUUAUUGCCCUUGAAGUUAAACAGACAUUUAACUCUCACACGACUUGCUAUUCGAUGUUAAAAUAUAUAAUAUUGUUAAAUUUAAAGAACAACCAAGUAAUAAUAAAAAAAAAAAAAGGAAAGAAAAAAAAUUCUAUUUGCCGACUCAAUAUAAAAAUUUACAUGCAUAUUAAAUAAGAUUAACAAACUAUACCUUCUAUAUCACAUUGUGUAACAUUUUACGUACUUUAAAGUAUUAUAAAUUUUUUUUUAUUUUUUUCAAUGACGGGGGAACCUGCAGCCGCUACCUUUCACGUGUGCACUGGGUAAACCCUCGAGUUGACGCAAUAGCUUGCAAACCACACCAGUCAGGUAAAUCGUACUAGCCAAGCCCUGUGCGACAGGUUCAAACGAGAAAGUGUUGGUAUUAUAAAUUGUUAGAAGCUAUUAUGUUCCAUAAAGCGCUCUUUAUGAUAUGGUAAUCUAUUAUGAGAUUUGUAUAAUUUUACUAUCUUCAACUCUUUGAACUCCAAAAAUAAUAAAUAAACUUUUAUGAACUAAUAAGGUAUUAAAAAUAUGGACAACAUUUCACUUGAUGUGUUUGCCAACAUCGCAAACAGACAAACGAGAAUUCUUAGUUGUCGAUUUUCUAAGUGAAUUUUUUUCAAAGAAAAAUAAAUUUAAAAAAUAUAAUAAUUUUUACAUAAGUUAUUAUUGUUCAACUUAAAGUUAAUAUAUAAUUACCUAUAAUAGGGAUUUAUUAGCAUUAUAUUAUUUUUAGCAGAUUACAAAAAGCUCCCUGAGGUUUAUGAAAAUUAGAGAGACACUUCCUCCAUUUUAAAAAUUUACACAAACCUUCCUUAUUUUAUGUUUUAAAUAAUGCAUACAUCCCAUUUAAGUUUGUGACAAUUUUAGAGACAUCUCUAAAAAAAUUGCACUAAUAUCUCUUAUUUCAAAUUUUAAAUAACACAUAACUCCACGGGGCAAUCUCUCUAGUUCCGAAAUUACACAAGCCUCCUUUAUUUUAAGAUUUGAAUAACACAUACCUCAUCUAAUCACUUUUCUUUUACAUAUUAGUAUAUAUCAUAGUUGUAAUGCUUAAAAUAUCCUAAUGAAUUUCUUCCAUCUUGUGGCCCAUUUAACAAUAAUUUAACAUUCAAAAUACAAUUUUAACUCUUCUAAUUAUAUCAUCAACAGGUAUUAUCUAGACUAUCAAUUCUUAAAAAAUAGAUCAAUAGAUACUUUAAUUUAAGAUAAUCAAAUAUAUUUACACAUGACGAAGUGAUGAGCACAAUCAAGAUAGUAUCCAAAUAAAAAUAGUAAUAGAUAUUUCAUUUUGCCUAUAAAUCAUCCUCUAUUUACAAAAUAUAACAAAAUACUUCAGAAAUAAGUUAUAUGUAGCAUUUAUUUAAACUCCACUUGAUUGAUCAUUAAAAAACUUCAUUUUUUUACUCUCUAUUAAAGUAAAAGUAUUUAAAAAAGUGAUAUAUGUACAAAGUUAUAAAUAUUUGAAAAAUGUAAUCAUGUUAUUAACUUUUGUUAGAUUUUGAGUUGGCAAUUUUGUGAAUAAAAGGGCCAAUCUGUCAAUGUUCAAAAGUUUGGGCUCAAUUUGUCAGUGUUUAAAAGUUAGGGGUUAAUUUGUACAUAUGUAAAAGAUGAGGGACUUAGUUUCAAUUUUGUCAAAUUAUGUUAGGGCUUGAGUUGUGAAGUAGGUUAAGAAGUGUCGUUGAAGUUUCGCUAGCUGCUCGCUAGGUGGUCCCUCGAGCGUUAAAAGCAGAGUCUCUCGCUCGCUUUUCUCCCCGGUCUCACUCGAGCGAAAUAGGGUCGCUAGCUUUUCGCUCGAGCUACAGUGUUACCUGGAGAACUCUAUUUCUUUUUUCGAGAUUUUGACCCGACCCAUAUGACCCAAAACAUCUCAUAUAAAUUUGAUUGCGCCGUUUUUCAGUUGUUUUUCUUGGGGAUUGAACUAGGAGAAAACACUCCACACCUUGAUUCUGUCAUUCGAUCCCAUAUUCUCUUAGUGCAAUCACACAAAAAACAUCAAAUCCACCUUCAUCAAAUGCUACAAUAAAUUCUUCCAGAGCAUCUGUUAAGACUUGAAGAUCAGGGAAAGAGAUCGGGAUUCUGAUCAUUGGGGAAUGAGGAGUUCUUUGAAAUUCAUAGGAGAUAGAUGAAAUCAAGAGCUGAGAAUUGGUGUAAAGCAUGCAAUCUAGGAGGGCUAGGAGCCAGGAGUUGGUGCAGGAUCAUGCAUUCCAGGAGGGCUUUUGAAAACUAUAAUCAGGAGGUCAGAAAAACUAGUGUGGGUUGAGUCUGACGGAUUAUAAGAGAUAUUUUUGUUUGUAGUGGAUUCAUACUAGCUUGGGCCCUGAGUUUUACCCACAUUGGGGUUUCUUCGUCAUCAAACAACCGUAUUCUUUACAUUUAUGCAAUUUACUUGUUUCCGAUAAUUUAAUGUGGGAUAGUAAAGCAUGUGAAUUGAUCUAAACAUAUUAAUACUUGUGACUUGUUGUAUUUAUUAAUUAAUUAAUUAAUAAAUUUCUGCAUAAACACCUAUUCAUCCCCUCUCUAGGUGUUAUUUGGAUCAAACUACAUUAUUUCAAGUGGUUUCAGAGCCAAACCUCGAGUCCUGACCCAUUGUUGUCUAGAUGAGACAAUCAUUGUCCAUGCCUCCGUAUUUUGACGGAAGCAACUAUGCCUACUGGAAGGUUAUGAUGCAUGUUUUUCUUAAGUCCCUAGAUGAACAUGUUUGGGUGAGUGUGCAAAAUGGUUGGAAGCCGCCUUCUACAACUGUGUCUGGUAUUUUUACUCUAAUUGAUAUUUCACUUUGGACUAGGGAAGAAUUAGUUGAUUACAAUUGGAAUAGAAAAGGACUCCAUGCCUUGUUUAUGGCUGUGUCUCUCGAAGAGUUUAGGAGAGUGUCAAUGUGCGAAACUGCUAAGGAGGAGUGGGACAUUCUAGAAACUACUCAUGAGGGAAUAAAACCAUAAAAAAUUCAAAACUACAUUUGCUAGCCUCUAGGUUUGAAGAAAUUAGGAUAAAGGAUGAUGAAUCGUUUAAUAAGUUUUACGCAAAAUUGAAUGGCAUUGUAAACUCUAGCUUCUAGGAGAGAAGAUUCCCAAAUCCAAAAUUGUGAGAAAGGUUCUUAGGUCUUUGCCCGAGAGGUUUACACUUAAAGUUACAGCUAUCGAAAAGAGCAAGGACCUGGACACGAUUAAGAUAGAAGAACUCAUAGGAUCCCUUCAAACCUAUGAACUCACCAUUUCACAACUUAAGAAAAACAAGUCCAUAGUGUUGAACACAGUUAAAGAAGAAGAGUAUGAGUUAUUUGCCUUAGAAACCCUUAGAAUAAAGAGAUAGCCUACUUUAUGAAGAAAUUCCAGAAAGCUUUAAAGGGCAAAAGAUAGCCCCAAGAGAAAAAAGAGGAGCCCCUAGUAAAUUCUAGAAAGAUAAGGAUGAUAAACCGACUGCUGGGAACUUUAGUAAAAAACCUCAGGCUGUUAAAUGCCAUAAAUGUCAAGGGUUUGGUCACUAUAGAAAUGAAUGUCCUAGUUUGAAGAAAAAUUUGAAAAAGGGAAAGAGUAAGGUAGCUGUGUCAUUGACUGAUGAUGAAAUAAACUCGAGUGAUCAAAGUGAUUCCUCUAGAAGUGAAGACGAAAAGUGAUGGCUUUUGUAUCCACCGUUAAGAACAAGUCAGAUAAGGAGAAUGAUAAGGUUGAGAAAGAGGUACACAGUGAGAACACUAGUGACGACACUAAGGAUGAGACCGAUAUUCAAGAGGCUUAUCAACUUCUGUUUAAGGAGAGUCCUAAAAUCAAGAAGGUAAAUAAAGUCUUAUUCAAGAAAGUAGACGAACAUGAAAGAGAAAAAGAGAGGCUCACAAGUGAUCUCUAGAAUUCAUCCAAAAAACCUUUGUGAGUUUAAAUGUGUCAAUGAGAAGCUAGAAGACAAGAUUAAGACAUUGACUAAUGAAUUAGAAAAAUCUAAUACUCACCUUCAGUCAUUCAUGAGUGGGACUAAGAAAUUGGAUAACCUGUUAGGAAUGAACAAGCCAACUAGGAAUAGGCAAGGUCUAGGAUUUGUUUAGAGUGAUAAAAACAUGGUUAGUUCAACCAAGACCACAUUCGUGAUCUUGAACUCAAAAGCAAGAGUGUCACAGAACUAAGAGCCACUAGAGCUCGUAAGAUCCUCGCACCUAAAAUUCAGCAUCAAUAGUCACGAUAUCCCUAGUCAGGUUAGCUUUCUUUCAAAUCAGAUUAGUCACUUAACUGAGAUGGUGAAAAAAUUGACUACGAUCACCUCGACCUCUAGAAAAUUUUGGGUCAAGAAAUCUGAUGUAGCUAGGUGUGAUGAGAAUCUAAAUUAUUUUGUAGCUCAUGUUGCAUAUAAGGCUCAAAAUACAUGUAUGUGGUAUCUUGAUAGUGCUUGUUUUGGACACAUGUGUGGAAAUAAGGCCUUGUUCUCUACCUUUAAUGAAUGUAACGGUGGUGUAGUUACCUUUGGGGACGGCGCUUCGACACUUAUCCGUGGUAAAGGUACCAUCAAUAUAUCUGGACUUCCUAUAAUAUCAAAUGUGCUUUAUAUAGAGGGUCUAAAGUCCAAUCUUUUGAGCAUUAGUUAAAUUUGUGAUGCUGAUUACGAAGUGAGUUUUAUCUAAAAGAGAUGUACUGUUUAUAACUCUUCGAGUGGUGUUGUCCUCGAAGGUGUUAGAACUUCUGAUAACUGUUAUGGAGUUCUCCCCAACUCAAAUUAUGUGUGUAGCAGUGCUAAAAUUAAUGUGACCGAACUUUGGCAUCAAAGACUCGGUCAUGUUAACUAUAAAAGUUUGUCAAAACUGGUCAAAAAGAAAACUGUUGAUGGUUUGCCUAAAAUUGAACAAAAUGAGAGUGCUGUGUGUAAACCCCUGUCAACAAGGGAAAUAACUUAGGAUAAAACACAAACAAACCUCUAAAAUCUUGACAAACAGAUACUUAGAACUUCUCCAUAUGGAUUUAAUGGGACCAUCUAGGAUUGAAAGCCUAGGAGGUAAACUUUAUAUUUUUUUUUUGUGGUAGAUGACUUCUCUAGAUACACCUGGAUUGAACUAUUAAGAGAAAAAUCUGAGACAUGUGAUCUGGUUAAAUCCCUAUGUAAAAGACUUAGAAUGGAACAAAAUCUUUCCAUUUCUAGGGUUCUAAUUGAUCAUGAAAAAGAGUAUGAAAACUUUGAUCUUGAAAUCUUCUGUCUGGAGGAUGGGAUUUAGCAUGAGUUCUUCUCACCAAUCACUCCACAGUAAAAUGGGGUUGUUGAGAGGAAAAAUAGAGUGCUCCAGGAAAUGGCUAGGGUCAUCCAUCAUGACAAGGAUCUAGCAAUGUAUUUCUAGAGUGAAGCCAUUAACACUGCUUGCCACAUAAUGAACAGAGUAUACUUGAGAUCGAAAACCGAUAAGACUCCUUAUGAGAUCUAAAAGGGCAAGAAGCCUACAGUCAAAUACUUUCGUGUGUUUGGCAGUAAGUGCUACAUUCUGCGUGAUAGAUAAAACUUAGGCAAAUUUGAUUCCAAGAGUGAUGAAGGGGUUUUUCUAGGAUAUUCUAAGAACGAGUAUACAACUUGCGUACUUAGAUUGUCACGGAGUCCAUAAAUGUUGCUGUUGAUGAUGCCUUCAUUGAGGGGGAGAAGGUGAAAAAUGGGGUAGAUUUAGAUGAUCUAAGUGAUGGUCAAGGAUCUACAAUUGAAGUUAAAGAACAAUCAAUCUCAAAAUCUUCGCGAUCUCGUAAAGGCAUAGACACCUCCGAUAAAGAUCUACCAACUAGUGACCUAUCUAAGAUUUCUAGAGAACCAUCAUCCAGGGUUAAAUCCAAUCAUCCAAAGGUCAACAUCUUUUGGGAUCUAGAUCAGGGUAUGAGGUUACGAAAGAGAGUUUUGAAUAAUCUAACCUAUACAAGCUAUGUAUCCCAGAUUGAACCUAAGAAAGUGGAGGAAGCACUUAGAGAUGAAUGUUGGGUGAAUACAAUGCAUGAAGAACUUAAUCAAUUUGUUUAAAACAAUGUUUGGUAUCUAGUUCCUAGGCCUGAUGAUUGCAAUGUCAUAGGUACUAAGUGGAUUUUCAAGGACAAGACCGAUGACCAGGGUACUAUAAUGAAAAAUAAGGUUAGGCUAGUUGCCCAAGGGUACACUCAGAUUGAAGGGGUAGAUUUUGAUGAGACAUUUGCCUCUGUUGCACGCCUUGAGUCCAUUCGUAUCCUUUUUGCGGUUGCUUAUACUUUAGGGUUCAAGCUAUAUCAAAUAGAUGUCAAGAAUGUCUUCUUAAAUGGAAUACUUCAAGAAGACACAUAUAUUGAAUAGCCUAAAGGAUUCAUCAAUCCUAAGUUUCCUCAUUAUGUCUACAAAUUGAAUAAAGCUUUACAUGGUCUAAAACAAGCUCCUAGAGCUUGGUAUAACAUACUGUAUAUCUCGUUGACCAUACACGAGGUGGUACUGAUAGAACGCUAUUCAUUAUGCAUAUUGAAGAAACCAAAACUAUAGCAUAGAUCUACAUCGAUGACAUUGUGUUUGGCUCUCCCAUUGACUCUCUUGCUCAUGAAUUUGCCAAAUGUAUGAAGCGAGAAUUUGAGAUUAACAUGGUUGAAGAGGUAAGUUACUUCCUUGGUCUUCAAGUGAAACAAAUUAACUAUGGAUUGUUUAUUUCUCAAUCAAAGUAUGCUAAAGAUCUAGUAAAGCGAUUUAGGCUGGAUAGUGAAAAACACACAAGGACACCCAUGAGCACGAGUGUUAAGUUAGGUCAUGAUUUUACAGGUAAGAGUGUUGAUUAGACAUUGUACAGGAGUAUGAUAGGUAGCUUACUCUAUCUUACAGCUAGUAGACCCGACAUAGGAUUCAGUGUUGGUGUGUGUGUGAGAUUUCAGGCAAAUCCUAAGGCAUCCCAUCUGAAUGCAGUGAGGCGUAUCAUUAGGUAUGUGAAUGGGAUUGUAGAUCAUGGGAUCUUGUAUUCCAAAGAGUCUAAUCUUGAUCUAGUCGGCUAUUCUGAUGUCGACUGGGCUAGAAAUACCGAUGACAGAAAGAGUAUCUCGAGUGGAUGUUUCUAUGUUGGUUCUAAUCUUGUGUCAUGGAUGAGUAAGAAACAAAACUCAGUCUCUAUGUCUACAACCUAGAUAUAAUACAUUGCAGUAGGUAGUUGUUGCACUCAAUUGCUUUGGAUGAAGCAAAGUCUGAGUGAUUAUGGGAUAAAAUAGGGUACCAUGACUGUGCUUAGUGAUAACAACAGUACUAUCAACAUCUCUAAAAAUUCUGUUCAGUAUUCUAGGACCAAACAUAUUGACAUUCGACAUCACUUUAUUUGAGAGCUAGUUGAGUCCAAUGUGGUAUCCCUAGAACAUGUCUCUGCUGAAAAUCAACUUGCCGAUCUGUUCACUAAACCUCUAGAUGGUCUGAGGUUCGAGUCACUUAGAAAGGCUGUCGGCAUUUGUGUCCCUCAUUGAUCACCUUCAUAGGUGCAUCAAUGUCUAGUUCAUAUCAAUUAUUCAUUUCUACAUUCAUUGUAUUGCAUGGUAUCAUUUUGCAUCUGUCUCUCAUUUUGCAUGCUUUAUUUCUUCAUAUAAAAAAAAAAAAAAUUGGGGGUGGUAUUUCCUUGUCACUAUAGCAUUGUAUUUCCUUGUCACUAUAGCAUUGUAGUUGUUGACUUGAAUUUACAGCUUGUAAUCAAAUAUGCAUUCCACAUAUGGUUAGCUCUAAUUCCCAUCACUUAAAUUGAGUUUGUAUGGAGUACUUGGUAUAUGUUCCUUUGCACAGCACACGCUUGGACCCUGUGAAUGAGUCUUGAUCGCAUGUGUGAGAUUUGGGAUGACUCUCAUUUGUUGGUGAGUUGGCCUUGAGAUUGAGUUGACCUUGAGAUUGGAUUGAUCUUGGACAAGAUGACCUAUAUUCUGGUGUUUUCCAAGUCAUACCAGAAAAAUAUUAUUUAUUGAAUUACAUCUUACGCCCGUCUUCAUAGCCGGGUUGACUCGAGCAAUUAUGUCUGAGAGAUUUUCAUAACCUAGUGCCCUAAAGCCAACUGCUUUGGGAGUCACUGGCCUAAAGCUCAUUACGGGGUCUUCCUAAUAGUUUAAUGGAGAUGGACUUGCACAUAAGAUUAAAAAAUAAAAAUUGGGUGCUUGGUCACAAGGGGAGAAUUAAAACUAUACACCAUGUUUCAGUGAAUUAUAGGUCCUAGUGGCAUUGGAUUUGAUUUUCAUACAUCUGGGAAUAGACUCAUUCUGUAGUGAUUUAGCUAUCCCUUCUCACAAACUUAAGGUUUUGAGUCUUGCUUGCAUGGAAUUAGUGGCACUUUUCACAUGUGGAUCAUGUAUACAAUUUACUCCAUCCGAGCUUGAUCCCUGUGUGUGGGGAAGCAUUUCUAAUCAUUGUGCAUGCCAUAUUUGUGAUCAAUUGCACUUUUGGGUGCAAAUAAAUGCUGUAGUGCGUGCCUUAGUAGUCAUUUUUUUUAAAAGGGUGCGAAAAUUCAAAGUUUUUAAAAUGGUGCUAAAUUUCAGAAUUCUCAAAAUAAUGCUUCUUUUCUGACACUUCAUGCAUUGGUGCUAUUUUUGUCAUUUUCAUGUCGCUCAAAUCUCGCAGGAUCCUCGCUUGAGCGAUAAUAACAGAUUCACUCUCGUUUGCUUCUCGCUUGAGUGUCGCUCGAGCGACAAUAGGGCUUUUUGUUUUCUUGCGUACGCCUUAAACUUCAUUUUUUUUAUUCUUCGUCCAUUUCUUCUCUCAUUUUCCCCUCACCCACUCUCUAAGACGUAUAUCCAGUGCAUUUUUGGUUGUUUUGAGGAUCAAUUCUUCAAGUUUUGUCGACUUUCACACUUGGAUUUUCAUCAUUUCACGGUAAAUGGCUCGAGAACCCUCAUGUACAAUGUGUUCUCAUUUCUUUUGGAUUUCUUCAUUUUUUUUUGUUUUUCUUGCUCCUUUGUCUUGUGUUUGAUUAGCAUUUUGUUAUGGAUUAAUUUGGGAUCAAUUUUGAUUAAUUCUUUUGGGGAUAUUUUGUUCAUUUUCGUACAGUCUUUGUGUCAUUACUUUUAGUUUUGUGGUUACAUUAGGGUACAUUCAUUUUCAUAGUUUGUUCUGGAGAUGUUGGAGUAUCGCUUGGUGCUUGGUGGGGACUAGGGACUUAGGUUACCGUGGAGAUUUUUCACCUUUUCGUCACGCAUACCACAUGUUCGAUUAAAGUUUUCUUCACUAGUUUGGUCAUUACUUCAACACCUUUCGCACACCACUAUUAUUGUCUCGAUUGCUUAUAGAUCUUCCUGGGUCUUGAUUGCCAUAUCUUCCUUGUCAUGGUGUGUUCAUUUCAUGUAGGCCAUGUCGUGACAUCUUCCCGCCUGCGCCUUGAUGUAUGUCACUUGUGUCGUAUAUCGUGGCAUUUAGUUUUUGUCAUCGCACUUCGUUGCAUAGUUUUAUGCACGUUCCUCUAUUUUGCAUUGUUUUGCAUGAAUAUUGCAUUUUUUGCUUCGUUUUGCGUGCAUUACACUGAGCUGCAUCAUUUUGCACGUCCUUGCAUAUAUUACACUAUUUUGCAUCAUUUUACGUGCCCAACUAGACUUUGGUUUGCUUUGUGUCCCAUUUGUUCAUGCAUGGCCUAUGUCCCUGAUCAGUUGCCACUGUUAUUUCUAUCAUAUGCCAUAUAAGCAUGCAAGGACUGCUGCUCAGCCUACUAGUGGGUCGACAUCCUAUAGCCGCUCUAGGUUUAUAUCCUCCAUAGCUCAGGAAGUGUUCGGGAGUUAGUUUUCCUUGCGCUCAGUCCUAGUCAAGCGUGAGGUCACCCUCUCUAACCUACUGCCCAACCUUACAGCCAUAUUCACCUCCCAGGGUUGGGUGCCCUUGUUGAUAGGUUUGAACUUACCUCCUAGUCUCCUAGUUCGAGAACUUUAUGUGAACAUUCAGCAUGUCAGCAGGUCGUCUUUUAGGGUGUUUCUUAGGGGUCAGGCGAUUAUGAUCACACCUGAUAUUAUCUCUAGCACCAUCCAUGUUCCCUGUGUCAUUCACCCCAUUUUCCCAUAUCUGUCGGCCGACACUCUCCCAACCAACGCUCUUGUCAGGUCCACCUUAUUUAACAGUCAUUUGGAUGGUGGACCGUAGGCGAUCUGCACUGGAUCCCUACUAACCGACCGUCAGAUUCCAUCGUGCAUUGUGUAUAUAAAUCUGUGGCCGAUUUCACACACUUUUUCAUUGCCUAUGGACAAGGCCGGAUUUUUAUAUGCCCAACUGCAUGGUGAUUCCAUUGACCUACCCACCUUCAUCUGUCAGUACAUUUUACGUAACUUCAGGGUACUGGGUUAUAAUAUUGGCUUUCCCUACGCUUGCUUAAUCUACUAUUUGGUGACAUCCCUCGAGGCUUCAUUUCCUUAUGGGGUUUCUCGAUGGGGUCUUUGUCCCAUCGGCCAUACUACAUUCUCCUAGAGUCGAUCACAUGGUGCUUUUUCUUCUCCUGCUCCUGUUGAGCCAGCCACGCCUGUUGACCCGACAGUGCCUGCUGAUCCUAUAGGUGACCUUGUCGCUGAUUUCUCAGCCAUUCCUCCAUCUAAGCCUGAUAUUCCUAUGUCAGCCAAUGAUAUAUAGUCUUCUUCUACUUCUGUUCUACCGCCCACUUCGCCUGCUCUGGCUAUAGCCCCUGUUGACCCCUUCGUGGCUCUCAUGGGUUAGAUGUCUAUUUUAGUUAAGCAGCAGGCUCACAUGAUAGUAGAGCUUACUUAGCUGAGGGCUACAUCCGAGCGCCAUAUUACGUAGUUUGCUACACUACAGGGAGCUAUUGCAUAUGUCCAACGUGGCAUUAGGUGGAUGCUUGAGCAUUGGGACUAUAAGACUGAUGUUGAUGAUUCUGAUGACGUGAACGAUGGAGAUGGUGGUGUUGUUAGAUGCAUUACUUUUGAUAGAUUAAGUUUUUGAUGUUUUCGCAAUAUUGAUGUAUGUUUUUGGUGUUUUGACUUACAUUGAUAUUAUAUUUUAGUCUAGCUUAUUGGUAUGAUAUUGUGAUUGUUAAUGACUGCUUGUCCUUAUUGCUUUAAUUUAUAUUAAUGUUUCUCGUGCUUUUACACUUGGUAUGUGAGUUAUGAUUUUAGGAAACAGGUUGAAAGAGGACAAGACAACAGUUAGUUGAGUCAGUUGUUUUGGGUUAUCAUUGUAGUUCAUGUUGAUACAAUGUUGUUUUGUCACAGAAUGCCAAAGGAAGAGUUUGUAAGAUUUUGAGUUGGCAAUUCUGUAAACAAAAUGGUCAAUCUAUCAAUGUUCAAAAGUUUGGGGUCAAUUAGUUAAUGUUUAAAAGUUUGUGGUUAAUUUAUACAUUUGAAAAAGAUGGGGGACUAAGUUGCAAUUUUGUCAAAAUAUGUUAGGGCUUGAGUUGUGAAUUAGGGUAAGAAGUGUCAUCGAAGUUUCACUAGCUGCUCGCCAAGUGGUUGCUCGAGUGUCAAAAGCAGAGAGUCCAUCGCUUGCUUUUCACUUCUGCCUUGCUUGAGCUAAACAAUGUCGCUCGCUUUUCGCUCGAGCGACAGUGUUACCUGAAGAACCCUAUUUUUCUUUUUUUUUUUCGAGGUUUUGACCCGACUUAUAUGACCCCAAAUAUCUCAUAUAAAUUUGAUUGCGUCGUUUUUCUUGGGGAUUGAACUCGGAGAAAAUAUUCCACACCUUGAUUCUUUCAUUCGAUCCCAGAUUCUGUUAGUGUAAUCACACAAAAAACAUCAAACCCACCUUCAUCAAAUACUACAAUAAAUCCUUCCAGAGCAUUUGGUGAGACUUGAAGAUCAAGGAAGGAGAUCGGGGUUUCGAUAAUUGGAGAACGAGGAGUUCUCUGAAAUUCACAAGAGACAAACGAAAUCAAGAGCCAAGAAUUGGCGUAAAGCACGCAAUCCAGAAAGGCUAGGAGCCAGGAGUUGGUGCAGGAUCACGCAUUCUAGGAAGGCUUUUGGGAAGCUACAAUCAGGAGGUCAGAAAAACUAGUAUGGGUUGAGUCUGACGGAUUGUAAGAGGUAUUUUCGUUUGUAGUAGAUUCGUACUGGUUUGGACCUGAAGUUUUACCCACAUUGGGAUUUCUCCAUCAUCAAACAAUUGUGUUCUUUACAUUUCUGCUAUUUACUUGUUUCCCGUAAUCCAACGUAGGAUAGUAAAGCAUGUGAAUUAAUCUGGACAUAUUAAUCCUUGUGAUUUGUUGGAUUUAUUUAUUAGUUAGUAAAAAUUCUACAAAAACACAUAUUCACCCCCCUCUAGGUGUUAUUUGGAUCUAAUUACAUUAUUCCAACUUUCAAAGAAGAAAGCAUUUCACUCAAAACUAUAAAAUUUCUAAGCACACAUUUAAGAUGAAAUCACAACAAGAAUCUAUCUAUCUUGUGUUCUUGAAUAUAAUUAUUCAAAAUUAAUUAAAUGUUUAAAGUGUUUUUGAAGAAUUUACCGUCUAAACAAUAGUUUUUUGUUGAUAUAGUAGGAAGUGUUUACAUCGUAUUUGAGGUAUUACAUGAUUAUUGUUAUAAGAACAACAAGAUGGAAGAAAGUUGAAAAUGUAUUUCAAGCAUUACCACUAUUAUUCACCCUAAAAUAAUUUUUUUUUUUUAUCUCCAUUAGAAGAGAUCAUCGAUUUAUGUAACAGAUGAUGCGCUAUAAAAUGAUAAGUUCCAUUAAAUGUAAAAAUAUGAAACUCACUUUAUUGGUCUUAUCAUUUAAUGUUACAUUAUAUAGCGAUCAUAUCUAAUAGAGAUAAAUAUCAUUACUCUUUGAGCUAACAUGUAAAAGAAAAGUGGUCAAGAGAGGUUUGCAUUAUUUAAAACUUGAAAUAAAAGACGUAUCUAUAAUUUUCUAAAUUAGAGAGCGUGUCUUUGAAAUUGCUAUAAAAAUUCAAGGAUUUAUACAUUAUUGAAAACUUGAGAUAAAGAAGGUUCAUGAAAAGGAAGUAGGUAUCUAUGAAAUUCUUAUCUGUAAAAAUCUCAUCUUUUCUUUGUGACGUAAUUCUAGAGAUAAUAUUAUGUCUCCCUCUCUCUUGCGAGUAUUGUCUUUGUUUUGAUCUAGUAUGCUCAAACCUCUCUUCUAAGAACAUGUGGAUUUAUAUAUAUAUAUAUAUAAAAGUGAAGUAGAAAUUGAGCAAAUAAGAGGAGGGUUAGAAAGAGAUGGAAACAAAUGGAUUGCAGGUGGUUCCAUUGAUAAUGACUGAUAAGUGCAUUUUUAUGCACUUAUUUAAUUCACAAACAUGACUAAAUUACGAGCAAAGUGUUUGAAUUGUGGCUUAAUUUCGUUUGAUUUGUGCAUCGUAGGCUAUAUUGAUGGACAGGCUGGAAUCCACGAGAAAAGAUUCGAAAAAGGGCCAAAAUGAAGCAAAGUGAAAGUUAAAGGACCAAAGCAUAAAUAUCCAAAAGUUGAACUAAAACACGAAUCGAGAAUGCAUACGAGCUAAUUAUUAACUUAGGGAUAAUGCGGGGUGAUCAGAAGAAGAAAAACAAGAAAAGGAUGAGAACGAAGAAAACGAAAGGCUAGGGACUAAAAUGCAUUGAGUCGAGGGAGUAAUCGAGAAUUUGAUCGAGCCAAGUACCAAUUCGAGGUUAAUAUUGGUCGAUGGAAUGAGAAGAAUGAAGAAGUGAGGUCAAAAUGGAAGAAAAGAAAGUUUAAGGACAAAAAUGAACAUAUUUGAAAAAAAUACUAUGCGACCGCCUGUAAUACUUCUAUUUAGUCGCAUGCAUGGUGAUCGAAAGUUGUUGGGCCAAAAAUUUUACUUCUAUGCGGUCACAUAGUGUUAAAUUGGGGGUCGAAUCUACAGUUCCCUGUUUUUGUUAAAACUCUUUUGGAAUUCGAUUUGGACGCAAUAUAAAGACCUAGACUUAUCAUAUUUUAGGGGAGAACGCAUUAGGAGGCAACAAAACACAUCUUGGAGAAGAUUUAGAGCUAAAGUAAUGAAGGAUUUCUCAAAGAUCAUGAGAUUUCAUGCGAAUUCAUAACCUGGUGUUUUUUAUCUUCAAGAAAUCAUGUGUUCUGUUAUUUUCUCCAUGUUAGGAUAAAUAUUUUUGUACCAGAAGAUCGAUGAACUAUGUGAUGUGAUAUUUGGAUUCUUAGUUUUGCAAUUCGACAUUCAAACACGUGUUUGAUUAUUUGAAUGAUUUAUAUACAUCAAUUUCUUCUAUAAUUAAGUGCACAUAAUUAUGUGAUCUGUGGUGAUUUAUUUCUUACACUCGAGGGAAGGAAAAUAAAUUUGACAAGGUAUAAAUCAUCGUAGGAUCUGACAGGGGAUAGAGAUAUAUCCCUAUGCCUUGCGUGAAUCUUUAAGUGCUCAUAAAAUCACAUGCAUUCUUGUAUAUAUGCAUCUGUUAUAGAGAAUAGGUUCAAUACUGCUUGAGAGAGAGUGUUUGAUAGAUUUAAGAGCAUUGAUUUUUCUAUAAUUUAAUCAUGUUGUCAUAUUGUGAGACUAGGGUUUAAGGUGAUCAUUGCCUGGGAAUUUGUGAUCCUAGUGCAUUUAAUUUUCAUUGAAUAAAAUCAACUUGCGUUCAAAUCAACAUAUUGCAUUACAAUUCCUUGGCGGUCUUUUAAAUUGAACCACUUUAUUACUUGUUAACGAGACGUACACUUGCGGUUUUUAAAUCGAAAGAAUAAUUUUGUGAACAAGUUUUUUGCGCUAUUGUCGGGGAUUGGGUAUUCGUUUAAUUUUAUUUACAUUGGCACUAAUUCAAACAUUAAUAGUUGUAGUUUUAUUUAUUUAUUUAUAUUAUUUCCUUUUAUCUUAUUUUUGUUUUGCUUUGUUUUUUUUGUUAUUUGCUUCCUAAGCACUCUUAUUGAUUUUUCUCGCUGAUUUGCAUGUUAAGGUCUACUGAAGGAGACCUGAUCCUAGCCGAUCUAGAAAUGGAAUGAACUUUACGCCGAAUGUAGCCAGAAAAUAGAGAAGCACAGCAAUAAAUGACUAAUGUACAGAACAAUCUCAUUUUUCAAGUCAAUGAAGGAGGGGCAGCGGAUGAAGGCAAUAUGCUUGUAAGAGAUUUCAUGACCCCUCAGAUAAUUCAGAGCCAGUCGAACAUUGUGUAUCCAUCGUUUGGGUAGCCUAACUUCCAAUUGAAGACCAACGUGAUACAACUGUUUCAAAACGGAUAUCAAUUUUACGAAAGAACUAAAGAGAAUCCACAUAUGCACAUCACUCGCUUUUUGGAGAUGUGCCAACACUUCAGAUAUCAAGGAAUCUUAGACGAUGCAAUCAGAUUAAGGUUGUUCCCACAAGGCAAUCGAAUAGCUAGAUUCGCAAUCAAUCGCCAGCAUCACUACAUGGAAUGAUCUAGCUCAGAAAUUCUACACCAAGUUCUUCCUGCCUGCCAAGAUUGCAAAGCUCAAGCACGACAUAUCUGUUUUCCGACAAGGCGACUAAGAGAACUUUGAUGAAGCUUGGAAUAGAUUCAAAAAUAUGUUGCGAAAGUAUCCACAUCAUGGGAUUAGUAAAGGACUCCAGGUCCAAUACUUUUAUACAGGAUUACUUCCAGCCUUCAAGAGCAUGGUCGGCUCAUCAUCAAACGGAUCACUGCCAUAAAGACAACUGAUGAAGCACUGAAACUAUUCGAGACUAUGGCCACUACAUCAGCUAUGUGACAUCGAAAUGAGCAGUUCUAAGAUGACAUCGAAAGUUUAUGAAGUGGACGUUUAUUUUGCCUUAUCUGCCAAAAUUGACUUAUUAUUUCACAAGGCGAAAAACAUGUCACAAUCAGCUAACGCAACAUAGUCGAAGAAGACCAAUGGUGAGGAAUGUGGAGCUAAGCACAAAAAAUAGAGUACCCAAUCUUAAUGCAAUAAAUUGAGCAGGCAAACUUUGUACAAUGGGGACAACACUAACAAAACAAUUUGUAUGGGAAAACAUACAAUCCCAGUUGGAAGAAGCAUCCCAACUUCUCUUGGAGCAAUUUAAAUUAGAAUAGGCCACAAGGAUAGUUUCAACUGCAAGAGAAGAGGCCUCAAUUGGAAUAGAUGUUAGGGAAAUUCAUGGAGAAAGCCGAAGCCACUCUUCAAAACCAAAAUGCUGCUAUCAAAAAUUAGAAAACUCAGAUGGGACAGAUAGCCAUUGUGUUGACUGACAAAGCACCAGGUAAUUUGCCAAGUAACACAGAAAUCGACCCAGGGACGAUGCUAAGGGCACUACAACUCAAAGUGGGGUGUAGCUACCUGAAAUACAUGUCAAGAGGCCGAGUGUGAAUGGAGAGACAACAUCUUCUCAGAGGAACGGGAUGAACAACCAAAGGAAUCAACCCUAAAGAAAAGUUCAGAGAAAUCACGGGAUAAGACCACAGCUACAGUCAACCCCUACGAACCUCCAAUUCCAUUUUUCCUACAGUUGAAAAAGCAUAAAAUUGAGCAGCAAUAUAAGAAAUUUCUAGAAGUCUUCAAGAAGCUCCACAUCAAUAUCCCUCUCCACAAUGCACUAUUCUAGAUGCCUAGCUAUGCAAAGUUUCUGAAGGACAUACUAUCAAAUAAACGCAAGCUAGAGGACCACGAGACAGUAAUGCUAACAGAGAAGCACAGCGCUAGAAUUCAAAAAAAGCUUCCACCGAAUUGAAAGAUCCAGGGAGUUUUACUGUUCCUUGCACUAUUGGUGAAGUUUACUUUGAUAAAGCCUUAUGUGAUCUUGGUGUAAGUAUUAAUCUAACGCCUCUGUCCAUUUUUAGGAAACUUGGCUUGGGAGAGGCUAAGGUGACUACUGUGACACUACAGCUGGCUAACAAGUCAUUGACACGCCCCAGGUGAAUAAUAGAUGACGUGCUUAUCAAGGUUUAAAAAUUCAUAUUCCCUACAGAUUUCCUUAUCUUGGACAUGGAAGAAGACAAGGACAUUCCUUUGAUACUUGACAGAUCGUUCUUGGCAACCAGGAGAGCUUUAAUUGAUGUUCAGAUAGGGCUAUUGAUUUUAAGAUUGGGGAGGAACGGAAAUCAUUCAAUGUCUUUAAGGCUAUAAAACUUCCUGCAGAAUCAGAUAGCUGUUUCCAAAUUGAUGUCAUUGACAAGGUGGUCAAGGAUACAUUCUUACUUCAUAGCCCAUCUGAUGCUUAUGAGGCAUGUAUUGAACAUUCCCAAUCAACUAAGUUAGAUCCUCUUGAGAUUGAGACAUUUACAAGGUUUUUGGAGACCAACCCACCAUACAUACGAAAAAAGUACUUCGAGGAACUUGAAACAUGAACCACAAAGCCACCACAUUUCAUUCAGCAAUCGCCCGUAUUGGAACUCAAGCAACUGCUGCCACAUAUCAUAUAUGCCUAUUUGGGAUAGUCAUGUACACCCUCGGUGAUUAUUUCAAACACAGUGAGUGAGGUGGAGGAAGAAAAACUACUUAGGGUACUCAAAGAAAAUAAGACGAUGAUUGGGUGCACGAUAGCAGACACUAAAGGGAUCAGCCCUUCACUGUGUAUGCAUAAGAUUCUCAUGGAGGAGAAUUGUAAGCCCAGUGUAGAGGGUCAGAGAAGGCUAAAUCCAAAUAUGAAAGAAGUGGUCAGGGUAGAGGUACUGAAAUUAUUGGAUGUAGGCAUUAUCUACGCAAUUUCAGACAGCGCAUAGAUCAGCCUAGUUCAAGUUGUGCCAAAGAAAUGAGGAAUCACCAUGGUACUAAAUGAGAAGAAUGAGCUAAUUCCCACUAGAACAGUGACGGGAUGGAGUGUUUGCAUAGAUUAUCGUAAACUCAAUACAACUACAAGAAAAGAUCACUUCUCACUCCCAUUUAUUGAUCAGAUGCUGGAGAGAUUAGCAGGACAUUCACACUACUGCUUUCUUGAUGGAUAUUCGGGCUAUAAUCAAAUACCAGUUAUGCCAAAUGAUCAGGAGAAAACUACCUUUACUUGUCCGUAUGACACUUUUGCCUACCGUAGGAUGCCCUUUGAUCUUUACAACGCUCCGGUCACAUCUCAGAUAUGCAUGAUGGCAAUAUUCUCCAAUAUGAUUGAAAUAUUCAUAGAGGUGUUCAUGGACGAUUUCUCAAUUUUUGGGUCUUCAUUUGAUGAAUGAUUAGAGCACCUAAAUUUAGUCUUACAGAGAUGCAAAGAGACUAAUCUGAUUUUGAACUGGGAAAAAUGCCAUUUUAUGGUGCAGGAAGGGAUUGUACUUGGGCAUCGAGUCUCAACUAAAGGAAUUGAGGUGGACAAAGCAAAAAUUCAUGUCAUUGAGAAGCUACUGCUGCCUACAUCAGUUAAAGGGGUUCGUAGUUUCUUGGGACAUGCCGAGUUUUACAUGAGAUUUAUCAAGGAUUUUUCAAAAAUCACUAAGCCACCAUGCAACAUGUUGAUGAAAGAUGUGCCAUUUGAGUUUAAUGAGGAAUGUUCGAUAGCUUUCAACACUUUGAAGGAGAAACUCACGUCAGCACCGAUAAUUGUAGCACCAGAUUGGGAACUGGCUUUUGAACUAAUGUAUGACACCAAUGAUCAUGCCAUGGAUGCAGUAUUGGGAUACCGAAGAAACAAGAUUUUUCAUGUGAUCUACUAUGCAAGCUGAACCCUAAAUAAUGCACAGAUCAACUAUGUUACCACUGAAAAGGAGCUCUUAGCCAUGGUAUAUACAUUCGGCAAAUUUAGGUCAUAUCUUGUGGGGUCUAAGAUCAUCAUCUACACAGAUCACGCUGAACUGAAAUAUCUGAUGACAAAGAAGGAUGCUAAGCCGAGAUUGAUACAUUGGGUACUACCGCUACAAGAAUUUGAUAUUGAAAUUGGGACAAAAAGGACAGUGAAAAUGUGGUAGCUGAUCACUUAUCGUGAUCGGAACUUGAAGAACCAGAAGAGUCAAUGGAUAAUAACGAGAUUUUCCAGAUGAGCAGAUAUUCAGUAUGGAAGAAGCACUGUGGUAUGGAGAUAUUGUUAUAUAUCUGGCUAAGUCCAUCCUACCGCCAGAUUACUCAAGUCACCAGAGGAAAAAUUCUUUGCCGAACUAAAGUACAAUUUUUGGGAAGAUCUUGUUCUCUAUAGGCGAGGGGCUGAUCAUAUUGUGAGAUGUAUACCUGAAGAUGAAGUACCCAAAAUUCUUGAGCAUUGCCAUUCAUUUGCCUAUUCGGGAUACUCUGGAGCUUCAAAGACUGCUACAAAGAUUUUAUAGUCAGGGUUUUAUUAGCCUACAUUGUUCAAAGACGCCUUUAAGUUUGUCAACAGAUGUGAUAGAUGGCAACUCACUAAAAAUAUCUCAAGGAGAAAUGAAAUGCCGCUUAACAAUAUAUUUGAAGUUGAGAUAUUUGACGUCUAGAUAAUCGACUUUAUGGGACCUUUUCCCCCGUCGUUUUCAAAUCAGUAUAUUUUGGUGGCCGUUGACUAUGUAUCUAAAUGGGUAGAAGCAGUUGCAUUGCCAACCAAUGAUGGGAAUGUGGUAAUUGGGUUCUAGAAAAAAUACAUCUUCACUAGAUAUAGCACACCGCGGGUGAUAAUCAGUGAUGGGACAAACACUUCUGCAAUUGCCAAUUUGAACAGUUGUUGAGUAAAUAUGGCGUUAAACACCGUGUAGCUACCUCAUAUCAUCCCCAAACUAGGGGGCAAGUUGAAAUUUCGAAUCGGCAGUUGAAGAGAAUAUUUGAAGUUACAGUCAAUUCAUCCUAAAAGGACCGGUCUAAAAAGCUAGACGAUGCAUUGUGUACAUAUUGAACAACAUUUAAGAUAUCGAUAGGCAUGUCUCCAUACUGCCUAAUUUUUGGGAAAGCGUGCCACCUCCCACUAGAAAUAGAACACUGUGCAUAUUGGGCUAUGAAACAGUUAAAUAUAGAUUUGAAGGUCGUCGGCGAAAAGCCUUUACUGUAGCUUAAUGAGUUCGAUGAAUUCAAGAUAGAAGCAUAUGAAAACUCAAAGCUCUACAAAGAGCGCACCAAAAAGUGGCAUGACUUACACAUUCAGAGGCGAGAGUUUGAAGUGGGCAGGAAGUUCUAUUAUAUAACUCGAGACUCAAGCUCUUCCUUAUAAAAUUAAGGUCAAGAUGGUCAGGUCCUUACAUUGUCAUAAAGGUUUUGCCAUAUGGAGCCAUAGAAAUUAGCCAUGAAACAAAGGGUACCUUCACAAUUAAUGGGCAAAGGUUGAAACACUAUUGAGGCGGUGACUUCUCGAAGAAAAAGUCUACUGUUCAACUCGGAACACCAAAUUGAAGCAGAAGUACGCACUGUAUCAUUUUUAAUUUAUUUUGCUUUUUGCAUUAGCUUAUGACUUUUUCAAUUUCACGUUCACAUUGACGAUGGUUAGGUCAUCGAUCAUCCAUGCAUGUCAAAAUAGUCUAAGCGCUACCCUCACGAAGCCCUAUGCAUCGAGCACGAGUUGGGAUUGAUUUGAGUUGUCUUGGGUGAUUGGGUGUGACAUUCAUGCAUUUCGAGGCACAUAGUCGUUUUUCAAAUUUUUUUUUUUGAGGUAUGGUGUGAAUUCAAUUCAAAAAUUGGUUUUGGCACUAAGUCCAUGGCCGACACAUAUCCCAUGUUGCUUAAAAUAUUUUCAAAAUUUUGUGAGUAUGUGAGAAGUUGGGUUAAUUCAACGAUCGAAAACCACGUUCUGGGAUAUAUUUGAUAAAAGUCAUGUUUGUAGAGUCAAAUGUAUUUUCAAAAAAUUUUUUAGGUGCAUAUUCAUUAUAAAAAAAAAUAAAAAUUAACUUGUCUAUUGCAAGUCUAUGCAACCGCAUAGACUAACAAUAGAUGUGGUCGCAUAGCAAGGCUUAGGUCCUAAAAUGGCAUCAAAGUACUCUAUGUAUAAAAAAAAAUUCUCGCGUUUAAAAAAAAAAAAAAAGACAAACCACACACACACCCAAAACAUGAAAAAUCUCCCUUAUCCAACCCUCACACUCACGACACACACACCCAACACACGCAACUCUACACACACUUAGCAAAAUCUAUUGCACAAAUCACACCAUUAUCUCGCAUUUAAGUUGGUAAGGGUGCCUAAUUCUUCCACAUUCAUACCAAAUCUCAAGGUAAAUCUUCCAAAUCCUAAUCUAUCAAAUUCAUUUUGAAGUUAUUAGGUUUUAAUGUUUUUGGACGUUGAUUGAUUAUGAGGGUACAUGAUUGUGAAUGUGAUUUGAGUAUAUUGUGAUUGAGGGGAUUGAAGCUAUACAUAUGCAUUGUCAAAAUAGAAAGAAAACACCAUUCACGCAACGAGCUCAAUGAAAUGCCUAAGUGAUGAAUUUUAUGCAAUUUUGUAAACUUUGCUUUUGUGGUGCACGACAAUUGAGUUGAGUUGCAUUUGGUGACAAGAUAUCACAGCAAAGGCAUUAGAAAACACAAAACCCCGAAUCGCACACACGUAGGCAUGUCAUGGCUAGGUUACGGCACCCUACGUUACCCACUUGGCCCCUUCAUUUACCUAAACAAAUGACCUCCUAUCAACUUGAAAUUUGAAUAUGUGUUAGAGUACAUUGAAUACUUCCAUACAUCUGGAGAUCUCCUAAGAAAAUUUCGAUAUUUCUCGAUGAUUCCAAGGGUUAAAGUCCUCAUUUGGUCAUGGGUCAAAAUUUUAUAAAGUGCAUGUUCGGGCCUAAUUUUGUUGAUUUUUCUUAUUUUUGCAAUAUUGAUACUAUCUUGAACUUAAUUUCUUGAAUAUUGCACACCAACAUGUUAUACAUGCGUCUUGAAGCAAAGUUUGGGAGGGGGGUUUGCGCUUCGUGUUUGAUAUUCCAUGCUUUCUUGCUACCCUAUUAUACUUGAUGGUCUAAAUUGAAAUGGGUAUGUGUUGCAAGAUGCCGCCAAAAGGAACUUCGAAAGAGAAGGAAAAUGUUGGAUCAUCAUCUGGGACAGCAUGUACUAGAGAGCUUGAUGGGGGCAUAUGGAGAUUCCUAGAUCCUGAGGCUGCAGCUGGCUAUGCAAACAUCGUAAGUCGGUGGGCAAUGAUUCCAGAGCAGCAAGUGAAGUUAGAUGACUUUCCCGAUUUUGAACUGGUUACCUUGGUCGAAAAUUAUAGAUGAGAGAAAAUAGUGGAGCGAUCGUACCCCGUAUAUGAAAGUUUGGUUGGAGAGUUUUAUACAAAUCUCAAUGCAGAGAUUGACACACCAGGCUCUGACCAUCUGUAUUAGAUGUGGGUUAGGGGAUAGUGGAUCAUGUUUUCACUAUAAGUUAUCCAUGACUUUUAUCAGCUCACUUGGAACAACAUUACCCCCAUCCUAGGCGAGUUCAAUUGGAAUGAAGUGGCAGAGAUCUUAUUGGGGCGAGAGAAUGCUUGGCCACUCCCAACCACUGAAUGGCACCAAAUUGAACUGACACCACCUAUAGCCAUCUUGUGGCUGUUUAUGUGCCAUAAUGUUGAGCCGACCUCGCAUGGAACAACAUUUACAGAUCCCAGGACUAGUUUCAUAUAUCGUUUGGUUCGGGAAAACAAGAUCGAUCUUGCCACACUUUGCUAUGACCAGGUACAUAAUGUGGGUACUUAGGGAGACAGGCACAGUUCUCUAAUUUUCCCUAGCCUCAUCAGCGAAAUUUGUAGGGCCGCAAGUAUUACCAUCCUAUCAGGGAAAGUACCUAAGAAGCUUAGCCCUUUCAUCAAGCGUACUACACUAGAAGCUUAGGACAGAGUCAGGAUAAAGCACUGGGAGAAAGAUAGAAAAUGAGAACCGUAGGCAGCAAUAGGCCACGGCAGGACAAGUAGCUGAAGAUAUAGAGAUGCCACAAGCUCCUCCACCACUUGUUGAUGUGGACACACAGUUGUUGAGACAGAUCUUCAUCACCAUGACAUAUUCCAGUAGAGAUAUACAGAGCCUUCAGCAGGCAUUUGGAGCCAUGACCACCGAUGUAUAUAAGAUACAAAAUGAUAUCUUCACCUCCAGAAAUUUCACAAUAGACGCCAGGAACGAAGCCCAAGCAGCGAAAAGAGAGGUUGACGCCAUAAAUAGUCGGUUGAAUAUGUAUGUGGGCCAGGUGGAUGGUAUACAGCUGAGGUUUAAUGAGACAUGGGAUCGAGUACGUAGUAUAGAGGCAAAGGCUAGGGAACAGAGUAAUAUGAUGAGAGAUAUGCAGACCUAGCGGUCAGAACUAUUAAUGUAGAUCUUGUUCCAUCUCUCUUCACCACCAGGAGAUGACACUGCAAGACCCAGUUUUCAGUCACCACCACCACAGUGAUCUAAGGAGUCCUGUUUAACCCAUUUUGUUACUUCAAUUUGUACUUGUCCUUUAAAUUCUAGCAUUUAAACUUCCACUUUUCACAUUGAGGACAAUAUAAUGUAUAAAUUUGGGAUAGUGGCAUAUUUUGAACUAAACAAUCGGCAUGGAAUCUAUUUUGAAUUUCUAUCAAUCCAUCAAUACCUUUGUUUAAUGGUUGCAUAUUGUGUGCUUGAAGAGUGAUUAUUAGAUUCUAUUCAAUAUGCUGUACUACAUUCCUUACAUGAUUGUGUGGGCUUGAUAGCCUUACCGGCUAUGAUAUGACCAUUGGACUAGUAUAAUUUAGAAAUUAUAGAUAUGGUGCUGAAUAUAUUAACUGACUUGCUGGUGUAGUACAUGACACUCUUUAUGCACGCCACUCAUGAUCUACAUGCUGAGUUAGUGAUUGGUCUUUUUUUUUUUACACUAGCUAGGAGAAGAGUGAUAACCCUCUACAGAAUGAAAUAGUAAACCAUUUUAAGACAGUUUGGGGAUGAUUGAGCAAUUAUAGGGGAACAUUGAGAUAAGUAGGGGCUCCAUGUAUAAAUCUUGUUGUGUCGAUUGCCUAGACAUGUGAGAUGAAGACUAAAUGAAAGUCCCAAAUUCGGGGUUGAUUUUAGAAACCAAAUGUCUAGAAAAAUAAUAAAGUGCAUAAAUCUAAGUUAUGAAAACAUGAUAGCUUUUUCCAUGUCUUUAUGACUCGAGCAAGUAAGCCUGUAAGAAUACUUCGAAUUUGGUGCCCUAAAGCCAACUGGUCUAGAAGUCACCGAUCAAAAGUUCGUUACACGGGUUAUAUAGAAAACAAAUGAGAAGGUGGUACAACAACAAAAAAAUAAAAAUAAAAAUAAAAAUUUUGUAUUAAAAUGAAUAACUAAAGACAGGAUAGAUUGGAUAAAGCCCUUGGACAUUUGAUUGAUAAAAUUACACCGUUGAGGCGAGACAAGUAACCUAGUUUAAUCUUAAGUGUUAAAGCAAACAAGUCUAGGAGAGCCUUAAUUUUUUGACAUGUGAAUUUGUGAUAGCAAGAUCUAUCCAAACAAAGAGAGGGUAAGGAAUACAGUUACGAGAACCUUAACUUUAAAACACAACCCCUGGAUAAUUAGGUGAAAAGAAUAAGCUUGAGAGGUUGUGUAUCUCUGGAGCGAAGUGAGGACAUAAUUGACUACUCUGGGUUGGGACUAACUCCAUCAUGAACUUGAUAUGUUGGCAUGACUUCACACACACACGUCAAGUAUGCACUUAACAGGUAAAUGUUGAUUUCAUUCAUGCACUAUUGAAACUUUUUCUAAUGAUAAAUACUUAGUUCCGAUCCCGAGACAUGGCAGGUUAUUAAGCCAUGUUUGUUUAGAAUUAAGUCACUAUUUUGUUUGAGAACAAACAAUAGUUUAAGUUUGGAGGGGUUUGAUAAGUACGUUUUUAUGUACUUAUUUAAUUCACAAACAUGACUCAAUUACGAGCAAAGUAUUUGAAUUGUGGUUUCAUUUCAUUUUGAUUUGUGUAACGUAGGCUAUAUUGAUAGACAUGCUGGAAUCGACGAGAAAAGAUUCGAAAAAGGGCAAAAAAAAAAAAAAAGCAAAGUGAAAGUACCAAAGCGCACAUACCCAAAAGUUGAAUUAAAAGGCGAAUCGAGAAUGCAAACAAGCUACCAACUCGAGGAUAAUGUGGGAUGAUAAGAAGAAUAAAGACAAGAAAAAUGACAAGAACAAAUAAAAACGAAAGUCUAGGGAUGUAAUUAUCCAAAAGAUGAACCGAGGGAGUAAUUGAGGAUUCGAUCGAGCCAAGUACCAAUUGAAAGUUAAUAUUGGUCGAUGGAAUGAGAAGAAUGAAGAAACGAGGUCAAAAGGGAAGAAAAGAAAGUUUAAGGACCAAAAUGAACAACUUUGGAAAAAGUACUACUAUGCGACUACAAGUAAUAGUUCCAUGCACUCGCAUGCAUGGUGACCAAAGCUUAUUGGGCCAAAAAAUUUACUUCUAUGCGGUCGCAUAGUGUUAAAUCUGGGGCCAAAUCUGUAGUUUCCUGUUUUCGUUAAAACUCUUUUAGAAUUCGAUUUGAAAGCGAUAUAAAGACCUCGACUCGUCAUAUUUCAGGGGAGAACACAUUAGGAGGUAACAAGACACAUCUUGGAGAAGAUUUUGAGCAAAAGUAAUGAAGGUUUUCACAAAGAUCAUCGAGAUUUCACGCGAAUUCAUAACCGGGUGAUGUUUUAUCUUCAAGAAAUCACGUAUUCUGUUAUUUUCUUCAUGGCUAAAUAUUUUUGUACUAGGAGAUUGAUAAACUAUGUGAUGUGAUCUUUGAAUUCUUAGUUUUACAAUUCGACAUUAAAACAUGCAUUUGAUUAUUUGAAUGAUUUAUAUACAUUAAUUUCCUCCAUAAUUAAGUGUAGGUAAUUAUGUGAUGUGUGGUGAUUUAUUUCUUGCAUUCGAGAGAAGAGAAAUAAAUUUGACAAGGUAUAAAUCUUCGCAGGGUCCAAUAAGGGAUAGAGAUAUAACCCUAUACUUUGCGUGAAUUUUUAAGUGCUUAUAAAAUCACAUGCAUUCUUGUAUAUAUGCAUCCGUCAUAGAAAUAUAGGCCAGUGAUAUAUGAGAAUAGGUUCAAUACCGCCUGAAAUAGAGUGUUGGAUAGAUUUAGGAGUAUUGAUUCUUUAAUAAUUUAAUUGUGUUGUCAUAUUAUGAAACUAGGGUUUAAGGUGAUCAUGACAUGAGAAUUCGUGAUUCUAGUGUGUUUAAUUCUUAUUGAAUAAAAUCAACUUGCGUUCCAACCAUCAUAUUGCAUUCCAAUUCAUUUAAAUACAUCGUUUUGCAUUUUUAAUUUAUUCAACUAUCACUUUUGCGAAAUUAGGUUUUUCUGUAAUUAGGGUUUUUCUAAAUUAGGGAUUCUUAGGUUAAAAAUUCACUUUGAAUAAAUUGGUUUCGGUUAAGGCUAUGUUAGAUAAAAUUGAACUAGUCAAUCUCUAUGGGAUGACAUUCGGACUCAAUUGAACCACUUUAUUAUUUAUUAACGAACUGUACACUUGCGGUGUUUUAAAUCGAAAGAAUAAUUUCGUGAACAAUGACUCUUGACGUUACUUUUUUGGGCAUAAAAUGGCAACCUCAUACUUCAUUUUCAGAGCAUUAUAUUAAUUUUCGACCAAAAAAAUGAAAAAGGAAAGAAAUUGUUGUCAUCCUAUUAUCAAGGAAAAUGAGAAAAUGUAGUGGGUUACCAAUUUGCUGUAAAAAUAAAUAUUAUAUAAAUUUCAUUAGAAUAAUAUAAUUAUUUUUUUAAUAUUCACGUGUCAAUAAAUUUGUAUCAUUUCACGUCUGUUAUCUGCAGUAAAUUUGAAGAUUCAGUUUAGAAAAAUACAAUUACAAUUUUCAUAUCUCUUUGAACAAGUUAAAUAAGUAGGGGACGCCACUGCAAUUUAUCUUGUUAACAAUCAAAGAAGAAAUUUGUAUAUAAACUUAUCUCUUUUGAGACAUAACAGUCGAAUAAAAAUUGUCAUGUAACCCAAAUCGAUUUGUAAAAUCGAUCAACUCAAAAGAUCUAGGAUAUAUUUCUAUUGCCAACAAGCUUUUAUAGCAAAGAAAGAAGAAUUUUAAUCAUAUGUAUGAAUAUUCGUAUAUCAAUGGACUGAAAAUGAUAUAGUAUUAAGACAAGUAUGAAGUGUGUGCAUAAAGAAUGUAAUUUGAAAAUUGUUGUUGGUAUUACGGUUUUUCCAAAAAUACAAAAUUUACGAAGAAAUAAUCUCGAAUUAUAUAUUAAAGUUUUUUUAAUCUGCAUUUUAUAUUCGUAUUGGGUAAAAUAAAGCAUAGAUAUCUUGUUUUCUAAAAUAAUAAUUAUGUUUGAAUUACCAAAUAUAUCACAAUCAACAAACGAGCCUCACUUAAAUAAUUUUGUCAAAUUUGACUACUUGAAACUCUAAAACCAUCCCAAACAGUACUUGAAAAUUCCAAAAUUCUCCACUCAUGUCUUAUUAAUGCCUAGAUAAGAUACUUUUGUACAAUAAUUAUGUGUGUAUUUAUUUACCAAAGUAAAAAAAUAUUCAUAAUAUGAUCUUGAUUUAUACACGAGAUUGUGUUUAACUCUAGAACUAUCACAAUCGACAAACAAGUCACACUUAUUCUUUGAAUCAUUUGACUAUUUGCAAUUCUAAAACCAUUCCAAACACUUGAGAAUCUCAAUAAUGUCUUAUAAAUCAAUGCAAUGUAAACCAUCAAACAUUUAAUCUUCUAUAAAUUAGUGUGAUUGUAUAUUAUUUCAACUUUGUUUUACGAAACAUAUAAAUUUUUCUUGCUAGUUCCUUGUCGAGAAAGGUACAAGCUAAGGACACGUUGGUACAACCGCAAAAGAAAGACGUAUAAACCCUUUUUUCGUGUAAAUAAUAUGAUAAAAGAGAUAAAGAACCAUCAAUUAGAAGGGAUAAACUAUUUUAUAAUAUUAUUUAUAUAAAUUGAAUAAAUGAAAGCCAACUGUAGGGUGCACGUAUAGGACAACUGCGUCAAGGUCCUCCGCUUAUUUUAUACAUUUGUUUAUAUAUAGUUUUGUGAUGUAAAAUGUUUUCUUUUUGUUAGUACAUUGUUGAGACACUUUCAAAAAUACAGUGCCACGACCACAAACGAACAGACAUAAAUUAUUUCAUUAGUUGGCUUCAUAGGAAAUAAAUAGAAUUUUCUAUUCGUACCUCGACUGAAAAAUGUCACGAUUCAAACCAUUUUUCUAUUUAUUUUAUAAUUAAUGGUGUAAAAUAUCAUGGUUUUCAAAAAUUAUUUAAUAAGGUCUAUGUAUAAAAAGACACAACAAUAAAUUAAGAAACACUUUAUUAUUAUUUUUAAUAGCUCAUGAACUUCCAAAAUGUCACAUGUCAUAUUAGUUAACUAGGAACGAUACUUUUGAAUAUUUUAAGCUAUCAUGCGUGCCGACUAUAUAUAUAUAUAUGGAUCGAAAAUUAUUGUCAGGAAAUAAUCUCAUCUCAAUAAACUUUCGUUCCAAAACUUAACUAAUAAAACAUAUUCCUUAUAUACAUGACUUUUAGAAAAUAAUAAUCUUCACUAGUAGAUAAAUUCAUAAAUCGAAGCAUUCUGUUUAUCAUCUUAGCACUCGCCUCAACUCUCUAAUGGCUCCUGAAAUGUUGUGAAUCACAAUAUGAUCAAAAACUUGUCCAAUGAGCAGAACAUUUGUCAAUUUAAAAUGUUAAAACUUAUAAAAGAGUGUUAAACAUUUAAAUUAAUUGGAACGAAAUCUACAAUUGAUUUCCCAAAACACACGUUUAACAAAAUUCAAAGCACCUAAAACUGGGGUUUGUAAUCUACCAUUAACUAGUUAUGGUGAGUGAAGGAUGCCACCGUUUUUUCUGACAUUUCACUUUCAAAUUUGUGAUUUAUGCAUAAAAAAAAUUAAAAAAUAAUAAUAAUAAAAUACACACACAGGUUACAGCAUAAAGACAAAGAAAUGCAAGAAAUGAAAGGCUUGAAAUGUAACUCAAACAAUUGAUUUUAAAAUGCUUUUAAGUUCUUGCUGCCAACGUUUUUUUAGAACGUGGGGCUGAUUUUUCAUCUUCUUCAAAUUAUUCACAUUCCUUUUAUAUAUAUAUGCAAAAUACAAGUUUCACACGGAAAAAAUAAAAAAUAAUAAUAAUAAUAAAAUAAAUUAAUAAUAAAUUAAAAUAAAGAGUGCACACUUUGAUCAAGGAAAAAGACUUUCAAAAGAAAGAAAGGAGCAAAUUUCUUAAGCUUCGGGUACCGUAGGGAAACAACAUUCAUCAUCCAAUAUCCGUCCAAUUCAAAGUUUCAAAUUAAGGUAGGUAGAGGUGCAAGUGUUUAUUUCGUUUUCAAAUUAUGAUUUUUCGAUAAAAGUUUGAAUGAAUUGGUACCUUCGGGUACGAUGUUUCGGCACUACUAUAGUUUGAUUGAAAUGGUACCUUCGGCUACAGUAUUUCGAUACUGCUAUAGUUUGAAUGAUCAUCUUUAGCUCUACGUGUUAUGAUAAUGCUAUAGAAAAUCAAAUUUUGGUGAAAAUUCAUCUACAUGUGAUGGUAUGAAUCUACAGUUCAAAAUUUCUAAUUUUAAUAGCGAAAUGCACCUAUGAUAUCUAUUGAGUUUUAAACUUAUGGGUUAAUCCCUUUCCUAUAGAUUGAUUGAUUUUGCUUGGAAGCACGGAUGAUGGUAGAUAAAGAUGCAAUAUGCCAUGGAGAAGCUGGCGAUUUAACGUCUUUAAUUAUAUUAUGAAAAUGUUUACGUUUACUUUUAAAUAGAUUUCCAUGGACGUCGUAUGUGAACUAUUCUACGAACACUUCUUUAUGACUAAAUUAUGCUUUUCAAAAAGAUACAUGUUCUAGAAAUUAUCUUUCAAAUCAUAGUUUCCAAAAAAACAAAAAAAAAAACGUGUUAGCGAUUUAAAUGUUGUUGUUCCUUAAAAAUUUCAGCUUCUACAUUGACUUUAAAAAUUUGUAACUCGAUCAUUACUUAGAAUUUUUAGACACGAUCAGUGUCGCUUGAUAGUCUCAUAGGUUAGCUAUUGAAUAAACUUGAAAUCAUGUCAAUCCAAUGUCGGUAGAAUUUUAUAUGUCACUUAAAGUAAACUGCACUAGAUAGUGUUGCUAUUUUCCAGCUUUUGUCUUGACUUCAAAAAUUCAUAACUCAAUCAUUCUUGAAAUUUCCGAAUGAAACCAAUUGGUCUUGAUAUUCUCAUGGAUUCUCGUCUCUUUUCUUAUUUAAUAAAUGCUUUUGAAAUUAUGUUACUAUAUAAAAGUUGAUUUUUAAUGGAAAAUUCAUUAGUAGUUAUUAUAUAUAUAUGUGUGUGUGUGUGUGUGGUUCUGAAGGAAUUUUUUUAAUCUUAAAUUCUUAAAUUUAAUUAUUAUUUUAAAUAAAUUUUAAGUCUAAAGUUAAGGUACAAUUGUUUGAGUGAUGCUUCUGUCCGGUGGGUCGGGGCGUUACAGGAAUAUUUGAGGAAAUUUGACCUCAAGAGUGAUGAAAGAAUGUUCAUUGGGCAUUCAAAAAAUAGUCGGGCUUAUGGAGUGGAUAACAUGAGGACUCAAACUAUUGUUGAACCAUAAAUAUUAAAAUUAAUGAUACUGGUGAUUAUUCUUCUUGUUCACAAGAACCUAAGAUUCAGAAUUUGGAGAAACAGCUUGAAACUACUCAGAAUACUCAAGAAACUUGUGCUGCAAAUUUUGAAGACGGACCCACCCACCUCCUUAUUAGAAGUGACUCAUUCCACUCUACCCUAACUCAGUACAUCCCAGAAGUACAGAGAUGUACCGAGACCUUAAGGAAGUGUUUUGGUAGAAAGGCAUGGAGAGAAAUAUAGCUGAGUAUGUCGAAAAAUGUUUUGUAUGUCAACAAGUAAAAGCUGAACACCAACGACCAUCAUAAUUACUUGAACCGUCAGAAGUUCCGGAAUGGAAAUUGGAGCAUGUAACGAUAGACUUUGUGGUCGGUUUUCCAAAGCCAACAAUGUAUCAAUGAGGCUAUUUGGGUCAUUGUAGAUCGACUCACCAAAUCGGCUCAUUUUUUGCCGGUUCGGAUGACAUUCUCAAUGGAUCAAUUGGCAUAGUUGUAUGUGAGUUAGAUAGUAAUGUUGCAUGGUGUACCUGUUUCAAUUGUAUCAGAUAGAGAUCUAAGGUUCACAUCAAACUUCUGAAAAAGCCUGCACCGAGCUAUGGGAACUAAGCUAAAAUUUAGUACAACUUUUCACCCUUAGACAGAUGGCUAAUCUGAGUGAACGAUUCAAACACUAGAAGAUAUGCUUCGAACAUCUGUCCUCGAGUUUGGAGGACAUUGGCAGAAACAUUUACCCUUGAUCUAGUUCACAUAUAACAACAAUUAUCAUGCCUCUAUUGACAUGGCACCAUAUGAGGCAUGAUAUGGGAGGAAGUGUAUAUCACCAGUUCAUUAGAGUAAAGUUGGUGAGCGAAAGAUUUUGGACCAGAGAUCUUUGAACAAACAGUGCAGACUAUUGAGAAAAUUCAAGUUAGUAUGAAAAUUUUCUAGGAUAGAUAAAAGAGUUAUGUUGACAGAAGAAGAAAAUAAUUGAAAUUUUUGGCAGGUGACAGAGUAUUUCUCAAGGUAGCACCAAUGAAGGGAGUAUUACGUUUUGUUGUGAAAUGAAAGUUGCAAGAUUUCAAACGGACUAAUACCCAUACCUAUGACCUAAUUUUAUUAAUUUAGGUUUAACCCGUAAAAAACUAGAAAAAUAGAAAAGAUUAAUAUUUUAGCCUGACAAUCACGUGGGAGCCCAUUAUGUGAAAUUAUAACCCACAUCUUUUUGUUUUAUUUUCCCUUUUGGGCUUAAACUUAAGUUGUUGAUUUUUUUAAUUUUAAUUAAAUAAUGGAGAUAAUAUUUUAAUUUUAUCUCUUUUAAUUAUAUUGGAAUUUUAAAUGAUUGAGAUAAAAUCAAAUUCCUAUUAAGAUAAUAUUUUGAUUUUAUCUCUACUCUAUUUAAUUUUAGAAAUUAUGGAGAUAAUAUUUUUAUUAUUAUUUUAAAUUCAUAAUCUUAUUACAUUAGCUGAAAUAUGAUUGAGAUAAUGACAAGAUUUUAUCACUUCUAAAAUUCAAAGUUCAUUUGAAUUAGAACUUACAAAGCAUGGUGGCCCCUAUAAAUAGGAAUCAUAUGUUCUAUUUUCAAGUAUAUUCAUUUCUCCGUGAAAUACACGGAUACAAAUAUAGUAUAUUCUUUAGUACGUGGGUCAACAGUUGAAGUCCCCAAUAUAUUCCAAUAUUUCUCUUAUCAUUUUCAUAAGAUAUGGUAAGUGUAUAAAUAAUUUUUUUUUAAUAGAAUUACAUGCGUACGUUAGAUUUUUGGAACAUUGAUUAUGUGGUCCUUUAUGUAUGUUCUAAGUUUGAACUGGAAUAUGACAGUACUACGCCUUAAAGUUUUAUAACACCUAUGUUCGGUAUAGAUUUUCAUGUCUCACUACGUACGUAUGUAUGUAUGUAUGAAGUUCCUUAAAUUCUGUAUAAAUAUUAAUUCAUGUACUAUAUGCUUAUUGAUAUUUAGUCUCACACUCCUUUUAUCUUUUUUUUAGGAAAUUGAUGGUUCGUGGAAAUUAAGGCAUGAGAGGGCUGACAAAUUGGCAAGCGAAAGAAACCCACCAGGAUUAUUUGUUUUUGUUACACCUAUAAAUUACCACUUUAUAUUGGGCCAUCUUAUUGGACUCGGACGAGGCCCAUCAGAAUUAGGCCUCAAAGCCGAGGCUCUGACGAGGCUAGCCGAGACUCCAUCGGGGCCCUAAGGAGUUCAACUGAGGCACUCGCCGAAGUGCCUAUUAUUAUGUUCAUAUGAUCACCUUCUUAUUGGGCUUGGACUACGACCAACAAACCUGUUUGGCCUAUUCACUUCCAUUUCUCGAUAUAUAUAUGGAUUCACCCACACAACUAAGGUAUGUUCUAUACUCUCUAGCCAAACCCCUAUCUCCAUACUAUUGCACUCUAUAUGUCUAUUUCUGUCCAGCCGUUGACUUGACCGUCGAAGUGCAAAACGUCAUCAGACCUUUUUCUCGUCCGACCGCCUUUGCCUCUUGACGGGGUGCUACUUGCGCAGGUUUCGAGGGGACGGCGCUAGUGAACCUAUUGGAGCCAUUUUUUGGAGGUCAACAGAUUGGCGCUAUAUGUGGGAACCGGUACAUUAACGCAUUAUACCAUGUACAAAAACAUCGUUGGAAAUUGAAAAAUUUUCGAGGGGCAGUGUUCUACCAAAAGAGAACUAAGGCAGCAGAAGAUGAUUUUUCUACCAAAAAUUCAAGGAAUCCAGCCACCAAAGAAUGAAGUAAAAAUGCCACAACAAGAUGUCCUGAAAAAGGAUAUUUUUUUUGCAUGAAAAAUGAGAAAAAUCAGCACAAAUAUAGAAGAAAAAUGUCACUGGAAAUAGAAAUUUUCCAAGGAGAUCAACCAUGAAAAUGGUCAAUAUGAGUUGAAAAUAUUUUGGUAACUUGGGCAACCUACAAAUUGGUUUCAAUGAUUUGUCCAAAGUGUAGAGCAAAGGAACCACCAGAAACGAAGAUGUGUUGGGUCACCUAAGGGACAAAUUUUCAACUAAAUUGGGGGGAAUCAGAUUGAAACAAGGAAACAUAUGGUAGAGACUAAAAAAUUGUCAAAACCAAAAAUGGAAAUUCAUCCCCAAAGUUCCUUCGCAUAUUCUGCCUUUACCAACCAAGGAAAGAUAGUGGAAGAUUUAAAAGCAUACAAUAAGAAACUCCCAAAGAUUCUCUAUAGUGGAGUCCAAUCCUCUUGCCACUUUCUCAACACAGUUUCAAAUAACCAAAUGAGUUCAUUGUCUCCAAUACAAAUAUGAAAUACCCAUUUGUGUAAGGCUUUCAACAAAUGCCGUCAGUAGAGCUUUGGCCGAAAUUAAGCUGUUAAGGUAGUCACGGUGCUUGUAGCUCCUCCAACCAAUUGUGGUACAAAGCAUUAAUUUUUUGAUGGGGGACAAGAGAGGUUGCGUAUGUUGACAGUUUCUUGGGCUGUCCAUUUCUAUCUUUUGUAGACGGAUUUCCUAGCAUAGAUAAGUAGACUUUUGCAGGCAAAAUUUUCUCCAGAUUGUGGCUACUUUACGUGCUAUUUGCUACCUUCUUUUUUUUUUUUUUUUUUUUUUUUUUUUUUUUUUUAAGUAUUUAUCAAAUUAAUUGGUCACAGAUUUAUUCACUGGCCACAUAUAUUUUUUUUUAUAGAUUACAAAUUAUUUCGAGGCCACAUAUCAAAAAUUUUAGAGGUCACGAAUUUUUUUAAGUAACGGAUUAUCAAAUUUUAAGGUCACAGACCAAAUCGUUAAGGUCACAGAUUAAUUUUUUUAGUCACAGAUUGUCAAAUUUUAAGGUCACAUGCCAAAUCGUUGAUCACAUAUACCAAAUACUCCACUGCCGAACCAAAUCCAUCACCAAUGCUUGGUCACAGAGCAACCAAAUGAUCACCACCACAACACCGCAUUACCAGACCCUAUUACGAUCCCAUUCCCACCACAACACCGCAUUACCAGACCCUAUUACGAUCCCAUUCCACCACAAUAUUUGGUCACAAACACUACCCCCCCUCCCCCGUCACAACAACACCACAACCACCACCACCACAUGAAAACUACCACCGCACCAAGCCAAGCCGGCCACCAGGCGCUACCUAUUCCUCUUCAACAUACCAACAAUACUACCUCACAAACAUCACAUUGCCACUGAAGAACAUAUCACCCGCUACUGCAGAACAACACAAUACUGUUGCAGCUAUCGUAAACAUCGUGGCUGGUGAACUGAGAGUUACCACUCACACCACGAAAAAACACCGACCACUAUAGCCACCGCCUGCACCAUACCAUACCGCCAGCUAGAUCCACACCAUACCCACAACACCAUACCAUCGCGACACUGCCAUUCGCAGCAACGUCGACCAGCAAAAAUUGAGCAGAGAAGAAGUGCUCUUGCAAUUCCAUCGUCGUCGUAGUGAGCAGAGAAGAAUUGGCUCUCAAACCCCAGGCAAAUGCCAUGAAUCACCGGUGAAAUUUCCAAUCGCCGUAAGACUCAGCCGCUGCACUUCGGCCUGAGUGAGCAGUAGGCGAUGGUAUGGUGUGGUCUCCGGCAAUGAUCGUCGAUGUGAGUUCGACGAUGGUCUUCGACAGUGGGCUUGGUCUCCAGCAAUGGACGGCGGCAUAGGAGAUGUGGGUUAACUAGAGAGAGUGAGGAGAGAAGAUACCCUAAAAUUGAAUUUUAGGGAUGAAUUGGGGAUGAAAUAUUUAGUAUUAAUAUUAUUAUUUAAAUUAAUAUCUGAAUUCUGAAUAAAAAACCUUCCUACCUGAUUUUUGCAUUGGGAUCUUUAAAAGCCUGGACUUUUGUAAUUUCCACAAAUAAAAAUUGUUUGAAGGCUUUUUAUUGAGGUCCACAUAUGGGUAUGUAUUAUUAGGUCAUAUAAUUUAAUUUCCUUGGGCCUCAUAGCCUCUUCUUGUCUAAAAUGGUUGGAACCAAUUGGUUACCUCAAUUUUCUUGUACCAUCUUAUGUCUGGGGCUGCUACUAGGGCUGGACAAAACUUCCGAAUCGAACCGAGAUGAACUGAACCCGACGGUUCUUCUCAAGUUAAAUACCCAAACGAGUAUUUGAAUCAAGAACCAACGGGUAUGGUUCAGUUCUCGGUUCUAGGCCAAAACCCGAAAAAUCGAAUAAGAAUCGAAACUCCGUAAUUUUUUAAUUAAUUUAUUUUAAAUAAGUAAAAUUAUUUUAUUUUUCUAAAUAAAUUUGUUAACUAGUUAAUUUAGUUCAAACUACAAAAUAUGAUUUUCCUAUUUCUAAUUUUCAAUUCAAAAUCAACUUAAUCAAAUUGGCCUCAAUUUUAUCCAAAUCUGUUAUUUUACUGUAGUGUCGUUUCUACCGGAGAAAAUCGAGUUAAAACUCUACAACAUCUUUCUUAAUUAUUUUGAGCUCACUAUUUUUCUCUUUUUCUGAUUUUAGUAAUCAAUUUAUGAAGAAUUCAGCAAAGAGAGACACGAAAUACAUAAGAUUGAACUACGUUAUUUUGUAAGAGCUAAUAUUGAACAUACCAUUAAUUAAAUUAACGUAACUUUGUAUAUAUUAAAAAAUUUAAUUAUAAUACGGAACCGAAUGAAACCAAAUCGGAUCGAAUCGAAGAGAACCAAACCCGAACGGUUCCACUUACUGAAUAUCCGAAAAUUUCGGGUUGGUUCGGUUCUCAUUAGAACCGAACCAGACCAUGUCCAGCCCUAACUGCUACCAUAUGUUUUCUCACAAGUUUAUGAACUUGGUUGAAAGUGGGUUGUGACGUUAUAAGCCUUUAUCAAAUGUCAUUGCUUCCAUUUAUAAGCUUCUUGGUGGGAUUAUUAUUAUCAUAUUUUUCAUUGGGCAUGCUGGACUUUUUCCCAUUUCUACACUCAUAAAGUGUAAUUGGGCUUACUAAUUUAUGUUCGCCGAUCCAUUCCUGCUUGUAAAAGUUAUUGGUUCUUUGGUUUUUUAAUGUGCCAGCAAUUCUUCUUCUUCUUGGGCAUGUUAUAUUUAAGAGUGGUAAUUCUGUGGCCCACUUUGUUGUGCUCAAUCUUAUGGCAACCAAAAUGGAAGGCGGAAAGAACUAAUGGCAUGGUAAGAUUUUGUGAAUGCUCUAUCACAACGCUUUGCAACGAAAUAAAUUGAUAUCUUCAAUCCAAGGCCGAAUUGGCCAUAGAUUUUAUAUGAUGUGGUACUGUGCUGCGGCAAUUUGCAAAGCCCCAUUGAUCAUGCUAAUUGCUCAAGGCGAGCCCAAAAUUAUGGAUUUCUUAUUAUCCCGUGCGGUAUUUUAUAAGUCCUGCUCCUUGAAUAAAGGAAGAGGCGAUAUCUAUUAGGAUCCUUGUUCCUUGAUAAAGGAAGAGGCAAAUCGUUAGACGUGUUUGCCCUUACAAAUGGAGUCUUCCUUGGCCUUACUUGCGGGAUGUUUAUUUCUCACCUUGCCAGAUGCUUAUCCUUGACUUCGCGGGAUGUCUAUUCCCUGCCUCCCAGAUGCUUAACUUUGGCUUCGCGAGAUGUCUAUUCCUUAUCCAUCACUAUCGUCGAGCCUAGCUCUAAGUCCUCGUUUAUCCAAGGCCAGCUUAUAAGACUCCGAUAGUUUGAGAGUUAUUUGCGGGAUGCCUAUUCCCCACCUCGCCAGAUGCUUAUCUCUGGCUUCACAAGAUGUCUAUUCCUCGCCCCUCAUUAUCAUCAAGCCUAGCUCUAAAUCCUCGUUUAUCCGAGGCCAGCUUAUAAGACUACGAUAGUUCGAGAGUUAUAUAUGGGAUGCCUGUUCUCGGCCUCGCUAGAUGCUUAUCCCUGGCUUCAUGAGAUGCUCAUUCCUCACGUCUUACUAUUAUUGAGCUGAGCAGUAAGACCUUGUUUAUCCGAGACUUUCUUAUAAGACUUCGAUCGUUCGACAGUUCGUUAGAUGUUUAUUCAUGGCUUCGCGAGAUGACUUUUUCUCACCCCACUAUCGUUGAGCUUAGCUCUAAGUUCAAGGCCAGCUUAUAAGAUUUUGAUAGUUCGAUAGUUAGUCGGAUGUCUAUUCCUGGCUUCGCGAGAUGUUUAUUCCUCAUCUCACUAUCGUCGAGCUUAGCUCUAAGUCCUCUUCUAUUCGAGGCCAACUUGUAAGACUCUGAUAGUUCGCUAGAUGUUUAUCCUUGACUUCGCGAGAUAUCUAUUCCUCACUCACUAUCCUUGAGCUUAGCUCUAAGUCCUUGUCUAUCCGAGGAUAGCUUAUAAGACUUCAAUAAUUCGACAGUUCGCCAGAUGUUUAUUCCUAGUUUUGGGAUGCUUUUUCCUCACUCCUCACUAUCGUUGAGCUUAACUUUAAGCCCUCGUCUACCCGAGGUCAGCUUAUAAAACUCUGAUAGUUCGACACUUCGCUGGAUGUUUAUCCCUGACUUCGCGAGAUAUCUUUUCCUCGCUUCGCUAUCGUCGACCUUAGCUUUUAAGCCCUCAUCUACCUGAGGCCAGCUUAUAAAACUCCGAUAGUUCGACACUUCGUCAAAUGUUUAUCCUUGGCUUUGCGAGAUGUGUUCUCCUCGCUUCACUAUCGUCAAGCAGAGUUCUAAGUCCUCUACAUUCCAAGGCUGGUUAUGGCUUCGAUAGUUCGAGUUACUCGCGGGACAUCUAUCCACUGCCUCACUAGAUGUCCUUAGCUUUACAAAGUUUAGACGCACCUGACCUGGAGUCCUCUGUGGGUCAUCGCUUCGACCGUUGCGUUCUCUCCUAAGCUUUACAAAGCUUUAGCCAUCUCCCAACGCGUCGUCCCCUGUGGGUCAGCGCACUGGUGGCAGAUGAGCUCCUCACUCAGCUUUAAAAAGUUUAGACGCACCUGGCAAAAGUUUCUAUGGGUCAUCGUCUCGAUUGCUACAUUUCGUCCUAAACUUUACAACGCUUUAGCCUAUCUCCCAACGCGUCGUCCCCUGUGGGUCAGCGCAUCGGUGGCAGAUGAGCUCCUCACUCAGCUUUACAAAGUUUAGACGCACCUGACGUAAAUCCCCUCUAGGUCAUCGCCUCGGUGGCUGCAUUCCCUCCUAAGCUUUACAAAGCUUAGUGGUCUCCCAACGCGUUGUCCCCUGUGGGUCAGAUCACCGAUGGCAGAUGAACUCCUUCUUCAAGCAGCAUCGAAGCUUUGACACCUCAGUCAAAGAUAUAUCCCAACUUUCAGCUUCACAAGCUUCAGCAUCUCCCCCGCGCGUCGUCCUAUGAGUCAGCACUUCGAUAGAGAUAGUUGAACCUACAACCGCAGCAGCAACCAUACACUCAGCUGAUCUUAAAAAGUCAACGACUGAUAUACAUCGAUAUGCUUCAGUAUCGGUACAGCUACUUAUAUUCAGUUUAGAGCAUCGCCUCUGCUACUUCAUCCAGAGCACAGCUUCUGCUACUGUGUCCAGAGCAUCGUCUCUGCUACUACAUCCAGAACAUCUCCUUUGCUACUACAAUCAGAGCAUUACCUCUGCAUCCAACGCAUCGCCCCUGUCACCUAUGCUACUUACAUUCAGAGCAUCGUCUCUACAUCAACUUUAUCACAGUAGCUUAUAUUUCAAGUCUGACCCGCAUAUAAAUAAUACGACUCAGACUUGGGAGAUUGCAUAUUACUGCUAGCAUACGCAUCACAUUACUGCUUUCAAACACGAAUGCGAUAUCACUGCUAGCAUAUGAUCCAUUAUUUUCAUCAAUGUCAGUACGUAUGUCGUGUUAUCAUCAUUUUUACUUUAUUGUCAACAUCAUGUUACUUGCUUCAUAUAGCACUAUUGAUACACUGAUUUGUGUGAGCACAUGAUUUACUAUAAUGCAUGACAGACCCUCUGCACGUAUCUUGGAGAAAUGUGAUAUGUCACACCUUAUAGUUUUGAGCAUUUGAAGGGGAAAAUAGACCCCAAAUUUAUUUGGUAUAUGUGCUGUGGAUAUAUUUUAUUGUAUUACAGGAUUGGUUUAGUCCAUAUUAAAGAGGAGAUGCUGCCGAAAUUUCGAAACAAUAUAUACAGUAUAUCUUUCGAGGCAAUUCGUAAGUCCUCACUUAUUCUAACUCACACACAUUUUCUGAGGCAGUUCGUAAGUCCUUACUUAUUGGAGCAACUCAUAUUUCUCGAGGCAAUACGUAAGUCCUCGGCUGUUUGAGAUUGAUACAUAUUUUCGAGGCAGUUCGUAAGUCCUCGCUUAUUGGAGCUACCCAUCUUUCUGAGGCAAUCUGUAAGACCUCGCGCUACUUGACAGUUUAUAUUUCAAGUCCAACCCACAGAUAAAUAAUACGACUCGGAUUUGGGGGACUACUGUUACGCCUAUAAAUUACCACUUCAUAUUGGGCCAUCUUAUUGGACUCAGACGAGGCUCAUUAGAAUUGGGCCCCAAAGUCGAGGCUCUGAAGAGGCCAGUCGAGGCUUCACUGAGGCCCUAAGGAGUUCAACCGAGGCACUUGUCGAAGUGCCUAUUAUUAUGUUCAUAUGAUCACCCCUUUAUUGGGCUUGGACUUUGGCCCACGAACCCGUUUGCCCCAUUCACUUCCAUUUCUCUAUAUAUAUGGAUUCACUCACACAACUAAGGUAUGUCCUACACCCUCUAGCCAAACCCCCCAUCUCCAUACUAUUGCACUCUAUAUAUCUAUCUCUGUCCGGCCUUGACUUGACCGUCAGAGUGCAAACAGUUGUCGGACCUUUUUCUCGUCCGAUCGCCUUUGCCUCUUGACCGGGUGCUAUUUGCACAGGUUUCGAGGGGAUGAGGCUAGGGAACCUAUUGGAGCCAUUUUUGGAGGUCAACAGUUUUUUAAUUUAAGAAUUUAUUUAAUUAUUGGUUUGAUAUUAAGAUUGCUAAACUUCUAGUAUUUUAUUUUAUGUUGACGUCAAAAUUUUAUGUAUUCACUCUUACAAUUUCAUAAUAUAAGCUUUUGAAAGUGCAAUAUGAUAUUCAAGAUAUGAUUUUAGUGGCAUUCGAACUUUAGAACUCGGGUCAUCACACGUCCCCACGAGUUUCCAAACACAUACUUCCUAAUGACAAUUCAGGGAGGCUUUCUGGAGGGACAACUUAGGAUGGUGAAGAACCAAGUUGGUCAGAUUUUCUUGAAAACUCAAAAGUUUUCAGAUGAUUUCAAAGUUACACGCAGGAUAUUAGAGAAAAUUACUUACCUUGGUGAUGGAAGGAUUAAGACUACAUGGGAGAGGAGCACUCUAGGAUUACCAGAGUAUUAGCAUGAGAAACCUGUAGCAACAAGUGUUGCACCAGUUACCACUGCCAGUCAAAAUCGUUUGGCACCAGAAGUGUAUGGUCCUGACCUACCUCCUCCAGGCCAUACCGUAGAUGUUCAUACUCAGCAGCUGUGGCAUUCCGCAAGCCCGGUGGUGAUAUCAAAUCACCUGGUGCUAAGAAAUCUAAAAAGCAAUGAUGCUUUAGUUUUAUCCUCCUAUACUCUCACCACAUGAUCUAACUAUUUGAUGGAUAUGUAUAAGUUAAUAUUGCCCCUAAAUAUUUGAUUCACACACACUUGGAUAACUUUUUAAUUUGAUACACUUGUGGUUUGGUUGGUAUAUUCCUUCUCCAUACCUUAAUAACAAGCCUUUUAAUUUCAAAAAAUUGGGAGUAGGUAAUUGGUGAUGGUUGAAAAACAUGAACAUCUAUGACGUAUAUAGGCUGCUUGAAUGGUUUUAAAUUGGAUGAACUUUCCAAUUUGCAGUAGUAUUGCUCUAUGUCAUUGUUGCCUGAUUGCAUAUCUGCUAGUUUUAGAUUUCCGACAUGCUAUGUGGGACAUUGGUUUGAUUCAUGAUUUUCAGGUUGUGUAAGUUAGGGAGAAUUGUGUGUGCUAUGUGAGAACUAACUGAGGAGGUGUAGUUCAUGUGCACAAUUUGGUCAACACUUAACACACUCACAAACACAAGUAGUUUUUGAAAUUAAGCCAAGCCAUAUAUAUAUAUAUAUGUCAAGGACAUGUGCCAAAAAUGGGAUUAAUAGGAUGUAGUCCAUGGAAGGUUGUCGGUUUUAACUGAUUGGAUGGUAUAGGUUUCAACAGAAUUAUGUGACAGCGGAUUCAUAGUUUCAAUACCAAAACAGGACUAAAUCUUUAGUUUUCGUGCUACAGCUAUCGCAGAUUUAUUUACCCAUCAUCCUAAAUAUUAUACGAUAAGCUAAAUAAUAAAAGUUAAUGAAAUACUGAUUUAAAUAUAAAACUUUCCUUAAGUUUCUUUUUUGCCUUAUCAAAUAUAUAUUGAUUAAAUUUACAGCUUUGAGAAAACGUAUUCUGAUACCAUGCAGCGAAACUUUUUGCUAGCGUCCAAUGAGUUCAUAAGGUAGCAUGUAUUAUUAAAUAAUCUAAUAGAAAAAUCGUGUUCUUCAACUGUACUUGAAGAAAAGACACCAACAUAUGAAUGAUCGAUCCAGUUCAAAGAUCAAACUGCUUGGUGUGAAUUAAGAAUUGAGAUUCUUAAUCCAAGUGGUGGUUGUAGCCAAGUACAACACUGAAAUGAUGAUAAAGUCAAGAUCGAGAAGUUUGAUUCCUCUUCUAUAAUAAGUCAAAAGAAGAAGAAAAUGAGGAAUUUGUUCUAGAUUUCUUUUGAUUUUUAUUUGUUAAUUUUGUGAAAUUACAAAAUUGAGACUAUUGUAUUUUUUAUUGUUUGAUUUAGUGGAUUGUUUUACUCGUGACAUGGGGUCUGUGAAUGUUUUUCUAUGGAGUUUAUCUCGUUACAUCUGGCUUUCAUGUUUUAAUAUGCUAGUUAAUUUUCGUCAUUGAUUAUAACCACUUAGGACACUAGAUUCUGUUUACACGCUGCGAUCAUAGUUGCUUAGAAACUGGUAAUAGGAAAUUCUAACUGCGUAGCGCGUACUGUUUUAAAUUGGAUAAUUAAAACAAGUUUUUAAAUUUACUAGGUUUUAGCAUUUACACACAUCAUACACGUUCAUAUGUUUUCAAGUACAUGUUCACUCAUAAAUGUGUGAAGCAUAUAAACAUAAUCUAUUCUUUCUCAUAAAAUCAUUAAUCAUAUACAUUAAAUAAACGUACUCAACUCACCUAUAACAUCCAAUAUCCGCCUCAACUUAUUGAGGUUGAUCCUUUCUUUGAUCUAUAGUACACAAUGGAUUGCUCAAUGUUUAAAGAAUAUGUGCACAGUGCUGACAUUUGUAAGACAAGGCCUCGUACUUUUUGUGCAAAAUAUUGAUACACAUUCGGAUGCAGUUAAUAGAAAGUUUGACACUCGUUCGCAAGUGUGUACACUUAGCAAUAGAAAGCUAUUUUUUAGGAAAACGAUUUACAAGUGUCGACCCUUGAAAGUGUCAAAAAGAUGAGAUUCACAAAUAUUUAAUGGAUACAAUUGAAGACAUUGUUGAGCAAAAUUUAACAUAUUGAAUUGGUGGAAGAUCAAUAUUCCAAAUUUGCGAGGAAUGUACUUUUCAUUUCUAUAUCUACAGUUGCUUCUAAGUUAGCAUUAAAACUAGAGGAUGCAUUCCUAAUUCGUUUAGGUGUCCUUUAACUUCUAAAACAGUUGAGGCUUUAGUUUCUACUCAAAACAAGUUACGAGAAGAAUUUAGACUUUUGAAAGUACCAAAAAUCAAAAUUUGCAUUGAAGAAAUGAAGUUCUAUGAUGAUAUUAAGAUGGUUAAUAAAAAAUCAACUAAAUAUUUUCAAAUCACGUCUUAUUAAUUGUAAAAGCUUUAGUUGAUUUGUGUUUGUUUUAACUAUGCCUUUUUUUAUUAUGUUUUGUAGAGUUUCUCUACAGUCCAAUCAAUCGAAGAUUAAAUAGUUGGUAUAUACUAAGUAAUACCAUAAAAAUAUCUUAUUUCUAUUACUUUCAACUUUAUGUAUUACAUUUCAUUUUUUUCAUUUAGUUCUGAAGGCUUCAUUUACAGGAAUCGAUCGGAUGGAUCAUGAAGAUGGAACUUGAUAUUAGUAAUUUUUAUCAUUAGUUUGCUGAUAAGCAAGCUCUUAUUCGGACUUCUAUGCUUGUUUAUUUGUAUGCAACUUGAUUGAAUAUUUACUUAGUUUGUGUAAAUUAUGUUAAUUAUAGGAAAUUUCUAACCUGGAUACAAUUUAUAUAAAAGAGACCUUUUGGAGUUUAAUUGGAAUUGAUUUGAAGCAAUUGAAAAUUAACCAGAUUGGAAGAGAUCAAUUGGAAGUAUUAAUGGAGUAUUCGAUUAACAUUCAUAAGUUUCGGGAGUUAAAUUUGACAAUUGAAAAUUUUAAAGACCAAAUUGCAAACUUUUGGUACUUGACUCAUGUCAACCAUAAUAAUUUUAGAAUGAAGACGGUUUAAUUACAAAUAUUGGAAGAUGAAGGACUAAAAUCUCAUUAUAGAAGGAGUUCAAUUGGAAAAGGGAUUUGUUUCCCCUUUUUAUCUUUUUUUUUUUUUUUCAAACUCUUUGAUGGAAAACAAAUUGAAGAAGGAUUUUACCUAAAUCUUGUUCUAUAAAUAUAUACCUUAGUCACACAAUUAGAGGAGGCUUGUAAAGUUUCAUUAUACACAUGUUAAGACCGAGGCUUGUGGGGGAUUCAAUAUACAUAUAUUAUAUAAGCCUAGAAGGAAGAAAAAAAAAUCAAGAAAUCAAUCAAGGAGUUCAGGUUUCAAGAUUUUACAAGAAGGAAUAUUGGUUCAUGAUCUUCAUUUUUCCUCUCUUUUUUUUAUUUUUUUUUCUCUUUAAACCCAAUGAUAUACUUUAAUUCUUUCAAGUUUUAUUCUUCUCCAUGAUGUGUAAUUAAGUAUUUAGCUAUGAUGAAUGAUUAUAACCUAGAUUUGAACCUUCAUUUUAAUUAAAAAAAUUUAAAUCUUCAAUUAAUUUUUUAAAUCGUUUUACCUUCCAAUCUUAAUAUUUGAAUUAAUUGGUCACUAUUGCAUUGAUAUUGCGAGCGUAAUUACGUUGAGAGGCAGAUUAUUUAUUUAGACCACAUAGUUAAAGUUGGGAUCCAGUAUCAAAGACAAACAUACAUUUUUUCCAGUCUUUGUGAUUAGUGUCUAAAAGUGCUUUAAAAAUAUAUCAUUUACAAGGUAUUUUACAUUCAUUUUUUGUAUAAGUUUACUAAUGUUAGUCUCUAUUUCAAUUCUUUUGCCAUAAAUUCAAUUUCUGUAAAUACAUGGUUAAAAGUGCAAUUAAUCGAAAUACGCAUUUACAUACAUGUCGGCAUGAGUAUUAUACUUUUGAAAGAGUAUUUAUUUGAUGUAUUUCCAAUGUAGAACAAGUGGAGCAAAAAAUGUUGAAAAGUCAAGAAUGAUGAGUUGUCUCCAACAAAGAUACAACUAUCUCGGUAAAAUUGUCAUAACUCGAGCUGUAGUUAUCUAAAUAAGGUGAUUCAAGUUGGGUUAAAAAAAAAAGAUAUGUAUCUACAACUUUCAUGUUUUACAAGAAGUCAAAUUCGCAUCAUAAAGAAGCUAAAAUUACCAUGCAAAAAUCCAAGUUGUUACCUGUCGGAUACAGUUUUUCUAUCUGUGAGCAGCACUCAUUGUUUUGGCCAUAUCUGGAGUUGUAGAGAUCCAAUGGACCUGAAAUUUGUAUCAAUGAAAAGAUAAAUCAACUAAACAAUUUAUCUGCAGAUCAAAAGUCCAAAUUCACAGCAAAAAGUAUCUGAAAAUUGGCAUCAAGUUGCAUAUUCCAGCUGUCUUCAAAUUGGACAGAAACAAGUUGCAUUGUUCACUUGCAUUUUGGAUGUUCCUUUGCGUAUAAAAAGGAGACCUCGACCAAGAUUUUGAGAGCUUUAAUUUCUGUUCAUCAUAUUCUAGUUUCCUUCAUUUUCUUUAUAACAUUUCAUUAUGUAUUUCUAAACAAUUAGCUAGAGUUAGGGGUGAAACUUUGAUGAAUGUUUAGUAUUGUCUUUGAUCUUUCAUUUUGUUCUUCAAUGUCCAUCUUCUUCCUUGGUUGAAGUAUAUAUUCUAUAAAUGAUUUUGAUUUGUUAAAGACUUUGAUUUAUUGUUGACAAUUUUGGCACAAUAAAUGCUUAGAUAAUCUCUACAUAUCAACAACUUAUUUUGACAUAUUCUCUCAAACAAUUAUCAAGAACUAUCUUUUAGUAUAUUUGUGAUCAAUGUUCUAUCUUCCAUAUGAGAUCACUCCCUAGUUGAUUUUCAUAUGAGUUAAAUAAAAGAUCAAGAGUAAUUUCUACUCAUUUAUCCAAAGAGAAUCUCCAACGCUUUAGCAUUCUUCUCUAUCGUAUUUUUACUAACCGUUUACUACUCAUAGACUAGUUCAUUUCCUUCCAAUUCCAUGUGAUUCGACCUCGGACUUCUAAGUUUACUACUUGAGACAACUUGCACUUGGGUUUGGAACCAUAAAGUUGUAGCAAGUUUUUGACACCGUUACCGGGGAUUUGCGUCAAGGAUUAUUUUCUACUAUUUUCUGUGAGGUAUUCUUCUCUUUUGUAAUCUUCAUAAAUCAGGUACGCUCGUUCCUUUUUCCAACUUAUUACUUUAGUUAUUUUACUUCAAAUAAAGGCCGAGCUUCCUUCGUUCUUUUAUUUUCUUUAGUUAAAAGGAAGGCCAAGCCUCCCAAUCUGCCCUUUCUUUAUUAUAUGGUUGGCCGUGCCACCUAAUUUUCGUUAUUUACAUCUACUUUUUGUUAUUUUAUGCUAUAUUAGUAUCGUGAAUUUAAUUCUCAUCGUUUAGUUAAAGAUAACUGUGAAACUUUUUUUAGUAAUUUGUUUGACUUACCUCAACACACUCACAUCUUCCACCAUGGCUGAUAAUGAAAGCGUACAUGAUGAAAAUCAAAACCAACAAGCGCGAACCAUGCAUGAUUACUUGCAGCCUUCUCGAAAUUCUGCUCCUUCAUGUUUCAUUUUCCCUCUUAAUGCUAAUAAUUUCCUAUUCAAGUCGGGUAUGAUUCCAUUACUUCCUAAUUUUCAUGGUCUAGAAUUUGAAAGUCUAUAUUUGCAUCUUAAAGAAUUUGAAGAAGUAUGUGCCACGUUUAAUGAUCGAACUUGGUCCAAUGAAAUUGUUAAGUUGAAAUUGUUUCCUUUUUCUCCAAAAGAUAAAGCAAAAAGUUGGCUUAACUCUUUAAAACCUAGGUCAAUUGGCACAUGGCAAGAAAUGCAAAGUGAGUUUUCGAAGAAAUUCUUUUCAGCACAUAAAACUAAUGCUCUAAAAAGAAAAAUCCAAAAUUUUCUCAAAAAACCAAUGAAGCAUACUUUCAAUGUUUAGAAAGAUUUAAAGAUUUUAAAUACAUGCCUACAUCAUGGUUUUGAAAAAUGCGUACUAUAAGUUUCUUUUAUGAGGGCUUAACUCCUGAAACAAAACAAUUUGUAGAAAAGAUGUGCAAUAGUGAAUUUUUAUAUAAAGAUCCUGAUAAAGCUUUAGAAUUUCUAGAUCAUCUAGUUGAAAAUUCUCAAUCUUGGCAAAUAGUAAAGCCAAUCGAAACCUCAAUCAGAUCCAAUUUUGCUAGUUCUAGUAGAGGAAAAUAUCAAUUGAGUCAAGAUGAUGAUCUAAAUGCUAGGAUUGCUACUUUGUCUAGAAAGGUUGAAGCUAUGGAAUUAAGAAAAAUAAAGGAAGUUAAACCCUUGCAAAAUGAUGAAAUUUGUAGCAUUUGUGAAACUUUUGGGCAUCCAACGCAUGAUUGUCAUAACAUCCCAGUUUUCAAAGAAGUUUUACAUUGUCAAGCCAAUGCUAUGAAGACUUUCAAAAAGCCUUUUCCUUCUCCAUUCUCAGAAAAUAAUCAACAAUGGAGAAAUCAUUCCAACUUUAGUUGGAGAGAUGAUAAUCGUGUUCAUAUAUCACAACCUCAAGGGUUUUCAAAAUUUCCUUAUUUUCCACUACCAGAAUAAAAAAAAAACUCUUGAGGAAACAUUGCAAUCAGUCAUGCAAGGACAAGCAAAUAUCAAUAAUCAAACUUCACAAGCCAUCAAUGAAAUCAAGAACACACUUUAUUUAUUAACCUCUUCUUUGCGUUUUCAAGAGAAAGGUAAAUUUCAUGCUCAACCUCAACCAAAUCCUUCUGGCCAAUUUAAUGUAAAUACUUCUAGUUCGUCUGAAAGUCAACAAGAAAAUGUCAACUCCAUUACGACUCUUCGCAGUGGAAAAAUUAUUGACAAAACCAUUCCUUUAACAGAACUAAAAUCCAAAAUUGAGGAAAAAUUCAUUUCUGAACUCGUAUUGAAAAAUGUUCCAUUCCAGCUCCAUUUUCUCAAUGAUUACAACCAAUUUCAAAACUCAACCAUAAUUCUAAAAUUAUUGAACUUUUCAAACAAGUCAAAAUAACAUACCAUUAUUGGAUGUAAUCAAACAAGUUCCUUCAUAUGCAAAAUUUUUAAAAGACUUGUGCACUGUUAAGAGGAAACUAAUGUUCAACAAAAAACAUUUUCGACAGAGAACGUGAGCUCAAUCAUUCAACAAAACACUCCACCUAAAUUCAAAGAUCCUGGUUAUCCAACAAUUUAUUGUGUGAUUGGGAAUAAUAGGAUAAGGCAUGCUUUAUUUGAUCUUGGUGCUAGUGUUAAUCUAUUACCUUUUUCUGUGUAUGAGAUACUUGGUUUGGGAGAGCUUAAGCCAACAACAACAACACUUCAACUUGCUGAUUUUUCACUAAAAGUUCCAAGAGGAGUUGUAGAGGAUGUUCUAGUUCAAAUUGAUAAAUUCUGUUAUCCCAUUGACUUUAUAGUUUUGGACACACGGAAGUUUUAGAUUCAAAUGCACAAAUACCUGUCAUUUUAGGACGUCCCUUUCUUGUUACUUCAAAUGCAUUGAUAAAUUGUAGAAAUGGUAUCUUGAAACUCUCUUUUGGAAAUAUGACCAUGGAAAUGAAUGUUUUUAACAUUUGCAAGUAACAUGGAGAUAAAAAUAAUUUGCAUGAAGUAGAUUUUAUUGAACAACUUGUUGAUGAUCAAUUUAUUGCUACAUCUUCAUCUUAUGCGCUAGAAUUUGAAUUCAAUGAUAAUUCUAAAAAUUCGGAUAUAAUUUCUUUGUUGAAUUCUUUUCAGGAGAAAAAGACAAGUGAUUGGAAAUCAAAAUUUGAAAAAUUAUCACAAUAGUCCAAUAUGUCCAUGAUUUCAAGUGUUCAAAUGCCAAAGCUCGACUUGAAGUCAUUACCAUCUAAUCUAAAAUACUCAUUUUUGGGUGAAGAUGAAACUUUUUCGGUAAUAAUUUCUUCCCAACUUGAUGUGCACCAAGAAGGUAAGUUGUUACAAUAUUUGAAAAUACAUAAAAGUAUUUUAGGAUGGUCCAUAGCUGAUAUAAAGCUGAUUAGUCCUUUGAUUUGCACACAUAAGAUUUAUUUGGAGGAAUACGCUAAACCUACAAGAGAAAUGCAACAAAGGCUUAAUCCUAUUUUAAAAGAGGUGGUAAGAAAUGAAAUCAUUAAAGUCUUAGAUAAUGAAAUCAUUUAUCCUAUUUCUGAUAGUAGAUGGGUAUGUCCAACCUAAGUUGUAUCAAAAAAAUCUGGGAUUACUGUAGUCAAAAAUGAAGAAAAUGAGUUAAUUCCAACUAGAACUGUUACUGGCUGGUGCGUGUGUAUUGACUAUAAGAAACGCAACUCAAUGACUAGGAAAUAUCAUUUUCCUUUACCAUUUAUGGAUCAAAUGUUGGAAAGAGUGGCAGCACAUGAAUUCUAUUGUUUUCUAGAUGGAUAUUCUGGGUAUAACCAAAUUGAAAUUGCACCUGAGGACCAGGAAAAGACCACUUUCACAUGUCCCUUUGGUACUUUUGCUUAUCAUAGAAUGCCUUUUGGAUUAUGUAAUGCACUAGCUACAUUUCAAAGAUGCGUGAUUAGUAUUUUUAACGACAUGAUUGAAAGAUCUUUGGAAGUUUUCAUGGAUGAUUUUACUGUUUUUGGAGAUUCAUUUGAUGAUUGUUUAACUAACUAGCAAAAAGUUUUAGUUAGGUGUGAAGAAAAGAAUUUUGUGAUAAAUUGGAAAAAAUGUCAUUUUAUGGUCACUAAUGACAUCGUACUUGGUCAUAUUGUAUCAUCUAACAGAAUUGAGGUAGACAAAUCUAAAACUGAAUUGAUUUCUAAUUUGCCUACUCAAAUAGUGUUAAAGAGGUAAGAUCUUUUUUAGGACAUGCUGAUUUUAUAGAAAGUUUAUCAAAGACUUUAGUGUCAUUCUAAACCAUUGUGUAAUCUCUUAUCUAAAGACAUGCCUUUUGAAUGGACUAAGUCUUGUCAAGAAGCUUUUGUUAAACUUAAGAACAUGCUUACUUAUGUUCCUAUCAUGCAACCUUCGGAUUGGAAUUCACCUUUUGAAAUCAUGUGUGAUGCUAGUGAUUAUGCUGUUGGAGCUAUCUUAGGCCAAAGAAGAGAUAAAAAACAUCAUGUCAUUUACUAUGCAAUUAAAACUCUAAAUAGUGCUCAAACGAAUUAUUUUACCACUGAAAAAGAAUUGCUUGCUAUAGUAUUUGCUUUGGAUAAAUUUCAAUCAUAUCUUAUUCGCUCACCAAUUGUUAUUUUUAGUGAUCAUGCAGCUUUGAAAUAUCUUCUCUCUAAGAAAGAUGCCAAACCUUGAUUGAUUAGGUAGAUUCUUUUACUCCAAGAAUUUGACAUCACCAUUUGAGAAAAAAAGAAGUAGAGAAUGUUGUAGAUGAUCACUUCUCUAGGCUUACUUGUGAUGAAUCGUUUGAAACAACAUCGAUCAAGGACACUUUCCCUGAUGAACAACUUUUUAGUAUUUCUAACCUGCCUUGGUUUGCUUAUAUUACUAAUUUUCUUGUGAUAGGUCAAAUACCAUCUCAUUGGAAUGCCCAAGGCAAAAAGAAAUUCUUCAAAAAGGUACGAAAUUUUUUUGGGGAUGAUCCUCACCUAUUUAAAUAUUGUCCAGACCAAAUAAUAAGAAGAUGUCUGCCAAAUAAUGAAAUUCAAAAGAUCAUUUCUUUUUGUCAUUCUGAAGCAUGUGGUGGUCACUUUUCUUCAAAGAAAACUGCUGCAAAAAUCUUGCAGUCUGGAUUUUAUUGGACAACUCUUUUCAAAGACACACAUGAAUUUUGUAAAGCUUGUGAAUGUUGUCAAAAUUUAGGUGGGAUAACUCGUAGAAAUAUGAUGCCACUGAAACCCGUACUAGUUAUUGAAAUAUUUGAUUAUUGGGGUAUUGAUUUCUCCAUUCCCAUUAUCUUUUGGUUAUUUAUACAUCAUGGUAGGAGUUGAUUAUGUUUCUAAAUGGGUGGAGGCAAUUCCUUGUAAACACAAUGAUCACAAAAUUGUUUUAAAAUUUUUGAAAGAAAAUAUUUUGUCAAGAUUUGGAAUACCUCGAGCCAUUAUAAGCGAUGGGGGUUUACACUUCUGUAAUAAACCUUUUAAGGCCCGAAUGAAAAAAUAUGGGAUGACCCAUAAAGUGUCUACUCCUUAUCACCCAAACACUAGUGGUCAAGCUGAACUUGCAAAUAGAGAGAUCAAAUGGAUUUUGGAAAAAAUAGUGAAUCCAAAUAAAAAAGAUUGGUCUUUACGAUUAACUGAUGCACUAUGGGCUUAUCGUACAUCUUUCAAAAGACCUCUUAGUAUGUCACUUUAUCGACUUGUUUUUGGAAAGUCUUGUCAUUUACCAGUUGAAUUAGAACACAAAGCAUUUUUGGGCUAUUAAAAUGUUUAAUUUCAAUUUAGAUGAGACAGGUUCACUUAGGAAACUUGAACUCAAUGAGUAGGAAAAAAUUAGGAAUGAAACUUAUGAAAACUCUCGAAUUUAUAAGGAAGCAAUGAAGGUAUUCCCUGAUAAAAACAUCGCUAGAAAAAUUUUGAGCCUUCCCAAAAAGUUCUUUUGUACAACUCAAGGUUACAUUUAUUUCCUAAAAAAUUACACUCCAAGUGGACGACCCUUUCAUUGUCAAAACUGUUUACCCACACGGAGCUGUAGAAAUUGAAAAUCCAAGUAAUGGAAAUACUUUCAAAGUUAAUGGACAUCGUUUGAAAACAUUUUUUGAGAAUUUCUAUAAAUUGGAAGAGUCCAUUACCUUGCAUGAUUUUAAAGAUUGAUAUCAUUUUCUCAUUAUUUUAUUUUGUAUGGUUCUUUUCAAUGUUAUGUGUUUGUUUUAGGUGUGUUUCUUUUUUUCGUCUUUUUUCUUUUUCUCUCUUAUUUUUUUUAAUGAAAUUGAAGGUUCAUCUAGGCCAAGUUUAUAUAGACUCUCCAGGUACAACUCAAAACUCAUCUCUUUGUUUAAAAUUUUGCUCCUUACUGUCCUUCAUAUAUUUUGCAUGUUUAAUUUUCAAAUUGAGGACAAUGUUUCAUUUAGGUUGGGGGACCGAUGAUGAUAUUAUUUAAAAUUGUUUUUAUAUUAUGAAUUUUGACUAUGGGAUGCUGCUUUGAUUUAAUUGAAGCUUGUUCAUGUUAGAUUGAUUUACAUUGAGUACAAUAAUCAUGAAAAUCACAUAUUAUUUAGAUUGGAUUAAUGGACAGAAUAGGUAAAAUUAACUAUGACAAAAAAAAAUUCCUAUUAAACCAAUUCUAGGAUAAUUUGGUAUGGUUGAGUUGUUGUAAGGAAACAUUGAGAUAGAUGUGGAUUCCACGUGUGUUAAAUUUUGUGUGAAUUGCUUAAAACCAAUGAGAUGAUAAUUAGGUGAAAAUCUUAAGUUAGAGAUCGAUUUUCAAGAAUGGGUGUUUAAUAAGAGGCAUUGCACUAAUCAUUGCAUAUAAGGAAAAAAGCUGACAUGUUGUGAAGCUACCCUAAAAGAUCCCAAUGAGGACAAUUAUGGAUAUAAAAAAAAAAGAUUAGGCUAGUACAUGAAACAGAAUACACAUGGCAAACUUGAAAAAAAGUAGGUGCAUAAAACAGAAGGCGCACUACAUGCCAUGAUUAAGUCUCAAACACUUAUUUUAGAGAAUUAGACCUUUGAUAAGAGAUUAGUAGCUUAAUUGAUUCUUGGAUGUUGAAUCAGUCAAAAAUAAGGAGAAUCCUCAUUUAUUGAUGUGUUGAGCUGCAAUUAGUAAAAUAUAACCAAACAAGAGAGGGUGGGUACUAAUAUAUAAAUUUAACCAUAAAUCACACCAUUGGAAAAUAGUUACAAAAUAAAGUUUGUGGACGUCCAUCCCAUGAGAGAAGAAAGAAAUAAUUGGCCAUUGUGGGUUGGGACGAGUCCAAUUUGAAAAAGUAUGUGAUUGAAUUGAUUAUGCACACACACACAUUGGUAGAGCAUUGGACAAGUUAGACUAUGUUUUGAUAUAAAACCUUAUAAGCAUUUUGUUAAGCAGUUUCAAAUCCUGAGACAAGUGCGACAAGCUAUUUCAUUUAAACUAUUUUUGAAUUUUUAUUGCUAGAGACUAGCAAUAUCUUGAUUUGGGAGUGUGAUUAGUGUCUAAAAGUAUUUCAAAGAUAUAUCAUUUACAAGACAUUUUACAUUUAUUUUUGUAUAAGUUUACUAAUGUUAGUCUCUAUUUCAAUUCUUUUGCCAUAAAUUCAAUUUUCGUAAAUACAUGGUUAAAAGUGUAAUUAAUCGAAAUACGCAUUUACAUACAUGUCGGCAGGAGUAUUAUACUUUUGAAAGAGUAUUUAUUUGAUGUAUUUCACAUGCAUUUUCAAUGUAGAACAAGUGGAGCAAGUGGAGCAAAAAAUGUUGAAAAGUCAAGAAUAAUGAGCUGUCUUCAGCGAAGAUGCAGCUGUCUCGAUAAAAUGGUCAUAACUUGAGUUGUAGAUAUCAAAACAAGGUGAUUUAAGUUGUAUUGGAAACAUAAGAUAUGUAUCUACAACUUUUAUGUUUUACAAGAAGUCAAAUUCUCAUCAUAAGGCAGCUAAAAUUACCAUGAAAAAUUCAAGUUGUUACCUGCUAGAUACAUCUUUUCUACCUUGAGCAGCACUCAUUAUUUUGAUCAUAUCUGGUGUUGUAGGGAUUCAAUGGACCUAAAAUUUGUACCAAUGAAAUAUAACUCAGUUGGAAACAAUUUAUCUGUUGAUCAAAAGUCCUAAUUCUCCGCACAAAGUAUCUGAAAAUUGGCAUCAAAUUGUAUGUUCCAGCUGUCUUCAAGUUGGAUAGAAACAAGUUGCAUUGUCCUCUUGCAUUUUUGAUGUUCCUUUACCUAUAAAAGGGGACCUUGGCCUAAAUUUUGAGAGCAUCAAUUUCAUUUCAUCAUAUUCUAGUUUCCUUCAUUUUCUUUGUAACAUAUCAUUAUGUAUUUCUCAACAAUUAGCUAGAGCUAGGGGUGAAACUUUGCUGAAUGUUUAGUAUUGUCUUUGAUCUUUCACUUUGUUUUUCAAUGUUCAUCUUCUUACUUGGUUGAAAUAUAUGUUCUAUAAAUGGUUUUGAUUUGUUAAAGAUUUUGAUUUAUUAUUGACAAUUUUGGCACAAUAAAUACUUAGAUAAUCUCUACAUACCAACAACUUAUUUUGACAUAUUUUUUCAAACAAUUAUUAAGAACUAUAUUUUAGUAUAUUUGUGAUCAAUGUUCUAUUUUCCAUAUGAGAUUACUCCCUAGUUGAUUUUCAUAUGAGUUAAAUCAAAGAUCAAGAGUAAUUUCUACUCAUUUAUCCAAAGUGAAUCCCCAACGCUCUACUAUUCUUCUCCAUCGUAUUUUCACCAACCGUUUACUACUCAUAGACUAGUUCAUUUCCUUCCAAUUCCCUGUGGUUCGACCUCGGACUUUCGAGUUUACUACUUGAGACAACCUGCACUUGGAUUUGCAACCUUAAAGUUGCAGCACUUUGCAUGGACCUUAGAGAUUUAAUUCACAUAGAGAUAUGGAAUUGAUAUUGUUAAAUAAAAUCAAUUUGAACUUGAAAGAGGUAAAUUGAGUAUGUUAGUUGAAUUUGACUAAGUUAACAUAAUCAAUUGUUAUGAAAUUUGUUGAUUGAAGUUAAGAUGACAGUUAUGAUAAACUGAAACUUGACCCCAUCGUAUAAAAAAUCAAUUUUUAUUGUUUUACUACAUUUAAAAAAAAUCACAAAAGAAAAUAACUAUUUUUAUUAAUUCUCAAUCGAAUUGAAGUUAGGAAUAAUUUAACCAGUAGUUAGAUUGUAGUUCUCUUGGGAAUGAUAUUCAGAUUCUAAGGUUCACUUUAUUACUUGUUACGACCCAAACAUUUACGAGAUAUAAAAAUCGACAACAAUUUUUUGGCGUCUACAAUAGCGGAUAGUUGUUGCUAGAUAAUAUUUUGUAUGGAGAUGGAAUUUGUAUCUGUGUUUUAAACUUCAACUAAGUUUGUUUGUUUGUUUGGCUAUUUUGAAUGAAUUUUAUUAGACAAUAUUUUGUUUGAGGGUUGAACUUGUCGUUUUCAUUAAAUUAUGCUUAUUAUUAUUUUUAUUUUAGUUUGGAGUUAUAUAAUAUUUAGUUGUGGUGAUAGAACUUUAAUUUGCAUUUAUAAUUUGAAAAGUUAAGUUUUGGAACCAAAACUAAACAAAACCAACUCCCAAUCGAAUGGUUUGAUUUUGGUUCAGUUCCAUUAUUACAAAUGAAAUCAAUGGUUUCGUUACCAAAACAACAAUAAUAAUAAUAAUAUCAUUGUUCUUAGUUUGACUCGAUUAUGUUGGAUCCAGAAUCAAAUCGAACCAUGCACCUUCUUAUUGCUCACACUUUGUUUUCAUAUCCAUUUUUCUUAAUCAUCCUCAUCAAACUCACCAAAUUAAUAAAGUUUGCAAUUCAAUAAAAUAAAACUUCUAACAUGUUAGCAAAAUAAUCUCAUAUCUGUAUAGAAAAGAAAAGACAUAACUUGAAAGAUCGCAUUGUCGAGUCUAUUAUAUGAAUUCUUGAAGUCAGUCAAAUCAUAGAAGUCUGUUAAACAUACUGUGAUCAUUUUAAUAGACUGCAAUAUCGCCUUGCAAAAAAUUCAUUCAAACACACUAAGUCCAUGUGUACAUUCUAAGAAAAAAUGCAUUAUUCAUGUCAAAUCAAUGGGAAAUGUGUGGUUAAAAAAAGAAAAAAUUUUUAGAUUUGUGUGUAAUAUUAUUUUUUUGAAAAAUUUGUAGUUGAAAUGAUGUCAAAUCACUGUUGAAAAAAGUAUUUUUUUUUUUUUUAAAUAAUGUGACUCAAACAAACCCUAAAUUUACAAUGAAUAAGUAAAAACAAAAGCAAAACCAAGGGUUUAUUAGUUACUUAUACUUAAACAAAACUGAUCUCCUGCUCCACUGGGCUGGAUAUUAGUUUUUCCAUCGUACCAUAUCAGCAGUUCGACGUUCUAUUUUAUUUUUUGACUUUUCUCCCUACCAAAACCCGCUAUGCCCCUUUAUUGCCUCACUAUCCCCAUUUACUUUAUUAUCACCCGAUCACCGUUUCAUUAUCCUCCACCCAUUUUAUUCCCUAUUCUUAUCUGCCACUUUGAUUUUCCCAACCACUUCUCUUCACCUGUCAUUGGUCUUCUUUGUAAUAUUUUCGAUAUAUAUUAUUUAUUUAAUUUGAUUGUAAAAUUAAUUAAAAUGGCCAAAAUUUAUUUUUUAUUCAUGGUUUUCACAUCAAAUUAGGUCAUUCCGAUUCAUAUUUUAGAGUGUCAAGAUCACUGAAUCAUUUAUUUCAUUAUUUUUAGUAAUUUGUAAAGUGUAGUAGUUGAAAAUAAAAUACAUAAAUGCAAUGUAAAUUGAAAAUCCGUGCUAUAUGGAAAUAGUUCAAAAACAAACCGUCAAAAAAUAAAAAGUAAAAACAAAAAUAAAAAGAAUUAGAAAACUCUUACAUAUAUAUCCCGACUCAAAUGUCGCCACUUAUAUAUACACACUUCAUUACAACAAUGAGUGGUACAAGCAUACAUGUCCACAGUAUAGUAAACCAAAAAAGUGCACAAGUGAAAACUCAGUGUCCUAAACUCAGUAAGAAGGGAUUGUAUAUCGUCCUAAACACAGUCCAGAGGAAAUACACAAAAAUGGCUCUUCCACUGUAGCAAAAAUUGACAUUGGUCUUUGACCCAUUAAAUGAAUUAAAAAAAAAACAAAUUAAGUUAAAAAAAAAAAACUUCACAGUAAAAACCCAUUUUACCCUUCAGACUGUUUGAAUUAUCUCUCACCGACCGAUCGACCAGUGCAGAAAUCCGACCGACCGACCACCGGAGUUACACCAACGUCGCAAUCAACAACCAUCAUCUACAGUGGAAAUUAAAGAACCAGUUAGUUUUCUGAUAUUUUCUCCAGUUCGAAUGCUUUUUUUCAUAGUAUCCCAUUAAAUUAGAUCCAUGGGCAUGAGUAGUUAAAUUGUGGGCAUGCUGGAUUGUGAAAAAUGUGAUUUUUUGCCAUUUUUUGGAGCUCAGUGGCCGGGAAUGGCAGUUUUCGAUCGUUUCCCGGCCACCGGGCUCGUUGCAGUCGCACCAACCGACUGUAACAGUCGGUGUAACCGACUGUUAACAGUCUGGGCCGAAUGUCAGACUGUUAACAGUCGGGCAGUCUGGGCCGGUAAACCGGCCCAGAUUAAAUAUUUAAAUUAAAAUUUUUUUUAUAAUUUUUGUAAUUAAUUAAAUUUUUUUAUUUGAUUAAAUAGUAAUUAUAUUAUUUAUUUAUUUAAUUUUUUUAUCAUUGUCAAUAUAAUAUAAUAAUUGAAUUAUUGUAAAAUUAAACAAUGUUGAUUAUUUUUUUUAUGAAAUAAUCUUUAAUUUAUUUUUUCAAAUUUAUUUAAAUAAUAUAAAUAGUCUUUACAUUUUUCGAAAAUGUAAAGUAAUUAUUUAUUUAAUUUUUAUAUUUGUCUUUUAUAUAAUUUAAUAAUUGAAAUAUUCUAAAAUUAACAAUUUUGUGUUGUUCUUUUUUUUUUUUAUGAAAUAAUCUUUAAUUUAUUUUUUAAAUUAUUUAAAUAAUAUUUAUAUUCUUUAAUUUUUUUGACAAUACAUUUAAUUUGAUUUGUUGUUUUUUGUAAAUAUAUUUUUCAAAUGUAAUAUUUGUAAUUGUAUGAUAGUUAGAGUUCGGUUCUCUUGAUUUUGUGAGAUUAUGCUUUAUUUUGUUAUCUCUUGUUUAAUGCUAUAACAUUUAAAUUUUUGCAGGAUGGAGUAUCAUUUAGAUGCAGAGUUGAGACGGAUGUCGGGGAAAGCUACUUGGAACAGUAGCUUUGAGAGUUUUACUGUUGUAUUGGAACUGCUCGAUGAUCAGCAUGGAGAUAUUCUACGACAGUCCUUCUUGUGGCCACUAUACCAGUUGCGAGAGGUGCAGUACUCAGGACAGAUCAUUGAUGCACUUCUAUGUCAGCUUCUGAGGCCAGUCGCCGGCGAUUCCCUCCAGUUCGACCUCAGGGGCAAGGUCGUCAGUUUCUCGAUGUUUGAGUUUACAUUGAUCACUGGACUGAAGAUUACGGGCGACGAUGCAGCCAUGGAGAGAAGCAGUAGGCUGUAUGAGACGUACUUCCAGGGACAUGGGUCGGUGCUUCUACCCGGCUUGAUGGUCGCGAUCAGGGAGUGCGACCAUAUGCUAGAUAGAUUGAAGCUUGGGCUGGUCUACAUCCUCGAGAGUGUGAUGAGGUGUCAUCACAAGAAGACUGCCAUUGACAUUUUUCAUUUGCAAGUUGUUGACGACAUCGAUGCGUUCAACAACUAUCCGUGGGGCCGAAGAUGCUACGAAGACACCGUACAUGUGUUCACCAGAUCGCACUCGAGGCCCAGGGGGUCGAUGGGUAAAUACGAUACAUAUGGAUUACCGUUAGCAGUGCAGGUAAAUGUUUAAUAUAAUCAAAGUUAAAGUUUUAGUGUAUUACAUUGAUGCUUAAUAAGUGUAUGUGUUACAGAUUUGGGUGUAUGAGACAGUUCCUGUACUGGGGGCCCGCUUUGCGCAGCGAGGGGAGACACGCUGCCCUCGGAUGCAUCAUUGGAGAUCAUCGCGAGCGGAGGGAUGUCCCACUGGGAAGCAGUUAUCGGCCCUCCUCGACGAUCCUCGGGUAAGUAUUAUGCAUUUGUGAUUUAUAUUAUACGUAGUUUAAAAUUUUGUUUACAUGAUCGUUAAAUAGUUGAAAUGUCAAUAUGUCAGCUUGAAGUCAUACCUGAGUUGACGCCAUCGAUGGAAGAGGAGGCUCGGGGUCUUGUGCGGGAUUUAGGCGUUCCGCACACCCCAGACGAGGAGAUGCCUGAUCCGAGCUUGGACCGAGAUUGGGUAUGUGAAUGAAAUAUAAUUUAUUGAAUAUGAUCGACGUAUAAAUUUAUUGAAUAAUUUAUUGAAUAAUUUUUCAUUUUAUUUAUUUAGGAGGGCGGUCCAGCUGAUCGACGAUCACCUCCGCCGGGGCCAUCGUCGCUACCAUUGGCAUCAUCUCCGCCGAGAGUAUCGUGCCCGCCAUUGGCAUCACCUCCGUCGAGGGCAUCACCGCCGCUAGUGGCAUCACCUCCGCCGGGGCUAUCGCCGACGCCAUUGGCAUCACCUCCGUCCAGACACCUCCCCCGUGUGUCUCCGGGGCACAGUGAUGAUUUGUAUGCCCGUUUGACUGGAUUUAUAGCGGAGGAGGUCGGCGUGCUAUGACGAGAUUUGACGGAGAGGGUCGAUGAUAUGGGACGAGAGUUGACAGGGUGGGCCAACGAUCUGGCAGGGAAGGUUGACUAUAUGACAGGGAGGGUUGACGAUCUAUCCCAUGAUGUUGGAAUACUACAGUCUUCCGUUGUCGACCUUCAGGAUACAGUAGCGGCGCUUAGAGGAGAUUUAGCCGACAGACGAUGGGGGGACAGAGAGGAUGGCAGAGAUCAUGAUCGAGAUGGUGGCAGAGAUGGUGAUGGAGAGGGGGGUCACCCACAUUUUUGGCGUGAUGAGACAUUGGAGUCCUUGUGGUUGUCUAUGGAGGGAUGGCCCAUAUGGGGAUGGGAGAGGGGACUACGAAGGGGGCGGCCCCGACGGGAGGGGCGGAGGAAGUGGCGACGGAGGGGGAGGCCCCGACGGGAGGGGCGGAGGAGGCCCCCAUGGAGGGGGCGAAGGAGGUGGCCCCGGAGGUCGAGAGGACGCCCGGCGUGAUUGAGAGUAAGAGACAUGCUGUUGACGAGACGGAGCAGGUGGUCGGCAAGAGAUUGAGAGUGCCGUCACAGUAUGUUGUUUCCCCCUUCACGACUGAGGCCAAGAGGAGGACGUUCAUCGAUGGGACGUACCCGAACUUAUUCAGAGAGGUGGACAAUGCCAAGUGGAAAGCGUUCGAGACAUAGUGGAGGAGAAUUAUCCCCGGGUAAGUAUUGUAUGAUUUUAAUAAAGCACUGUACGCUAACUCGUCUACGCUUAUUUUAACAUUUCCCUCUUUUUUACAGAGCUAGCCGCACGAUAGGACAAAGGACAGUCUCGGACCCUUACAAGUGGUUCCACGAUAUCACCACUGCGGGAGCUUGGCUCGCUGACGAUGUAAGUAAACUAUUCAUUUCGUGUUUUUUAUGUAUAUGUGACCUUGUGUUUAUUAAAUGAAUAACUCAUACUUUUUCGGUGUUUCCUGCUGCAGCACAUCGACCUGGCCAUGGACUUGCUACGAGAUCGAGCUCAAAGACAUCCAAAAUCAUUUGAUGUCCAUGUACUCGACUAUAUAUUUGUAUGACCCAGAUCAUUCAUGUUUGACACAAGGCCAGUUGGAGCAAAAUCUGGAGUCCGUGGCUGUCAUUGUUCCUAUGAUGGCCAGACGAGCGGGGGGUAAAUGUAUAGGACAGAUUGCGGAUCGUUCGGAACACGACGACAGCACGACAGUCCGUAAGGUAAGUGUUUGAACGUUAUUGUUUUCAUUUUUCAGAUUUAGUUUUUAUUUACACAGUACUAAACUGAUUCAUUCUUGUUCAAUUGCAGCGGCGAAUGCGGCAUAUUUGCCAUUAAGUACGUUGAAUUUUUAAGUAUAUGACAUAAGGUUGAUGAAAUCAACCAGUCGUGGAUACAGAACUGGAGAAAGAAGCUAGCAUGUGAUUUGUUCGAAUUUAAUGCUGACCCAUAAAUUUCAUUUAUAUAUAUGUAACAUUUCAAUUGUAAAUUUAAUUAUUUUUGUAAUUAUGAAAUAAUUGUAAAUUUGUGUUCAAUGUAUAUAACAUUCAAAUUGGAAAUUUAAUUAUUUUUUGUUAUUUUGAAAUAAUUGUAAAUUUGUGUUCAAUGUAUAUAACAUUCAAAUUGGAAAUUUAAUUAUUUUUGGUUAUUUUACCCGUAUGCCGAGUGUGGAACUAUUUUUUGUAUAUUGAAGAUUUAUAAAUAACAAAUAUUGAACUGUGUAAAGUAAAAGGAAAUAUUAUUCAUUUCACGUACCUGUCUAGUCGUCAUUUAGGGGAAUUUGACUGGUACAAAAUUGUCGAGUAUGCCCUAUGGCUUUGCACCGGCCACACCUACGCGGUCGAGGAAACUCUCCGGUAGAUGGUAUUCUAGAUGUACUUGGACGUCCAGGACCACGCGGUUCAACUGCUGGUGGUAACAAAUUAUGAAAUGGGAGAAUGUGCUCGGGAACUUCCCACUCGGCUUCAUUCGGCAGAGGAAAUAUAGUCUCGGCAUAUGCUUUUCUCCAAGACUCAGUCGUAUAAUACAAAGAGCACAACGUUCUCGCAGCAAAGCCUCGAUACAUGGCCACCGUAACUGCAUGCUCACAUGGAAAACUCUCUAACUGAAAUCUCGUAGAAGUGCAUGUAUUAUCAGUCAAGUCCACCAUAUAUGCCGUAUUACGUGCACAUUGCACGAAGAAGCGAAACUCAUCUAGUGCUUCCACAUUCAACUUCUUCGCAACCUCUGCCGCCUUAAACAGUUUCUCCUCUUGAGCUGGGGCCAACACGCUAGUGUAACUCUUUGAUGCCGCACGUCGGUCAUGAAACCACUGUUGUAGCUUGUUACGAAUGUUCUCAAUCAUUACGAGAAUUGGUAACUCUCGAUCCUUCUUAAACAAUGCAUUGAGAGACUCCGCGUUAUUCGACGUCAUCAUGUUGUAUCGACGUCCUGGAAAGUAUGACCGCGUCCAAUGUUCGAUCCCCAUCUUCGUCAGAUACUCCAACGCCGGUAAUGAUUUACUUCCUAUCUCGAGCAUAAACUUAUUACACUCUUCAGCACUGUAAGCUUCGGCUGCUCUCCUGAACAAUGAAACGAUGCCUGUGCCCCGAUACCUAGUCUUCAAAUUACCUUGUAUAUGGUACAUGCAAUACCCGUGAUGUGCCUCGGGAAAAACUUCAGCGAUACCGUUUAUUAUAGACUGUCCUCGAUCGGUUACAAAGGCAAGGUUUUCAACUUCCCCGAUCACUUCCCUCAGUUUAGAAAAGAACCAACGCAUGGACAGAUCAUUCUCGCUGUCGACUAUGCGGAAUGCAAUAGGGUAAAUUUGGAUGUUGGCAUCUUGACAUUUAGAAAUAAUUAAUUUGCCUUGAUAUUUAGCUUUCAGAGUCGUACCAUCAACUAGAAUUACGGGUCGCAUUGCAUUUCAAAAACCCCGAAUACAUUGUCCGAGAGCCAUGAAAAAAUACUUAAAACAAUUAUCACCCCCCGUCUCAAUAAAAAAUGUCGUGCCAGGAUUAGUUGUCCCUAUGUUAUGGCAAUACCUAGCCAAUUUAGCAUAGCUCUCUUUAGCCGAUCCCAUUAAAUCCUCCAACGCAUAUUCUUUGGCCUUCCAUGCUUUCUGAUAGCUCAUGACCACUCCGUACUCUCGACGGACGUCGUUAAUGAUGUUUGAAGGUCUGUAGAUCGUUCGUGGAUCCUGAUACUUGUACAUUAUCUGUCGACCAAUAAACCAUGCUCGAGCUUGCCUGUGAUCGUUUCAAAAAAUUCCCACUUCGCAAGUAUGUUCCCGUAAAUACUUGCGAAUUACGAAGCACUCAUUCGUGUCCAUCUUAGUUGCUCUCAAGCGCCAAUUGCAACUGUCUUCGACGCAAGCAACUGUCAACAAUGACUUGUUUGAUUUCUUUACCUUGAACUCAAAGUUAUAUUUUAAUGCCAGCCGGUGCACAGCUUCCUGCAAAUCUUUCUUGGUUUCAAACAGUUUCUCGACCUGCAAGUCCUCAUCAUUGGGAGCUACACGGGAAGAAUUCGAGGAUGGUCCACUUGUUCCAACCUGUGAGCUCCCACCAAGCUCGUGUCUCUGUCAGGAUAAAGCAAUCAAAUUCUCAUUUGUAAAGUCGUUUAUGUUCUCAUUGUCUUCAACUGUUGACGGAAUUCUGCGCGUAACAGCGACAUCACGAUCAGAAGCAACUGUCUCAGGAAUAUCCACAUCAUCCGCAGGAACUAUCUCCACUGUCUCCCAAAAACCUCGAUCACUGUUAUCCGCCCUAUCCGAAUCUUCGCGUUCACUUUCGAUAACAUCCUUCGUAAUUAAAGUCACACCAAGAACAGUCGGAGUCCGAUGCAUUUUAUUCAAUUCUAAUAGAUAAUUCAAUUCAGCAUCAUUAGUAACGAAUACCGAUGGCAUCGGAAUGGAUAAAUCCCCAUAAUCGUUGAAUAGAUAUCUCAAUUGCAUAUCGCAUUGAGAUUGAUCGACAUUCAGCUUAUUUUGCAAAUCGUGGUACAUUUCUAAGUAUGGUGUACUCUCUGUUACGGGAAUUGCAAUACAACCACGUAUGUCACUCGUCCAUCUCCAUUCCCACCGAUUAUUUUCAUUCAAUUCGAAAUCACCGAAAUAACACACGGGGAUUAUCGUAUCUGCAUGAGGAAAUGGUUUUAAUCAACUUCAAAUAUUAAUUAUAAGAAAGAAAAAGGCAAAAAAUCAGCUGCAGCCAAGGCUGUUUAACAGCCGGCUAUUAGGCUGUUUAACAGCCAACAGCCGGACUGUUUCAGACUGUUUUCACUGUUUGUUAAGUUAAACCAGUUUGCCGUAGGAGAAUACCGUUCUAAAAACGAAAUUAAGCAUGCGUAAUUUAAACGUAAAUUAUACAUCCGUUUAAUUUUUUUUUGAUAGGUUCUGUUAAAAACAAUCUAUGUCGACAUAAAAUUUCUCUAUUUAAACGUAUACUAAUUUACUUAAAACGAAAUUAAAUAUGCGUAAAUGUACUUACCGAUUUGAAAUAAUUGAUGUGAAAAAAAUUUCCAGCUUCAACGUUCCAAAGUUCUUCUAGAUUUUGAGGUUCAAGCAGAUGAAAAGAUGAGAGUUUUUUCUGUGUUGGAAGCUCGUUUUGAAGUUUUUAUAAGUGGAGAAAUGUUUGGUUUUCAAUUAUUAAGUAAAAGUGUAGUAUAGUCCUUUCAAUAAUAUAUUGUUUUGUAAUUGUACAAAAUAUUUAAGGACAUCUUUGUCUUUUACCAUACAAGAGGCCAAUGUCAUAAUAUUCAUGAUUUUGGAAAUCAAACUGAAAUUUUGCUCUUUUGCCUGGGUCAAAAUUAAAAGUACCCCGUCCAAUGCAAUACAAACCAAAAACACGCGUCACUGAAUGAGAAUUCAUUAGAGGUUCAAACAUAUUUAAUUUAUGAAAACUUAUCUCUUGUCCACAGUGGUAGGACAUCAAAUGCCUUGCUAUCGGACAAUAACAAAACAGCACAAUCAUGGCUGCAAAUCAUUGGUUGCACGAGCAAUAGAGACAAAAUGUCUCCUAGUGCCAGGUUACCACCCCAAGAUACAAGUCAACAUUUAUAGUAAUCCAAAUAAAAAUUUCACAAAAUCAUCAUCAUACUCUUUUCAUUUACAUAGCAUACCAAAAAAAUGAUUUGCACAGCAAUGUUCAAAUUAGAAUUUCAUGAAAUCAUCACCACAUCAUGUUUAUUUUCCACUAGCAGAUUAAAAAAAAAAUGACUUGCACAGCCAUGAUUUAGUCCCCCGCCCAUCCCUUUUCCCUUUCAUCCAUUUCUCCCAAUCACUGACUUUGGAAAACACGCCUUUUUAAAAUUUGUUUACUUUUCUUGUAUAAAUUUUGAAAAAAUCAUGGCAGUAGCCCUUACCUAUCCCCACCCAGUACAACAUCAUCAACCCAACACUAUUAACCAAAAAUUUUAAAGAUCCAUAUCUUAAAUCUUAGAAAAACCACAGCAAAAUCAUAUGAUACAAUAAUGACCAAUAGAUACAUAUGGUGAAAAACAUUAAAAUAGUAAAUAUUGUUAGUGAUAGAGAGUUUGGCGACAGCAACAAUGAUGAUGGAUACAGGGUUAAAGGAAAAUAGGAAGGGGAGAGGGAAAAGGUUCUAUGGAAGCUCGCUCCAAGAUUUUCGAAACGAUGAUUUUCGUGCUUAGUUUCACAUUACCUUUCUUUACCAGAUAAUCAAUCCAAAAUUUUUUGACCCACUGUUAAUUACUUGUGGGCUGCCUCACAUGAUUCUUGGCUUCGUGGGCCUCUGCUAUUGGCCAAAUGCUCCACCAGGUUGCUGUGGCUAUUUCAAGUUUGAUAAAAUCGUGUUUUGAUAAAAACACCUCUUCAAGAAUUAAUAUUAGCCGUAUCGUGGCUAAAUCUCUGCCCUCUGAUUGUUUGGAUUAAUACGGAUACUUACACUGGGUCUUGGCCUUUUCAUUUGCUAUUCUAGAGAAUUCUUUUGGGGAAUCUCUUCGUCUUACUCUCUGUCGUUCUCUUUGUCCUUCGUUUUCUGAGUGAAAAUAAGGGUUUGGCCAUGUUAGAUGAAAUCGAUCUUUGUGAUUGAUAAUAUUCUGUUCUUUGUGUAGAGAAAUGGUUAUUUUGUGCAAUCUGUGAAAGUGAUAGCAGUGUUGUGUUGUUGUGUCAAGAGGCAAGAUAAACUCGAAGAAAUUUCCAAUUUCUUCGUACAUUUAUACACUGUUCUUGUUCGUUAUUAGUGGAUCUAGAGCUUAAUCUCGUGAGAAAUGCUCAACGGGUGAUUAGGUUGCAAAAUCGAACAUCCAGGCCCUUUUAAAAGGGCAAAACAUAUCUUGUUUUAAUUUUCUUUAAUUUCUGCAGUUCUUUAAUGGUUUUCUAAAGAUCGAUCCCAAUGUUUUAAGUUUUAAAAUAUAACACCCACAACUAAUAAAUUUACCUCGGUUGCUUCUCAAUCUUACCUACAAAUGAUAAGAUAAUGGUGUUGAAGUUUGCAAGCCACAAAGGCACAAGAAAAAAUGAUGGAAAAAAAAAAGCACAAGAUAGAGGUCAAAGCCACAUAUAUAGUAAUCGAUUUUUCUCUCAAGCAAGUUGUCCGAUUUUUCACAACAAGAGGGCAACCACGGUUUUUUCUCUUCACAUGCAAAUUAUACACUCCACAACGGCUAAGUUAAGCAACAUAUAUAUAGGAAUAGGUUAUUCUUUAGCUGGAACAAUAAAUGGGUUAAAUGGGUCAAGAUCAAGAGUCGUCUAAUAGGUAAAUAUAUGGAUUAUGAGCAACAUUAAUUUCUUAAGCUACUUGCAACGGUCCAUAUUGUUUUCGUGUCUAGCCUUUAAACUUGAUUGUUGGUAAUCAAUUCACCAUAAGUCCAGGCCCGUGAAAAUAUAUUCCGACAUUUUACAUCAUCACUCGGGAUUUAUUGGGUAUCAAAACCCAACAAAAGGGGUUGGGGAGAGAAAAAUGGACGAUUUAGUAAUAUUACUGUGUGCAAUGCAGAUUUCGAUGACGACGAGGGCGAAGGCGAAGUCUAACGAUGGAGGAAGCCCAAAAUGAUCAGAGAGAAUGAAUGAAAGGAAAAAUGUAGCUAGAAAAUAAUGGGAAGGGUGGGUGAGUGGGUUUUUGGGAAGGGUGGGUGAGUGGGUUUUUGUACCAUUGAUGUGGCAACUAAUAUCUUGCACGCUAAGGGAAAGGAUUAGUUCCGUUAUUUUAAAUACAAAGAAAGAAAAAAAAUGGAGGGAGAUGUAGUUUGUUAACGUUCUUUCAAAUUUUCAACAUGGAGAACAAUUCUAAUGGUAUAAAUGUCCCUUUGUAAACAUAUAAGGGACACUUUUAGCCUCUGCUGUCUUCAUUUGAAAUAAAACCUUUUAAUUUUCAUAUUCAUUUUCUACCACACAUUUACAGAAUAAAAUAUUUUUCACGAAAAUCCAAAAAUUGUCUCUAUUUUAUAACCAAACAUUCUUUAAAAAAAUUACUAUUCAAAAUAUCAUUUUUUUCCCUACCAUCAAACAUGGACUUAAAAUAUAAGGGUAUUUCUGAUUUUUUAACAUAUAAUGGGCCUUAAGAACUUAUUUUGAGUAAGCUACACUCCUAAUCACAUUUGAUAGUUUGACAACAUUUUCUAGAAAAUAGCCACAUCAGUUCUAUUUUAUCUGUUCAACAAGUUUGUGGAUGGAAUUUCUGAAGAAGAGUUAGAAUGGAAUUUUCUGGGAGGCUAGUAGUCCUUAUAUAGCACACAUGGAUUACUUACUGUCCUGUUUCGCCAUUUAAUUGGGGACUUCAACGUAAUACGUUGUGUUGGAAAAAUAAUAGAGUGAAGACUUUAAAAACCAAAAACAAACUUACCGACCUUACCAAAAUUGGACAAAAUAUUAGCAAGGAAACAAGGAAAUAAUAACGUCAAAUGAAAUGGAUGUAAAAUCGAGACAAGAGUUGAACUCUUCGUCCUUAAGUCAACUUUGCCCCAUAACGGUGCCUACGAGAUGGCAAUCGAUUCCCAAGAUACAAUAACUAUCCUAUUAUGUUAGAAGCACUCUAAAACACAAGAUCAUUGAACCAAAACCGAAUUUUGUACACCUUUUGAAUGAACAAAAGAAAACCAGAAUUUAUAUAGAAUUUUGGUAAAAAAAAGAAGAAGAGGAAAUAGUGUUAUGCUAUGAUUGCAUAUCAUUAGGAUGAAGAAAUGGAUGUCCCAAGGGUUCUAUUUAUUGAGGGAGAGAGGUUGCGAGUGAAGAGACACGAUCCAAACUCAGCAACCUUUGCCAAGAGUCAUAGCUUUUUCUGUCGCUUGUUUUUCGCUUUUGCCUCACUCAAGUGUCAAAAAUAGUGGGCCCAUUGCUCGCCUGCCAUUGGCCUAUCGCUCGAGCGAUAGCCUCACCGCUUGAGCACCAAGCGAGUGGCAAAGUUGGUCGAACUCCAACCAUUUUUCCUCUCUUUUUUCACUUUGGACUGCAAUUUUUCAUUCAUUCGGAACUGAUUUCGACAUUCCAAAUAUACAACAACAAUCUACUUGAUGAGUAGAACAAGAUAUUCUAUUUGUAUUAGUAAUUUAACUAUCGAAUCAAGUCCGAAUAUUUGGUGGAAAUUGACACGAAAGUCACUUUUUCCAUUUUUAUACUUAACCAAUUUCAACAACUUCCCACAUGAACGAAAAUUCACAAUAUUCAAUGCACAAUGCAAAUGAUAUGCAUACUCUAACAAAAGGAGUACAUAUGACAAGUUAUUACAUCAACAUAGGUGGCUUAUGGCUUGAACCUUCCUUAGUUGUGCAUAAUUGAAUUUACUAAGCUAAUUGUUGAAUUUGACAUCUUGAACCAUUUAGCUAUUCGUGUAAAUCAAAAUAACUGUACCAAUACCAUAACUUAUCUUACCAGUUCAAUUCUCAUGGUUGUGUUUAUUUUCGCCCUAAACAACUCUUGUUUCAUAAGUGUUUUAGGAGAAUUUAAGCCUUAAAUUAGUUAGAAGCAGUCCCACUUCACACUUAUAUAGGUGAUCUUCUACCUUUCUGCCAAGGUAUAGGAAUCAUUAAUGUAUACACUUAUCCUUAUACAAAGUUUUACUCUAGCACAUAAGGUUUGUAGGAAUGGGAGUAAGUACUUUACUCUGAAUCUUUUAUAAUUUAGUUGUCCCAUUGAACCAAGAUCUUGAGAUCACCAAUGGAAUUUCGUUAUGGUGAUUCUAUUUGAUAGGCUAUAGGUUCAUACCUCCUCGAAAGAUGGUAUACUUGAUCUCUUGUAAGUCCUUUUGUCAAAGGAUCCACUACGUUGUCUUUUGGUUCAACAUAAUGGAUCGAGAUUAUACCAUUUGAUAUCAACUAUUUAAUGGUGUUAUAUCUCCAACAUAUAUGUCAAGAUUUACUAUUAUACAUACUAUUUUAUACCCUUGCAAUUGCCAAUUGAUUAUCACAAUGGAUAUUAAUCGCAGGUACGAACUUAUCCCAACAUGGAAUAUCUUUGAGAAAAUUAUGAGGUCAUUCCGCUUCUUCUCCUGUUUUAUCCAAAGCAAUAAACUCAUUUUCUAUUGUGGAUCGACCUAUAAAAGUUUUGCUUAGAUGAUUUUCAGGACACAUCUCCACCUCCAAAAUAGACUUUGGAAUCUUUUGCGUCAAAUAUCUAAUUUGCAUCGGUAUAUCCUUUUAGUACAACAGGAUAUCUUGAGUAGUGUAAUCCAUACCCAACCGUGUGUCUUAAGUAUUUAAGUACUCGGGUCAAUAGCUUCCAAUGAUCAAUACUUGGAUUACUUGUAAACAUACUUAACUUGUUGACUACAUAUGCUAUAUCUGGACGUGUGCAGUUGGUAAUGUACAUCAAAUUGCCUAUAACACACGAAUAUUCCAAUUGAGAUACGGGAUCACUCGUGUGUUUUGGCUUAAGUGUAAACUAAAGUCUACCAGUGUCUUAACCGGUUUAUCAUCAUACGCCUUAAAUUUCUUAAAUAUAGCCUCAAUAUAGUGUGAUUGAGACAAUGAUAAACCAUCAAGUGUCUUAGAGAUCUUAAUCCCUAAUAUUAUGUCUACAGUUCCCAUAUCUUUCACGUCAAAAUGUUUUAUCAACAUUUUUUUAGUUUAGAAAAUAUUGUUCGCGCUAUUUCCCAUGAUUAACAUAUCAUCAACAGGCAUACAAUCACGUAUUUGUUAGGUGUGUUUUUGAUGUAGACACACUUGUCUCAUUCAUUGAUUUUGAAGCCAUUUGGUAACAUAAUUUUGUCAAACUUUUCAUCCCAUUGCUUCGAUGCUUGUUUUAAACUAUAUGACGAUUUCACAAGCUUAAACACCUUCUUCUCAUUUUUCGAAGCAACAAAUCCUUCAGAUUGUCCAUAUAUAUUUCUUUUUUUAAUUCACCAUUUAGGCAUGUAAUUUUAACAUCCAUUUGAUGUAUUUCAAGAUUAUGCAAUGCCACGAUUGCAACCAAUACACAUAUAGAAGUGAUCUUAGUAACAGGUGAAUAGGUAACGAAGAAAUCUAGUCAUUCCUUUUGUCUAUACCUUUUAGCUGCUAAUCUAGAUUUAUAUUUGUCUAUUGAUCCAUACGAUUUCAAUUUUCUUCUGAAGAUCCACUUGCAACCUAAAGCUUUGCUUUCCGGAGGGAGUUCAACCAAUUCCCAAGUAUGUUUAUUCAUGAUGGAUUCAAUUUCAUUAUUAACCGCUUCUUUCCAAAAAAGAGCUUUAGGAGAGGAAAUUGUUUCAUCAAAUGUCAUUGGAUCAUUUUGUAGCAGAUGUGUUAGAAAUUUUGGACCAAAUGUCUUAUGAAUCAUUUGUCGUUUACUGGGCCUUGGUUCUUCAUCUUCUUGAUUAUUAUCACCUUCUAGAUGGUUUCUGCUUGUACCAUUAUAAAUUCAUUUGUGUGAAUUUAUUUCUUUUCCUUACACGAAAAAAUAUCUUCAAAGAAAGCAAUAUUCCUUGAUUCAAUGAUCGUUCCUUCAUGUACAUCAAGUAUUUUCGAUCUAUGAACCAAAAAUCAAUAUGUAUUACUAUUAUUUGCAUAUUCACUAAAGAUACAAUCUAUUUUCUUUGAUCCAAUCUUUACUUGUUUAUGUUUAUGUAUUUGUACCUUUGCUAAAUUUUCCCACACUUUAAGUAGUUGUAGGAAGGUUUUCGACCUUUCCAUAACUUAUAAGUUAAUUCAAUCUUACUUUUGUAUGAUAGUUUAUUAAGGAUAUAAUUUGUAGAAAGAAUUGCCUCUCCCUCAUAAGUUUUAAGGUAAGCUUGAACUAAUGAACAAUGCAUUCAUCAUUUCCUUAAUGGUUCAUCUUUUGUGUUCAGUAACCCCAUUUAACUGAGGUGAGUAUGGUGUUAUAGUUUGAUGAAUAAUUCCAAAUUCUAAACAAAAUUCUUCAAAUGGAGUGGUAUAUUCUCCAUCUCGAUCAAUACAAAUAAUUUUUAUUCGUUUUCCAAGUUGAUUUUUAACUUCAAUUUUAUAGUGCUUAAACAUUUCUAAAGCUUCAUCUUUACUUUUCAACAAAUAUACAUAGCAGUAUCUUGUACAAUCAUUUAUGAAUGUGAUGAGACCUUUUACCACCUCUCGUUUGUACAAACUUUAAAUCACAUAUAUCAAUGUAAAUAAGUUCUAAAGGUGUUGUGCUUCGUUAACUGAGUAAAACGGUGUUUUGGCUAACUUAAGCUCUACACAUAUUUCGCUUUUCCCAUUAUUAAAAUGUAUACUAGGUAAUAAACUUAAAUUCGUUAACUUGCGUAUAAAAUUGAAGUUUACAUGUCCUAAUCUAUGAUGCUAUAAAUUAGACAACUCAAGAAUAUAGGCAAAAGAAGAUAUUUUAUUCCUUGGGUUAUUUAGUAUAAUAGUAAGGGCAUUCAUCUUGAAUAGUCCAUCUUUUACAUAGCCUUUGCCUACACACAUAUUAUUUUUUGUAAAUAUACUUAUCAUAUACAAAGACCAGCUUAAAGCCAUUCUUGCUUAAUAGAGAACUUGAUACUGAAUUCUUGCGAAUAUCCGGCACAUGAAGAACAUUGUUGAGGUUAAAUUCCUUGACUGAUGUCAUCUUUAAGAUUACUUUGCCUUGUCCUUCUACUUUUGAACUUGAUGGAUUUUUCUUUGACAACUUCUCACCCUCGGCUGGAGUAUAGAAAGAGAACAUUCAUUUAUCGGCACAUAUGUGAUGGGUAGCUCCCUAUCCACCCACUACUCCAUGGGAUUUUUAACAUUGUUGCAUUAUGAAAUAAUGGCUGACAAAUUAUAUUUGAUAUACCAUCAGAUAUAGCAUCAGAUUCAGUGAUAUUUUUCUUGGUUCGCUUCUUAGGUUUGCAACAAUCGAUAGAGCGAGUUCGGCCUUUCCAUAGUUAUAGCAACUGUCCUUGAAUUUCUUUGCAUUCUUUUCAGAAGUUUCUAUGGAAUGUUUUCUUUCCUUGCUCUUGUUAUUUGACUCCACCCCAUUGGCCUUAGGCAUAUGGCAUCCAACACAUUUGUUCGGAGUUCUAUUAUCUUCUUCAAUUCUCAAUUGAAUGAUGAGAUCUCAUUUAUUCAUCUCAUUGCGCUUGUGUUUGAGAUAAUUCUUGAGGUCCUUUCAUAUGGAUAAAAGUUUCUUGAUAAUUAUAGUCACUUGAAAUUAUUUAUUUAGAGACAUAUUCUCUACGUGAAUGUUUUUGAGAAUCCCAAGUAAUUCUUGUACUUGACUGAUGACCGUCUUUGAAUCUACCAUUUUGUAGUCCAAAAAUUUAUCCAUGUUGAACUUUUCGCUUCAACGUCUUCAGUUUUGUAUUUCUUUUCUAAAGAUUUCCAUAGUUCUUUGGCAGAUUUCUUGGAGCUGUAUGUGUUAUAUAGCGCAUUAUCCAACCCAUUCAAUAUGUAGCUCUCACAUAAGAAAUUUGAAUGUUUUCAAGCAUCCAAUGCUAUUAGUGUGCCCUGUUAUUUUCCCUUCUUGCACAACGGGAUCAUCUUCAUUUUAGAAUAUUGCCAGGUUUAAGUCGUGAGAUAGAACAACAGUUUCUGCUGCCAUCACUUAAACUCAACUCCAAUAAAUUUAUCCGAUUUCUCUCCAUGUGGAAUGGAGUUUGUAUGAAUGGUGGGAGGGGCAACCGCAACACAAGGGAUCGUACCGGUAGGAACAAUUCCUUUUGAAGUUCCCAUAUUCAAUGUAUCAUUGGAAGUAGAAUUGGUAUUGAAAACCGUAUUCAUUUUUGUUUAAAUAAAGUAGAAGAUUAACCACAAAUCAAAUCCUAGAUGGAUAGAAUAUCUUAAAUCGAAGUGAAAUCAGCUUAACCGAGUAGGAUAAAGUAAUCACUCUAAAAAUUGACUAAAGAUGUUUGGAAAAAUAAUAGAGAGAUGACUUCAAAAACUGAAAACAAACUUACUUACCUUACCAAAAUUGAAUAGAAUACUGGCAAGGGAAGAAGGAAAAAAUAACGCCAGAUGAAAUAGAUGUAAAGUCGAGGCAAAAGUUGAACUCUUUAUCCUUAAGUCAAUUUUGUCCCACAAUUGUGCCUAGGAUGAUGGAAAUCAGCUCUCAAGAUACAACGACUAUCCUCUUGUGUUAGUAGCACUCCAAAACACAAGAUCAACGAACCAAAAUCGGAUUUUGUACUCCUUUUUGAAUGAAUAAAAGAAAACCAGAAUUUAUGCUGAAUUUUGGUAGAGAAAGAGGAAAUUAAUGUUAUGCUAUGAUUGCAUAUCGUCAGGAUGAAGAAAUGGACGUCCCUAAGGUCCUGCUUAUAAAGGGGAGAGGUUGUAAGUGAAGAGACUCAACCCAAACUCAGCAACCUUUGCUAUGAGUUGCGGCUUUUGCUGUCGCUCGCUAAUUACCUUUGCCUAUCUCGAGCGUUAAAAAUAGUGAGGAGGUCGUUUGCCUGUUGCUAGCUUGUCACUCUAGCGAUAGCCUCACAGUCACUGCUCGAGCGCCAAGCUAUCACUAGGCGAGCGGUGGAGUUGGUUGAAUUCUAGCCAAUUGUUUCUCUCUUUCUUUCCAACUUUGGAUUGGAAUUUCUCAUUCAUCCCAAAUUGGUUUUGAGAUUUCAAAUAUACCAUGACGAUUUACUCUACAAGUAGAAUAAGUUAGUCUAUUUACAUUAAUAAUUUGACUAUCCGAUCAAGUCUAAAUAUCUGGCCGAAAUUGACACGAAAGUCACUUUUUCAUGUUUAUACUUAACCAAUUCCAAAACAAUGGUCAUUGGUUUCAUUUCACAUCCAAGUUUCCAACAUAAACUGAAAUUCUGUCAAGUUAAUUGCGUUACACUCUUCACUAUGUAUCAGAAAUCACAGCUAACUUGAUUGUCAAAGUGAAACAUUUUUUCAACUUGUGACACAAACUAAUGCUUGCAGCUUGCAUUUGAGAAAAUGUUUCUUAGCCAUAUUAUUGCUUCCAUCAAAAAAAAUAUUAGUUUGUUUGGUGUGACUCCAAAUGAAACUCAUAUCUAAUGGAUUGAAAAGAGAAGAAUGCUAUAACUUAGCAAGAUAGCAUAAAAAAGAUUAGCUAACAGAAGAUGCUAUUUAUGAAGCAUAACUCAGUGAAGGCUAAGGCAGAAAUAUAAAAAAGAAGCAAGCUAUACUAGAUAAUUUGCACUAGACUUCUACGAUAUUUGGAGCUUCGGGAUAUGGGAAAUAUGAUCCAAUAUUGGUCUUCAGUUUCCUUCUUGUAUUUCUGCUGCAUGAUUGGACAAUUCUGGAUACCCAACUUCCUUAUUGGUGUCAUUUUAAAGAGAGGAUCCGGUAGUGCCUUCAGAUUGCUGCAAUUGUAAAGUUUCAAAAAGUGGAGUUUAGGCAUGACCUUGAUGUCUGCAGUUCUGAUCAUGUUCCAUUCUUCCCAACUUCCCAUGUCUGAAAUUUUCAGUUUCUUCAACUUUGGGAAUGCAAUAUAUUCUUCUGAUGAUAAUGCCAAUGAUCUGUCUUUGCUGUCUGCUGUGAUUUGAUCGUUCACAUUGUCUGUUGCACCCAAAAAUUCGAGCCCAGGAGAUUUAAUGCAGACCAUCUAUGUGGAGAGUUACCAGGGACGGAAGCCUUGCAAGAGGAGACAAAAUUGUGCAAUUUUGGCACUCUUGAAGCGAAAGAUCUUUCAGAUUGGUUAAACUUACCAUCCAAUUUGGGAAUCGAGUGCCUUCAUAUGAACUUACUACUAAAGAUUGCAACCCGGGAUGCAACUGAAGAGCUUAAAUCACUUCGUCUUGGUUGCUUGCUUGAGCCUUAGAGUUGAAGUCGAGGUGCAAGUCAGAAAUAUGUUUCUUUUCACUCAACUCUGCUAUCCGGGCCUCAUUAGCAUUUGUCACGCAACUCAAUCCUUCAAUUUUAAGACAUCCUCGGAGAUUCUUCAUUAUUUCAAAUCCUCUAGUCCACAUGUCGCUGCUUCACCACCAAUACCACGAACACUGACCAAUUUGCUCAAAGUCUGAAGUGAGCUCAAGUUGCCAAUCCCUUUUGGUAAUGUCUUAAGACUAUCAGUGCAAUUUAUCUAAAGGUACCUCAAAUUUACUAAUUUUCCCAUUUCUUGAGGCAACUUUCUGAGAUUGUCACAGGCAGAAAGGUUCAAGGUUUGUAAUUUUGGAAGUUCACGCAACCUGUUACGACUUAAAUCUAACGCCUUGAGACAUGCCAAGCGAUUGCAUAAAUCUGGCUCAAUCUUGUCCAAUUCACUUAUAAUUGGAGGCGUAUCAAAGAAAGAUUGAACCCAAAACUGUUGGGCGCGAAAGCUCCAAUAACACACGUUGAUUCCAAACUGGAUUGUAGAGAACGAAAUUUUAAAGACAAUAUUGAAGUAAACAAGAUCACACGACGAAACAAGGUUUAAAUUGUAAAGAAGAACAAAUGAAUUAACACAGAGGAACGAUGUUUAUUGAAUCAAUAAUAUGGAGAAUACAAAGCAUUCUUGCGAUUGGCUUCUAUCUGUUACCUCUAAUAAAACUGACAAAGAAGCCUUGUAUUUAUAGGUCAACCCUAAAAGAGUCCUAAAAGAAAGAAAAUAUAUUACAAUUAGGAGGCCCAAUUUCUAAAGGAUUUUGUUUCCUUUUGUUGGAUGCCAUUAGAUUCUCUUUCCAAGCAAAAGUCUAACACGCAUCUUCAAAAGACUCCUAACCAAUUUUCAGGAUUUCACUUAAUCAAAUUCUAAAUCAACAAUAAUCCUAACACAUUUGAGUUACCAAACCUAACAAAAACGAAUGUAGUUUUCCUGCAUUAGCAAUGGAAGUAGGAAAGCGGACGUCUUUUGCACGUACCAGGGUCAAAUGACGAGUCGUUUUAUAAGACGAUCCCAAAUUUACUGCAAACUCCCCAUCAACCUCCACCACAGAACAUUCUCUCUUCGUAAGAUAUUGCGCAAAAUCAUGAACCAUGCCGUGCAUCUUAAAUUUUAGAAUCCUUUUACAGUCCUUGUCCUUUUCUAUGUCUUGGAAGAAAGACCCCAUAGCCAAAUUUUGCAAGUAUUCCUCACCUAAUACUUCCAUUUCUACAUUUUUCACAGGGCAGAGAUAGCCUUGCGCCAUCCAGAGUUUGAUCAAAUUGUUUGCAUUGAUGACGUGAUCUCUUGGAAAAAAAGCACAAAAAGAAAAGCACCUUUUCAAAAGCACAAAAAGAAAAGCACCUUUUCAUUGUCUAGGGAAAAUCGAAGUCGCUCAACAUCGAAGGACGAAAGAGAACUUUCUCUGCUCCUUCAAAUUCCCAGAAUUCACUAUUCAGAACAUUCUGCCAAUCUUGUAAAGAAUUCUUGAACCGCAUAUGAGUGCCAAUAGUCUUUACAUUAAGAGGUAUGCCCCGGCACUUGUCAGCUAUUUUCCUACCAAUUCCUUCCAAUCCUUCGCAAUCCUCUUUACUUCUUUCGAAAAACGCUGUUUGACUGAAUAGCAACCAACUGUCCUCGUCUGUCAACUGCUCCAAAUGAAGCACGUGGCUACUUCUCAACAUUUUUGCGAUUCUCUCAUUUCUCGUCGUCACUAGAAUUUUACUUCCAGCUGCACCAAAUUUGAGAGAGUUGAACAAUUGUUCCCAUUUCCUGUAGUCAUAUGUCCACACAUCAUCCAGCACAAGCAGGAACUUCUUUCCUGAAAUAGCAUUCCUAAGACGGCGCAAUAGAGUUUCAAGUUCACAUAAAUGCGGAGCAUUACCUUCAAGGUCUUCAACAAUUGCCUUUGCAACUCGAACUUCAUCAAAAGGCUCAGAAACACAUACCCACAUUCUUAUCUCAAAAUCUUGCUCUACAGAAGCACAAUUGUAGACCAUUUGUGCUAUAGUUGUUUUACCAAUUCCUUCCAUGCCGAUUACAGAAACAACAUGGAAUCCAUGACUUUGGCUACUCUCAGACAACAACUUGCUUACAAGAGUGUUCUUAUCCACAUCUCGACCUCGUACUUCAGAUACAUCAAUGUAAGAGUUAGUUUUUAGCCUCCCAGUAUCACCACUCUCCAUUGACGUAUUAAAACUGUACCUAUCUUUCUCGGUGGCAAUAAUAUCGAGUCUUUCAUUAAUGUCCUUAAUCUUGAGGGCUAUGUCACGACGUAGGACAACUCGUCUAUAUCCAAGGCAAGGUAAAGAGAUAAAAGAACAUACCUUUUUCUUGGAAAGGGAUGAAUCUUCAACACCUUCAGUUUUCAACUUGCGGAUUGCAGUUAGCCAUUCAGACAACACACCGUUGAUGUCAUAUGCUAUGUCUUUGAGCCUUUCUAACCACAAUUUGACUGAUUCAUCCUUCACUUUUCUCUUUUCAGCAUCAACAAGCACAGAUCGGAUGGAUUCCAAUACGCUGGUGAGUUUUUCGAUAUCCUUUGUGACCCCCACAACUAAUCUCACCUUCUGUCGGAUCUUUUCUCUCGUGAUUUCAGCCAAUUGUGUUAAGAUUACAGUUAUAAUUGCUUCAGCCAUGGUUGAAGAUGACAACAGAUUGAAUAAAAAGCAAGUGAAAUUGACUCGGGAGACUAGACAAACAGGUAUGGAUUUCUUUUCACUUAAAUGAAAACUGAGACAUGAGAGAUUUGUUUUUUGGUGCUAAAAAUUCAACCAUUGAUUUUCCAGGUAAGAGAUUGGAAAUUUCCAUGUGCGUGCCAAAGGAAGACUAAGAAGUAGGAAGACUCCCAUUAUCGCGUUUUGUUUGGUUGCUUCAAGUGAUUGAUGUAUAAUUUACAAGAUUUGAGCUUUUCCGGUACUUUUAGCCCCUGUUUGAUUCCCAUUACUUGGUAAUGAAAAUGAGCAGAAUAGUAUUUUUUUGAAAAAUAAGUGGUUGAAAAAGAGAGAAAUUUUUUUGAUUUACGUGUAAUAUUAUUUUAUGGAAGAUUGUAUGGUUGAAAAUAGGAGAGAGAAAAAUAGAAUGUAAUGUAAUGUAAUGUAAUGGGGGCCAAACGGGGGCAAAUUGUCAUAUUCAAACGUGUUACUGCACAACCAAACCUUGAAGUAUAAUGUGAAAUCAUAGAUAGACGAGUAAAAAGUUUCAACAAUCACUGAACUUAGUAUAAUAAUGUCACGUUGUGGUCACUGAACUUCCGUUUGCUGCUCAACGGUCACUGAACUUACAAACACACCACUCCAUCCAUCACUCACCUCAAAGCCAUUUGAAAUUGUGUGAUCUGGCCCUGACGGAAUUCCAUGUGGCAUUCAACGGCGUCAAAAGUGAUACACGAUGGACAUGUUUAAGAUUACACGACCCUAACCCAUUCAAAAUUGAAAACCAAUUUCCCUAAUUCACUCUCCCAUGAACCCUAAUUCAAUCUCCCCCAAUUCAAAAUCCUGGAUCGAACAUAGAGUCACUUGCCAGAAGUUCUUCGCCUUCCAAUGUACACCAUCCCCAGCUGCAGAUGAUUAUCAACCAAUAAAAUCUGAACCCACGUCCCGUUACCUAAAUGUUGAAAACUCGAAGAAGGAAACCAGAGGAGCCCAACCAACUGCGAACGGUGAAGGUAAUCUCUUAAAUUCUUAUUUACUGGUAUGAAGAAUAUGUAAUUGACACUGUUGAAUGACCGAAUUUUUGUUCAAAUUUGCUGACUGCACAAAAUCAAAGAGAGUUGUAAGAUUUUCCUUCGUUCAAAUUGUUUCAAUAAUUUCUCAUUGAAAGCACUUUGAAUUUUCAAUUUUGAACUUGGGUUCAUCACUUUGAAUUUUCAAUUUUAAACCUGGGUUCAUCCUGUGAGCAUUUUUGAAAUUGGACAUUGUUUAAUUUUGUUUCAGGAGGCAUCCCGUAAGCAUUAAUUCUUGUUACAGAAUGCUCAAAAUGAUAUGGUGGUCAUUGUUUAAUUUUGUUGGAGGAGGCUGAAAAUGAACUGAUGGUCGUAGUUGUGAUAGGAAAUUAUUGAAUUAGCGUUGCGGAUGAUAUUAGUUUGAUGAUUAUCAGCAUUAUUAGUAAAAGUAUUAUGGUUACAAAAUUAAAAUGUCUUGUUAAAUUGUGUUCUUGAAUGGUGAGAAAUUUUUAUGCAGAUUAGGAUAUUAUGUGGUGUCGAACAUGAUGAUUCGAAGAGGCUGGUUUUUGUAUCAAAAUCAAUAAAAGAUGUGGUAAGAUUUUGUAGUCCUAAAGAUUUUGAUUUUAAUCAUUUUUUCUUCCCCCUCCCCCUCGCCCUCCCCUUGGGGAUUUACUUGAGUAUAAAUAUUAAUUUGGAUUCUUUUUUUAAUAGACUCUGAUUGCAAAGCAGUGGCAAUUUGCAUAGAGGAAAACUAUUGGGUUCCAGAAUGUGGAGGAUUUGGGUGAGUUCAAUGACAUUGAGGCAUGGACGAAGCAACAAAGAGUUUCCAAACUUAGCUUAUAAAAGAAAUCUACCAAGUGAUCACAUUACGUUGUAUUAAGCUUCAUGUUGCAUUUCAAUUCCAAGUAAUCAGGCAAAAACAAGGGAUAUGGAAUCAAGGAAGCUUAUGAAAGAUAUAUGCAGGCACUGUGGGGAGAAGUUGUUGGGGUCUCGUAUUGAGGCACGAACAAUAUACUGUCCAAUGUGUGGUGCUACUACAAUACUUCAAAUACCACAGCAGCUGGUCACUCUUCCCGCACAUGGACGGGCGUUACCUACAAGGGACAUCGAUACUGAUGAAGAUCGUGAAAAAGGGUGUUAAUGUUUUUGUGGAUAAGGGUGUUGAUAACUUUGUAGUGUCAAAGUAAUGUAAAUGUAUUUUUUAUGGUGUUUUCAGAUGUCAAACAACUGAAGUUUUUCGGCGAACACUCACUUUGAAUGCUGAUUUGUUUUUUCCAUUGACUAAGUUCCUUUUUUGUGGCUUCUGUUUUGAUUUUGUUGUGCUUGCAAAGACUUGUUUGAUUUGAGAUUGAACAUAAUUAUGUGAAGUUGUGCAUGAACGUCUCCUUGAUGAAAUCUUAAUUGAAGUUGAACGAGUUUCUGUUGUAUUUGUAUAGCAAAGAAAUCUCAUUCCAUAACAUCCAUUAAUAAUAAUAAAAUGUUGUGCUGGAGUCCUGCACCGUCUUUAACUUGUAAUCUCUUAUUGUCCUGCCAUAUCAGGCUCAAGAAAAAGCAACUGAAAGAGUUAGGGCUGGCCUCAUUACAAAAAAUUAAGAUAACUAAAGGCGAAAGAAGUGUAGACGAAAACACAAGAAGAACAAGAAUUGGAGGAAAUUCAUCUUCUCGAAAACACAAAAAUAAAUAUAUAACAUCAUUAGAAACAAUUCCACUAUGUGCACAAAUGGACGACACAAUCUUUCCUUUCAAAGACACCAUAAGAUCAUUAGAAACAUUUCAACAUAUAUAAAAGCUUCAUUACAAGCAAAGUGGACUAAAACAAAUGGCAAUCAACAUACAACAAGCUUGCAUGCUUGAUCUAUUUCUAGCGUCUCGAGCUGCUAGUCUUCCGUUAGAUCCACACUUACACCUUCACCUUCGGCAGUUAGAGUAAAAGCUUUGAUGUUAUCCAUGUUGUUAGUCAAUAGUUGUCUACCGUAACUUCCAUAUUCCAACACCAACUCCCUAUCCGAAGGAUCCAUCUGAAAAAAAAACAGAACAUGAGUUUUCAAGUACGUUAAUCAAUCUGUAUACCAAGUAUCUUACAGCUAACAAUAGUAUUAUGGAGGAAUUUUCAUGAUAGCCUAUAAUGUACACAAUUAACCCACAUAGCUUUCUUCCACCUCAGAAUUGAAGUUGAGCUAAGAAAAGAUACCCACUUCUCAUUAGUCAUUACACAGCACAAAUGCAAACACAUUUCUCAACUUUAAUUGUAUAAAAUACAUCAACUUCGUCUUUCUUAUUUGAUAUCUUGAAAAUAUCAUCAAAUUUUGUAAUAACAUGUUCAUAAUCCCCAUCAACUUUAACACCCCCAUCAUUUCAAUCAAAUUAAAUUCCAAUACUAAAUGCAGAAUUAUGGGGAAAAAAAUUAUUGACAGCCACGAUUACAUUAGUACUAAACAAAUAUGAUAGUUAACCUAGCUAGAAUUAUGAAUUUUUCAAUGCAGUAAAUUACAUUCAAAACAUGGGUUGGAGGUUGCCCUAAAUCUCAUUCAAAAGUUAAUGUAUUACACAAAGCUGUUACUGGAUUUCGUUGCUUGAGCAGCAAAAAAAAAAAAUUUCAUGCUGCUUUUGGAUUUUUGUACAUUUCUGAAAUGUAAAGGAAGAUCGAAAAACAAUAAAUACAUUAGGGCUACAAACUAAGAAAUUGUUCAUUCUCAAACCAGGUAUGAAACCAUUAUUACCUUUUGAAAACCUUCACCUACCGUCAGUUUGGUGUUGCUAUGAGGGUGAAGAUGAAGAAACGACCUGCGCCGGUGUUGCUGUGAAGGCAAAAAAGAUCUGCCAAUUUUGCCAGAUGUUAAAGAAUCGAUUUGGGGGAGGAUUUAGAAGAAAAUCAAUCUAGGGCUGGGUGUUCAAAUUAGGGAUGAGAGAUCGUGGAUUGGGAAAUGGUGAAGGAUCAUGUUUUGGUUGUGAAAUUGUGUCCACCGUGGUCGAGUUUGACGCUGUCGACAGCCACUUCACCUGCCGUCAAGCCACGUGAGAUGGGUUCAAAUGGCUGGGGCAGUGGGUGAUGGAUGGAGUGGUGUGUUUGUAAGUUCAGUGACCAUUGAGCAGCAAACGGAAGUUCAGUGACCACAACAUGACAUUAUACUAAGUUUAGUGAUUGUUGAAACUUUUUACUCUAGAUAGACAGAGAUAGUAAAAGAAUAAUGCUACUUUGCCAUAAAAUAAGUGACAAAUAUAAUGACAUAAUAGGUGUUAACAUCUAUCUAAUUAUUCAUUUAUACGAUCUAUUUGAAAUUCAAGUCUAGGAAGUGCAAACGAUCAUCCUGAUCCACAAAAACAGGUUGCUACACCUAUACUCGACCAAUUUUACCUCCUAUUUCUAUGGACCAAUUUUACCUCCUAAUUAUCUAGGACUUCCUCUGUUCAACAAAUUUUACCUCCUAUUUCUAUGGACCAAUUUUACCUCCUAAUUAUCUAGGACUUCCUCUGUUCAACAAAUUUUACCUCCUAUUUCUAUGGACCAAUUUUACCUCCUAAUUAUCUAGGACUUCCUCUGUUCAACAAAUUUUACCUCCUAUUUCUAUGGACCAACCUAUGGACCCUUUACCACAAGCUAUUUUGAAUAGCAAGAUAAAUAAGGGAGGUGAAGAAAUCUUGGUUCACUGGCAAAAUCUUUCUCCAGCAGAUGCUAUGUAGGAAGACGUGGAAUUUUCUAAGCCUCGAUCUCCUUAUUUCAUCCUUGAUGACAAGGAUGUUUUUAUGGAGGAUGGAGUUGUUAGAAGCAAAAUUGGCAAGACAGCACAUUCAUAGGGAUUGCAACAUGGACGUAUGGCAAGGUACCAAGUAUACAAGGAUUGCAAGGCUGAGGUGGAUUGCAAUCCUGGUUUCCAGUUAAGGCUUAUCAAAUAAAGAUUUAAAUAAUAAUGGAAGAACUUAUUUUGCGCAUCAAUUAUGUAAUUCCUUCCUUUAAUAAUUGUAAACCAUACGGCUAUUUAAAGUCAAGACUAUUAUCAAUAAAAUCAUCAAAAGAAGUAUUUUCAUCUCAACCUUGUGUUGAAUUAAGGAGGACCAAGGCACCUUGAAUUGCCUAAACAAGGAGGAUAGGAUCCCUCGAAGUAUCCAAGAUAUUUCAUAUUACUAUUCAAGAUUAGGAAGUUUGCGGAGAACUGAUUCGGGAUCCUUUCCAGUCAACAAGUAUCAAAUUAAAUAUGUUAUUAAGCGACAGAACAUUUAACAACUAUCUGAUUAUUCAUAUAUACAAUCUAUUUGAAAUUCAAGUUUAGGAAGUCUAGACGAUCAUCCUGCUCUGUAGAACAUAGCACCAUAAGAUCAGACGUACCUGCAACUUGCACCAUGAGAUCAGAUGCACCCGCUUUUCGUCCGACAUUCAGUGCACCACCCUCCGAACAGUACUUUUCACCAAAGCAGGCUCCUUCACGCAGGCGAGACCCCUCUCCAACGAGCGAGCCAGACAUCGCAGACUACUAUGAUCCGGAAGUGUUUCAGACCAGACGCAUGACCCGAUCGAUGUCUAUGUACUACCACCCGAAAAUUUACCCUCGGGAAUACCCUUGAGUACAUUUCAUUAGUUUUUGUUCGUGUCUUGUUUAUUGUGAUUGCAUUUUAUCUUCAGAUAUUUGUUACAAUUUACAUUUGCUGGAGGUCAGGUCUAUACCCCCCUCCUAUAUUUGUUUUCCCGCUUUUCAUUAUAUAAAAUAAACCACACUAGUGGUAUUUGCUUAAAAAAAAAAAAUCCUGCUCCGUAAGAAAAGGUUGCUAUACAUGCACUCAACAACAGAGAAAGUCUAGGACUUCAAGCUUGCCAAUACCUUCUCUUAAACAAUAAUUUCAUUAUUUGAAAACAGAUUCUUUGAGACCAAGGCCUCGAGAUCCUCGAUUGAAUGCUUUAUAUUUAUUUUUUGAAAGUAUUUCUUGUGUAUUUCCCUAUGCUUCUGAACAUUUCUUGUAUGCUGGAAUCAACUUGUCAACCAUGGACGCACGAAGUUUAUUCAGGAGCUCUAAAUCAUGUACUAUCCAAUUUUGUGUGAAGUGUAUGAAUCUCUUCAAACAUGGAAUUAAUGGCCUUCAAUCUUUUUCUCAAUGCACGUUUUGACACCUGAGUAGAAAAGCACCAAGUAAAUAAAGUCCCUCUUCUCGACAACAAGACAA